This 97787-nucleotide long non-coding RNA is filed under the name Ananas comosus (pineapple). RNAcentral describes it as "long non-coding RNA (ACOM_LNC013455)". Lineage: Eukaryota; Viridiplantae; Streptophyta; Magnoliopsida; Poales; Bromeliaceae. The record is from RNAcentral.
AGAGCGUGCCGGGUGCGUGGGCCGUUUUUUUUGGUGAAUAAUUCGCAAAUCGCGAAUAAUUCGUGAAUAAGAAUUUUUGAUGAAAAAAAUGUAUUUUUUUUUUCGAAUUUUUGGGAAAAAUACGUAAACGGCAGUUUAAUUCGUUUCUUCAAAAAUUUGCGAAUAAUUCACGAAUUAUUCGCAAAUUUACUAACAGAGGGUUAAAUUACCAACUGUUAGUCAUGGAUUGAAAUAUUUGAGGGUUCAAAUUCGAAUUGGAAUUUAGACAAUUUUUUUUUAUUUGUAUUUAGAUUAAAGAUUUAGUAUGGUUACUGUAGCAGUUCGUGCGGUUAUUUAUUUUAAAGAAUAUUGAUGAGAUCAAUUUUGUUUAAAAUACUAGUUGAAAUUUGAUGAGAUCAAUUUUGUUUAAAAUACUAGUUGAAAUUUGAUGAGAUUAAAUUUUGGUUUUAAAAUUUUUGUUUUCUUUUUCACAUGGGAUAUGAAUUUUUGAUGAGAUCGAGUAGCUAUUUUUUGCGAAUUAAAUAUUUGAUCAAAAUAUGAAUUAACUGAUUAGUUAACAUAAGUGAUUGACAAGGUCCAUCUGUUUUGGUGAUUUGAUCACUUGUUAUUUUUCAAAUUGUUGGUAAACAAUUAAUUUGAAUACCCGAAAUUGAUUUUAUUGUGCAGGUAAUGUAUGAGAUAUAUAUUGGUAAUGAUCAUGAAUAGCAAUCUAUUUAUUUUAUUUUUAACUUGUGAUGUAUGAUGUAUAUGUAGAAUUUUGUAAUUUUAAAUUUAUUGAAAUUAAGGACUCUAUAUUAUAUAUGGCUAUUUUGGGUGCCUAUGUGCACAAGCCGAUUUUAUUUGGAGAGUUGCAUGUCUCAAUAGAUUAUAAAUAAAUAAAAUCAAAUAUAAUAAUUAAUAUUAUUUUAUUAUUAUUAUUAUUGUUGGGUUGUAUAUUACAUGGUUACGCGCCUGUCGCGUCCUAAGACCGCCACUUUGGUCGGAUUCGGGCGCGCACACAGACCGCCGAUGUAAUGUACUGGCUUCUUGAUAUAUUUAUGUAAGUGUAAAUAAAAAUAGUGUAAUAUACUAUUUUUAUUGGACUUAAAGAAAUAAAAUAUAAGUCGGAAACGACUUGUGCUGAAAUUGGAGUGGAAACAAAAGAUUUAGAAUUUUCUGUAAGAAGCGGGGCUGAUCUUUUAGCAGAAAAUUCACAGUGUCAGAAAAUUAUGAAAAAUUGAGAAUAUGUCGAAAUUAUUUUUAUGAGGCUAGAUUUAAAAUUUCAUGUCUUUCCGACACCUGAAAAGUGAAAAAUAAAAUAUAACUACUAUCUGCUAAAGAUUCUAGUCAGUAAAGUUUUCGGUGACCAAAAAUAUUCUAAACACUGAAAAUUUAAGGUAUAUUUCUUUUUAUUAGCUUAAACUGAGCCCGACUGUCAAAUUUGAGCACAAACGGACAUUCAGAAGGGCUCCGGCGAAAAAGAAUAGAUUCUGAGCUGCUAAACUGAAAUUAUGUUGAUGUGAGGAGUAUUGACUCUAAAAGGGGUUUCUUCCCUUUUUCCUUCUUCCUCCUCAGCCGAGCACACACCACACACACACACGCAUGGUGAGGGAGAGAGAAACCCUCCCUUUCUCUCUCUAGAUAUCUCCCUACUCUCUUUAUCUUUCUCUCCCAAAUUCGGAGGCUUGGCGGAGAGCGGGUUUGGGAACGCGUGUGGAGUGACAGAUCGAGCCUUCGUGCGCUCGGUUGAGCGGCGUGCUUCCGACUCGGCGUUUGCAAUUUGGUAAGUGUUUGGGAUUUGGUUAAUCCUUAAUGCUUAGUGUUCUGGUAGACUCUAAAGUGUCUCUACCAUAUGUUCUCCAUGAAUACUUAGGUUAUUUGGGAGAAAUGAGAAGCUAGGUGUCACGGACUUAACGAAUUUGCUCGCAAAAGUCCGUGCGGCGCUCGCCUUCCGCCNAGUGGCCCCCCCGUUGAGGGUCACGUCCACGAACAGCAGCUCCUUCUUGAGCGGUUUGUUGCUCCCCUGUCCCUGGAUCGCGCUGACGAGUCGUAGCGCGCCCAUCUUUGUCUCUGCUUGUUCCUCGCCCUCCUCGGCUUGGAUGGCAUUGACGGUCUUCUUCUUUGGGCAAUCUCUCGCCCAGUGAUCACCCCCGCAGACAUAGCAAGAGAUCUUCUUCUUCUGCGGAGGGCCUUUUCGCUAUUGGCCCUUGUGAUCACACUGCUCGCGGCGGUCUCCCCCACCCUUGGCCUUGCCCGCCUUAGAUGGUUUGCCACGAGCGAAGUCCGGCUUGUCAUACUCCAGCAGCUUCUGCGCUUGAGCGAUAGCGAAGCUUACAUCUUUGACGUCUCUCGCCACGAGCUCCUUGUUAGCCCACGGUUGGAGACCGUCGAGGAAGAAGAACAGCCGAUCCUUCUCGGCCAUGCUGGUGAUGGCAAGCAUCAGUUUAGAGUACUCCUUGACAUACUCUUUGAGGGAUCCUGUAUGCUUGAGCCGUCGAAGUUGCCUCCGCGCCAAGUAUUCGACGUGCUUGGGGUAGAACUGUGCCUUCAGUUCGCGCACGAAGUCCUCCCAAGUAUCCAAUUUGCAUUGGCCCUUCUCGGCCUCUGCAGAACGCCGACGCCACCACAGCAUCGCAUCGUCGGUGAGGUAUAUGGAAGCGGUCUGGACCUUGUCCUCCUCGUCCUCGAUCCGCAGCGCCUUGAGAUAGCGCUCCAUGUGCCAAAGGAAGUUGUCUAUCUCCUUCUCGUCGUGUGUUCCCUUGAAGCUGGGGUUCAGGGACGCGGACCUUUGGGGUGUACUCCUUCUGCGUUUCACCGCCUCGAGCCACCGCCUUCUCAAGGAUAGUCACCCUCGUCUUGAGGUCCUCGAACUCGUCGACUCAAGUGACUAGCUCCUCGAUCAAGUUCUUCCGCUCGUCGUCACGACGGGUGAUGUUGCCUUGGAGCUUCUCGAGUUCGCCUCGAAAGGUCGCCAUGGCAGUGGCGGCGCUCUCCUCCAUACUGCGAACAUCAUCAUUAAAGGCGUUAAAGGUAUCGGCCAUCUCGGUGUACCUUUCUCCCACCUUCGAUAGAAUGUCCUCCAACAAUGCAAGGUGGUCCUCGACCGACGCGGAAUCCUUCGUGAUUCGCGUGUCCUUGCCCUUGCCCCGCUUGGAGGGUUGCUUGGAGGCAUCACCCCCAACGUCGCCAGCAGCGGCCUCUGAUGACGACAUGGCUCCUUCUCGAACCGGCUCUGAUACCAACUGUCACGGACUUAACGAAUUUGCUCGCAAAAGUCCGUGUGGCGCUCGCCUUCCUCCGCGAAGUGAGCAAGCCUGCCUAUCUACUUGCUAAGUUAGGACCUCGCUCGCCCUAGACUAAGUACAAGAAAGAGAUAAGAAGAAAGCUCUUUUAUUACUUUAAGCUUGAGAAUACAAAUGAGAAUUCUUAAAUGAGAGGGGGUGGAGGCCACACUAUUUAUAGGCCACUCGCCACCCAUAGUGCCAAUGAAAAGGUGCCAAGUGGCACAAUACUACUAGCCAAAAGGGGAGGCCAAUAAGUACGCUACGGUCUCCCAAGAGUCAUAAUAAAUAUGCACAGAAACUCGAAGAGUCAUACAUUUAGUGUCCUAGAAACUCUAAGGGACUCUUGACCCUCCGGUAUCCGCACCAUCAGUCUCGAGAUCCGCGUAGAAGCUUCUAGAAGAUUCCAAGCCAAAACCUCCGUCAGAUGUCUGCUUUGGAGUUUGGGUGAUUACAAAGCGAAAUCGCGGAGAAAAUCUUUGUGCCGUGACAUAGGGCUAGAGAUGAGUGUUUUGGAGUUUAAGGGUUUUGAUCUAAAUUAACCCUUGGUUUCUCUAAUUAGAGGUUAGAGAGGAACCCUUGACGACUCUAGAUCGUGGAUUGGCGUGCGGUUGGUGGUCGGUUGCAAGCUCGGGUCGAACCGGACCACGUGUGCCGCAGGAGGCCGAUUGCAAGUGACUACAAGCAAUCGGAGAGCGUUACGAGGUGAAUUGUGCUCUACCAAAGCGAUUAGGUCGCUUCCAUGCCAAAGUGAAGUGUGUUUCAUUAUUGAUGCAUGAAGUGGUAGUAAAUUGCCAAGUGAAUGAAUGCAUGAACUAUAUGCUAAAUAACAUGAAUUAGAUACAUGAGCUAGAUGUUAUAUGAAUGCACGAUUUAGAUAUGAAUGCAUGAUUAAGAUGAUAGAAUUUCAAGGUAUGUAAAAUAAAUAGAGAAAUAAAUACAUACCAAAAUCCAGGAUCAUAAUAAAAUAAAAUAACUCACAGAACGCCAUAGAGAAGAAAUUCUUGAUCAAUCUUGCGGAAGCGUGAAGUACGGCUAUGAUCUGAAAGUCACGAAUCGAACUUGGGUGAUUUGGUUUCUCCUCCUAUCUCAGGAACUCUACCGUAUGGUGUGGAACCGAUGGUAAUUCUUCACCAGAAUGCAUAUGAGAAGAUGGCAGGACCAAUACCCCUUUAUAUAGAGUCCAGAUCGACUUCCCAUCAAAGUCUGAUUAGGAUUCUAUUUAAAUUUAAAAUAGAUGGGAUAGAGAUAAAAUAUACCAUAUCAAGUAGUUCUAUAUCUGUUAGGAUUGACCCUUAUCUAUAGCAAAUCCUAAUUUAAAUAUAAUUAAUUGGGCCACAAUAUAUGGAAAUCCUAACANUUUAAAUAUAAUUAAUUGGGCCACAAUAUAUGGAAAUCCUAACAUGAGAUGCUAAUAAAGAAUGCAUAAAGCUAUAUGCUAAGCGAAUGUAUAAUCUAGAUGCUAAAGUAUGCAUGUGAGAAAUGCUAAAGAAUACGUGGGAUAUAUGCUAAAAGAAUGUAUGAUUGAGAUAGAUGCUAAUAGUAAAUGCAUAAGGUAUGCGCUAAGUGAAUGCAUGGGCUAAAUGCUAAAUGAAUGUAUAACAUGAGUGCAUGUAAUGGUAGUCCAAAUUGUAAAUGAUGCAUGAGAUAUAUUCUACAUGAGUUAUAUGCCAAAUGUAUAUUGACUACAAUCAUGAUAAGAACAUAUGCAUGUGUAUGAAAUGCUAAAGAACACAUGUAUGUUGACAUAAUGUGAGAAUAUGCUAGAUUCAUAUGAAAGUGACUUGGGUCGAUAACUCUAGGUUGAUAGAGAACCCGACAUUGGAAAGCAAGGACAUGCCAAUUAUGAUUCCUAGGUAUGGAUAACUAGGAAAAUAGGAACAUGAGUGGCAAUGAAACCUAGUGUCAAUGAACAUAGGUGAUUGAUGAGUGGCAUUGAAGCUAGAAUCAAAUGAACCUAUGUAGUAAAGAAUGUCGGACCUAGUAUUGUAAAACCUAGGCUAUGAACACAGUGACAUUGGACCUAAUGUAGUAAAGUUAGGUUGAGUAAUGACUUAGACCUAGAUAGGUCGACAUUAUAGGGUGAGACCAACCUUAGACAUAUGAAAGUGGAUUCCGGAAUCCCAGAUUUGUGAGCUCGAUAGUUCUUGGCCGUGGUGUAUGUCGCAUGUUCCUCUCCCACUGGAAGAACUUCGAAAAUUGUGAUUGAGUAAGAACCAUGAGCGCUAGGGUGUAUCUAGCAUGUUCCUCUCCCUGUUGGGGAUCUCGGCUGCGGGUGCAUGCGGCAUGUUCCUCUCCUACCGGGGAUCCCUGACCACGAGUGUACGCAGCUCUGGGUGACCCGUUGGGCGAUGUGGUUCUUGGAUUGAAGGCUGAGGUGCAUGUGAGAGUUCCUUCACCUCGAGCUAGACAGAGCGCGGAUUAUCCGCAGAUGAUUGACGCAAGACCGAGUCGAGUGGCAUAGUUGGCUAAGGUAAAAGUAACCUUAGGAAAGAAUGGCAAAUGGCAUACUGUGACUAAGAAUAAAGAAUAAAGAACGGAUAAUAUUAAAGAAUAGCAAAGAAUAAAGAAUGACAAAGAAUAAAGAAUUACAAGUAAUAAUAAGGAGUGCCUAAUUAAUAAGAAUGACUAAUAAUAAAGAAUGGCAAGCGAUAGUAAGUAGAAUCAAGUGAACUACUUGCAUAGUUGCAUGUUGUGAGGCAUGGACAUGAUUUAUAUGAUGUUACAUAUAUAUAUCUAUUGGACUAACAUGUUUGCAGUGCCUCCUUUGGACCUGAUGGGUCAAACUCUUCCCUUGGGUGGCUGUACCCUCUUGGAAUUAUGGACAAUAGUUCUCACCCCACGUUGUUUUGGAGGAUUUCAGGUUCACACGCGAGCGGCGCGAGGAAAUGGCAUAGCUCCGUGGAUCGCCCUACCACUGAGACCAGAGAUAGCUGUACCCUAAGUCGGCAUAACUUAGGGUUGUGAAAAGGAAAAGAACUAAGUUGUAAUAACUAUGUUAAAUCUGAUUGUAUUUGAAAGCUAAAGAGAAUGAAAGUGUAAUAUGUAAAUGUAUGUGUCACGCCCCGAGACCGCUACCAAUUUGGUCCGGUUCGAGCGCGUCGAAUAGACGCCGAACGGACAGCACCUCCCCUGUCCGCCCAAGGCCAAACAACCAGAUCGUGUAUAAGAAUUUGCCCAGGAAUAGAAAUUCUAUACAUACACAAUCAACGAAAGGGACAAUAAGUGCCAACAACUAAGAGCAAGAGUCACAUGUACAUACAAGUGAACAAAAGAGAGAUCUACUGGCUAUUUCAUCACAUUGCAUUCAUUAUCUCAAGUUACAUUUACAUCUUUCCCAAAAUGAAUACAUGUUACUAGAUCAUCACCAAAAUACGUUAAUAGCUCUCCAAUUCUCACCAACAUAAGUCACUCAUAUACAUAGGGUGAUACUAAUGCAAAAAGGAAAGCUACGAGGUACUACUGCUCAGGCGCGAUGCCCUUGCCGCGGUCCUCGCCCGGCGUACACGUACCAGGCCCUGCAACAAAGUGGGGUGAGAAUUAUUGUCCAUAGUUCCCAGUGGGUUCGGCCGCCGACUCCGCCGAUCUCCCCACUAGGUCCGAGUGGGCAAAAGCAGAUAGAUAGAUAGAUAGAUAGAAAAACUGUAAAUAACAUAGUAAGAAAACUAUGCUACUAUGCCCAAUCAUAAGUAAUGUAUGCAUGCAUCAUAUAGUAGAUAGUUUACUAACAUGCCACUAUGUCCACUACUAUGUCCAAUAAGCAAAUAUUCAAUGACAUUGCUAUUCUCUUGUUUAUCCAAUCUUUGGCGAUCCCUUGGGUUCGCCCAUGACUCAUCUCGCCAUCCCGUAUGGUAAGGAGACUCACCUUGCUCUCAAACCCGGGACUGUUUGCGGGACAUCAACUCUGCCCCUCUCGUACCAUACUCUGGAGUGCACGACGACUUGUGUGGCGCGACCACUACAAGUAUAAACAGACUGUGAGCUUGAUCCAUCCUCUCAACUCGAGGAUAUCCUAUCAACUAGGGCUAUAAAUCACUCGGGAAUCCACCUAUCCCAAUAUCCAUGUGUAAGUGUUUAACUACACUAUGUUCUUUGUUCAACGAGUCAUCACUAGGGAGUCCAUCUAUCCCUAAGUUCACAAACCACUAGUGUCACUUUACACUAAGUUAUAUACCACUCGUUCUGUUCAUUUGUCAAUUACAUUGCACUCAUUAUGUCACUAGGAACCAUCGAGUCCAUCUCAUUUCCUCGGCACUAUAGGAUUCAAUGUCAUGACCCAAUCCUUACCUAUCCAUAAUACCAUGCAUUCAACUCACACUGUGAUAUCAAUUAGAAAGCAUAAGGAAUGGAAUACAAUGUAAUCCUACAAUGCAACAUGCAAGAGAUGCAAAAUCAUGGUAUACUAAGACAUAGAGAGGAACUCGGUUGCUUCGGGAUGACACCACCCACCUUUCGACGAUGUCGGGGUGCUAAGAACGCUAUUCGGCACUUGCUUCAACAUCUCUUCGACUUCCUAGGUGGAAACGAAGCUCGAUCGGUCUUGUUUUGCCGAUAACUUUUCACCGGCUCGACGAAUGCUCAAUCGUCUUCACCAACGCGUUUAAACACCUAACAAUUAGGUUUAGAGACUAUCAAUUGAGCUCAAACCUCACUAUUAAGCAAAAUCCCAAUUUGGAGCCCUAGGUUUGCACUAUUGCAAAUCUACUCCAACAAACCCCUAGAUUCUAGCAUUAAUCAACUAUUAAGCAUGCUAGGGUUCUAAUCGAACCAUUUCUAGAGCUAUAAAUCCAAACCCUAGAUUUCUACCAUUGAAGGGUUUAGAAGCUUACCUCUUAAGCUUGCUCCAAUGGUGAGAGAGGAAGAAGAGAUGACCAAGCCCUUCUCUAGCUUGCUUUCCUUCUUCUCAUUCUUCUUCUCCUUUUUUUCCUUCUUUUCCUUCUUCACUUCAAGAAAGAAAGAGAGAGAGCUUAGAGAGAGAGAGAGGGUGUGUAUUUGGGUGUGAAAAUGAAAGGGAGAGGGUGAUCUCCCAUCUAUACCCUCAACUAAUGCAACAAUUGCAUAUUAGCCCUUCCACUUUGCUUCCUCACACUGCCCAGACUGGGCAAUUUUCGUGCUCGGGGACCGGCCUGUCCCUAGAAGGACCGGUCCCCGAGAGCCUCUCAUGUGGGCAGAGGGCUCUGCCCAACCUCUUUCGCGUACGGGGACCGGUCUGUCCCCCCAGGGACCGGUCCCCGAGAGUAGAACUCUCAGGACUUAGCCGAUUUUUUCUCCUUUUUGCUGGUUGCGUGUACGCGGACCGGUCCUCGCCUGAUGGACCGGACCUUCAAGGACCGGUCCCCGCCUGAGGGACCCGACACCGAGAGCAAAUAUCGCGUGCAAAGUUUCCUGCCGCAUUUUCAGCUUAUGGGGACCGGUCUCUCCCACCAGGGACUGGUCCCCGAGAGCAAAAUUUGCCAAGUACAGAUUUCUGCACAACUUGCUCUCGCGGAUCCUUUGCAAUGCACUUUUUGAGUUUUUGACUUCUUCGGCUUUUCCGAAGUAUACCCACUCGACAAUUGGUCGAUUCUGAACGAAGUCCAACUCUCGGAUUUCGAGAAUUCACUUCCUUACAUCCUCCCAUCCCAAAAAGGAGUUUCGUCCUCGAAACUAAUCCAAUUUCAACAUAAACUCGAAUUCAUACCUUAUUCCUCAAAUAGGUGAGGAUGAUGCACUUUCAUCUCGCUCUGGAGUUCCCAAGUGGCUUCACGGUCAUCGCGAUUACUCUACUGAACUUUCACAUAGGGAAUUUCGUGGUUCCGCAACUUGCGCACUUCCCGUGCGAUAAUCGACACCGGGAACUUUUCAUAGCUCAGACCUUCUUGAAGUUCCGACGGCUCAUAUAGCAUCGCAUACUCGGGGUUAUGGAUAUACUUGCGAAGGUUGGAGACAUGGAAUACGUUAUGAGUGUCUGCGAGUUGCGGCGGCAAUGCAAACCGAUAAGCUAUAGCUCCAACUCGCUUUCAACACCUUGUACGGCCCAAUAUAUCGGGGACUCAACUUUCUCCGAACUCCAAAACGCUUCACACCCCACAUUGGUAAAACUUUCAAGAAUACGCGAUCUCCGACCGCAAACUCUAAGUUCGGCGCUUGUCCGAAUAACUCUGUUACCUCGAUUGCGCCGUGAGCAAUCUCUUGCGAGCAAGGCGAACUUUCUCCUCGGCCUCCCGCAAUACCUCGGGGCCUAACACAGCACGCUCGCCCACAUCACCCCAGUGUAUAGGAGAUCGAUACUUCCGCCCAUAAAGGACAUCGAAUGGUGCCAUCUCAACACUAGCUUGGUAACUGUUGUUGUAGGCGAACUCGGCCAUAGGUAGGUGACUUGCCGAACUACCCUUAUAGUCAAUGACACACGCCCGCAACAUGUCCUCCAGAAUUUGAAUGGUUCUCUCUGACUGCACAUCUGUCUGAGGAUGAAACGCGGUACUAAAAUCGAGCCGUGUGCCAAGUGCCUCCUGCAAGCUCUUCCAAAAAUGUGAAGUGAAUCGGGAGUCUCGAUCCGAUACAAUUGAUUUCGGAAUCCCGUGCAACCUCACCACUUCAUCAAGGUACACCUACGCCAACUUAUCACCUGAGCAGGUAGUGUGGAUCGGUAGGAAAUGCACUGACUUGGUCAUGCGGUCCACAAUAACCCAAAUAACAUCGUGGCCACCCGACGAACGGGGCAAUCCAACCACGAAGUCCAUCGCUAUAUCUUCCCACUUCCAAACAGGAAUGGGUAAACUCUGAAGCUUCCCUGCUGGAAAUCUGCGCUCUGCCUUAACUUGUUGGCAUACUAGGCACUGCGCCACAUAGCGUCCAAUAUCCGCUUUCAUUCCCGGCCACCAAUACUGCAUCUUUAGAUCCUGGUACAUCUUGGUGCCGCCCGAGUGGAUAUUAUAGGGAGUCCGAUGCGCUUCUUGCAAAAUCAACUUUCGAACUUCCUCGUUCUCCAGUACGCACCAACGGUUACGAAACCGAAGUGCACCGCCGGCGUCUAUGCCGAAAUCAUCACCACGUCCACCAUCGAUGUCUCGCUGCACCUUUUGGAGGUUAGGGUCUACGGAUUGUAGACUCUUAAUCCUCUCCAACAAGGUUGGUUGAACAACGAGAGCUGAUAAUAUAGCCAGAACCCCCGGAGCCACUAUCUCGAGAUCCAAUCGCUUCAUCUCCUUACAUAGAGGACCCUGAGUCGUGACUUUUAAUCGCGUGCAAAGUUUCCUACCGCAUUUUUAGCUUACGGGGACCGGUCUCUCCCACCAGGGAGCGGUCCCCGAGAGCAAAAUCUGCCAAGUGUAGAUUUAUACACAACGUGCUCUCGCGGAUCCAUUGCAAUGCACUUUUUGGAUUUUUGACUUAUUCGGCUUUUUCGAAGCAUACCCACUCGACAAUUGGUCGAUUUUGAACGAAGUCCAACUCUCGGAUUUCGAGAAUUCACUUCCUUACAUUAUGCAAGUUGUAUGCUUGUAAUAAUUUAGCAUUUAUGUUUUCAAUACCUUCCUUGUACAAUCUGUGUUUGAAUGUUGUUCCUGGUUGGAACCUCGCGCAUUGUAUGGAUUGUGAGGCCUUGAACGUACAGGAAAAACUCUGUCCGUGGUACAGGGGAAACCCUGUCCGUUCGGAGGUCUGUUGGCGUGCCUGAAUCCGACCAAAUAGGCGGGGCUCGGGGCGUGACAGCCGAAUGGACAGAAUUUUUCCUAUCCGCCUAAGGCGUCACAAUCAGUACAAUUCACGAUAUCUCAACUAGGAACAGAAUUCAUACAGAGAUUGUAUAAGAAAGACAUCCUAAGCAUAAAACCACUACGCUAUUACAAGCAUUCGUCACUUUACAUUCACAUUACAUUUACAUUUUUUUUUUUCCUUUCUAAAUACAAUCAACAUUGUUAUUACAUUUUGUUUCAUUCUAUUCUUUACAAUGCCCUUAGACUAUAUAGAUUCAGGGAUACAUCUAUUUCUAGUCACAAUUGGUAGGGCACUAUCUAUCGAGCGAUGCCUUUUCCUCACACCGCCGCGCCCCUGACGUGUGGACCUGAAAACAUGAGGGUAAGAAUUAUAAACAUAGUUCCUAGUGGCUACGGCCAUCCAAGGGAAGCGCUCAACCAACUAGGUCCAAAGGAGGCAACAUAAGUAGGUUAGUCCAAUAUAUAUACAUAUAAUUCAACUUUAUACAAUUAAAUAAAUAUCAUGCUUAUGCCUUAACAAAAUGUAAUAAUGAGAUUCAUGCAAGUAAGUAUUCCUUUUCUACGUUCUAUUUCACUAUCCAUCUCAUUUCCAAUCUGCUUCUAAGCUUCUUUUACCUUAGCAGAGCACUGCCAUCCUCUUCUUGGCAUUAGGUGGCGAGAUUAUCGUCCACCCCCGGCUGUAAGUCCAUAACUCAUGAAGUCACUCCAUUCCUCAGCAUUAGGUGCCAUUCCCUGCAUCUCCGACCAUCGGAAUUGUUGAUAGCUCUCACUUUGGCAUUAGGUGGCUUUCCUAUCACGCCCCGGGGUCCCUUUGUCACGUCCCACUAUCGCCAAUUUGGUCGAUCCGGGCCCGUACACAGACGCCGAACGGACAGAACCUCCCUUGUCCGCCCACGGCUCAACAACAACGAGUACAUGUAUAAAGAAAUAAACAAUUUUCAGGAUGACAUUUCAAUAUACAUGGCUUGCACGAGGGCAAGCAACAAUCACAAGUGAUAGUAAGCUAGCUAUACUGAAAAUUUACUGUAAUUUAAAACUUUUAAACUGAACUUUACAUAACUGGAUAACUGAAAUAUUUAGUUAUUUACAGGCUUUAUAAUACAUUAAUUUACAUGACUCUGUACAUCAAAAUGUCUCACAUGAACUCAAAAUGGUAUACCACUAAACACUGGUGUCUGCUAGCUAGGCUGCAGGGCUCUUGCCGCGAUCCUCGGCCACAACGCUCGCAUUGGAACCUGUAUGGUUAGUGGUGUGAGAACUACUAAAAGUUCCUAGUGGGUUCGGCCGCCGACCUCGCCGACUCACCCACUAGGUCUAUUCAGGCAUAUGUAGGCAAAAGAAGUAAACAGAUAGUAACCAACUAUAACAUGUAACUACUACAAUGCCUGUACAAAGUUGAAAGAAGCAAUAUAUGAAAACUGUAAGUAUGCAUGCAUGCUUUUACUGAAAUUACCAAAUCCAUUGGUUAACCCUUGGGUUAACAAUAACUCACUGACACUAUCCCAAAUAUUGGGGAGACCCAACCUGCACCCGAUAGGACUGUCAACUGGGGGAGACGCACCUCCUGGUCCGGUAAAGAUGACUAUUUCGAAGCUCAUCGUUCAAGGAGGAGCGACUUACCUUAAACAAAACGAAUGUGAGUAUGAUCUGAUCCUCUUUUAGAGGAUUCAACAAUAGACAAUGUCACACUUUAACUCUAACUAGCUCCUUAUGCUAGUUUCACAAUUCCAUUUCUCGAUGCUAGCCAAAUCUCUAAUUAGAAUGUCGCCAAGUUUACUAUUGUUAUAGUCCAUGCAUUCAUAGGGUUCUAUGUUCACAUUCUAUUGUUCAUAUAUUCUCAUGGUUGAUAAGCAUUUGCAUAAUCAAAUAUCAUUUACAUAAUAUCAAUACCCUAUAAUGCAUGAUUAUAAUGUAAAUAUGCUCAAUGAAUUAUCAUAGACAUAAAAGGUGAUUCAAAAAUUUCGGAUAGCACCACCCACCUGUAGUGGUGUUAACAACUAGAAUCCACGUCUCGAAAUGUGUCGACAACUAGCUCUCGCGACUCAGUGCAAUUAGAACUAGAACGGUCUCUACCAUAAUUAGCGCGUCGUCGGCCUGUCGGAAUAUCAAUUUAGACUUUUGGGCAAGUUUACUUUUCAUUCAAACAAGUAUAAAAGAGACUAAACUUGAAUCAUUUAAUUCUCAUAUUUUACAAAUUAGCCUUUCAACUCCAAGUAUCAUGUAUAUGUAUUUGUAUACAUAUUCCCUAUCAACUUUAGAUCUCCAUAAUCAAAACCAACGAUUAAUAAUCUCACUGGAACAUGAUUUUAUCAUGUUCUUGGCUCAGCUUAAAUCCCAACAAUCAUUCAUAAGUAUUUGCUUAGUGCAAAACUUCUUGAAUCCGCAAUAACUAGAAGUCUCAGCUCAAUGUUGAUUUCAGCAUUAAGCUGAAUUCUAGCCUCUUGUUGCAUUUUCAGCAAUCUUUAGAAAAUAAGUAACUGAUCCUUAAUCAGAACUAUCUUACCUCAAGGCUGAGCUGAGCUACUAUCAAUUUCUGCAGUCUUUAUUUCAGCCCGAAGCAUCAAGAGACUCACUCAAAGCAUUAACUGCAGCCAUACUCUCAAUUCGGACAGCAGGACUACACCAAUGGAUCCACUUCACUUGUCAGCUCCAAUCAGCUCAAAGCUCUAAUGCUGUCACUCAUAGCAGCAACAAUUCCAUGUAAACACCAUCUCUAAGACAAUUAGUUUGACUAUAAUCAAACAUGAACCCAAACUUACCUUAAUUUAGGUUUCCAUCAAGUUGCUCUCAGCUAAAGCUUCUAUUAUUCCACUUCUCGCAGCAAAUUCCUUUAUGUAAAUCAGUCCAGAUGUAAUUAACUCCAAGCUAAUUACUUAAUAACUGAUAUUAACUUAGUUAACUUAAUUAAAAGCUAUACCAAAGGGUCACUGCUGCAGGAAUUCACCAAGUUCCACCAAGAUUGCAAUUUUCAGCUCCAAUUCUGAAAUUUCAGCAAUACCUCUUAUUUUGAUCCAUUCUAAAGCAACUAAAUUAACCAUAAGCCAAUAUAGAAUGAACUUACUUUAGUUUGAUGAUGAAUCAACUUGCUCAGUGCUUCAAUUGGCCCUUUCCUCCAGUUCGGCAGCACCAACAACAUCAAGUCAUCAAGCUGCCAACUCCAGAAUCAUCAAACAGCAAUUACUCUUUAGCCUUUUCCUUUAAACCCUCUACAAGUUCAACAUAGAAGUAGUUCUCAACUUCUUUAUACAACAACUAGAGAUGCUUUUAUUCAGGAAUUGGACUUCAUCCUUACCUGAAUUCGAAAUUCCCCAAAGUGGUGCUCAGCUCAAUUUCAUUCAGCUCCAAGUCCAAAAGCACCCAGGCUCCCUGGUUGCAAGAAAUCUAUAUAAGCUUCCUCUCCAAGUACUUAGCCUAUCUAAGAAUAAAUACUAAUCAAAGUUACCUUGAUUAAAUGCUAUUCCAGGUUAUAUAGCAACUCCAAUCAGCAGAAAUUUCUUGCUUGGAUCAGAUCUCUCCUCAGCCCACAAGUCCUCCAGCUGCCAACAUCAAACUCAACCCUUUUUCCUUAGCUUAGAGAGAAGGAGAGGAAAUAGAUGAUAAGGAGAGAAAGGAAAUGAACUCUCUGCCUUUGGACAUGUGUAUUCCACUAAGGGUGAAGGGAUAAGGGUGAAAAAUUGCACUUUUGCCCUUUAAUUUACUGAAAUUGCCUUGUUGGCAAUUGCUGCCCGCAAUUGCUGUACCGGUACAAGAAUGUGUACCGAUACAGGACAGUUGCAGCAUCAGCAGCAGCAGCAUCAGCAGCUGCUUCAACUCUCUUUUUCUCUUAGUCAACUCAUUCCAAUUUCAUUUGAGCACAUCCACAACAUGUCAAAUGAACUUCCCAAGCUACCAAAUUAAUUUGAUAACAUUUGAUUCUCAAUUUGGCAUCAAUUUGACCAUUUUGACCAAAUCAAUUAAAAAUUUCAGCUUUCGAGUUGCAAUGAUAAUUGGAGGUCUUUAACCACUUCGAUUCCAUUUGUAUCUAUUCUCACACUUCCAAAACCUGUCAAUUGAUGUUCUCAAGCUGCUAGUUAAGUUUAGAAAUGCUUAAUUUUUAUUUUAGCAUCAUUGUGAUCAAUUUGAUCACAAUUAGCUCGAGAUAAAUUUUCAAUACAUUACACCCUUUUUGUUUAAAAAGGAUGCGGAAGUGCCCAAUUUUUUUUUUUUUUAAAGCCUUGACCCCAAGGGAUGUCAGAUUCGCCACAAAUAUAGGGAGCCCACUGUUCACACGGACAGAGUCUCCUCUGUAUUUACACGGCGUCGCACAAGUAUAAGAUACAACCACAAACAUAUGAACAUUCAUAUACAUUACCACAUCACAUUCCACAUUCAUUUCAUCACCGAUAUACAAAAAUUCACAUCUAUUAGUUUAAAAUAUUUCCUACCUGAAAACUCAUUUUGAAAUACUAAGAAUCAUGAAAACCUUUUUAAAAACUGUUUCUCACACAAAAACCUUUUCCUUUAAAACGCUAUCAUGAGGGGUAGAAAACCGUUUUUAUUUCAUAAGAAAACCAUAAUCACAUUAUUUAUUUCACAAAACCACGUGAAUCCAAUUAAAGUUGAACUAACUGAACCAUAAUAUCUAAGUAAUAUCAUAAGAAAUAAAGAGGGUAGCAACUAAACCAAACAAACUGGGUCGGAAGCUCUAUCGACCACUACGAACGCAUCUUACGCACCGUCCCGACUCGGACUCGCAACGUCACCUGUAAGGGAGGUGGGGGGUGAGAACAUGUACACAUGUCUCCCCUCUCAGUGGGUACCGCAAGCCGACGAAGGCGAGGAGUACUCACCGGCAGAAAAAGUCAUCAAGUCAUAGGUAGAUAUCACAAAUACAGUAGUUAAUAUGCCGAAAUGAAAGAGAACAGCAAGGACAUGUAACUACUGCUACUGUAAAAAAAAAAAAGAACAGGAUGCAUACAUGAAUAUCAAAACUAUAGUAGUAAGACAAGUGUAAAGAAAGGACGAUAAGUAUACAUGCAACAACCGCUAUUAUAGCCAUAUGCGUCAACCAGACGAGUAGUCCAAAUAUACCGAAUCUAAACCGCCGUGUCGGUCUAAGGACCUCAGGCAAAGCCACUACUUGCUCGCACCUGGCAUGUAACCCUAGCACAAAGAGAACACCGCUGGGCUCACGGGUUGGAUGUACGACCACUUUUCUGGAAAAGAACACCCUAAUGCGCGGGAUCAACCCGCUGGUGUACGUGAAAUGCACUCGAGCUGUGGUGAUCGAUGCAGAUAUGAUCAAUAGCCAACCGUCGGCUAAUAGCCGACAAUUACCGCCCCUCAGGGCACACCGACUAAUAGGUCAUCGAACCGUAAGAAAACUCAAAUACCGACCGCUCAGGUCAACUAGGAUGGAACAACUCAACAUCCUCCCAAAGGUAUGCAAGUACUGAUCACUGAAUGUCAACUACCAUGUAUGUGCAAGAACCGACCAAUAGGUCACAAGAAUGUCACAUCAUGUAUCAAUAUAAUCCAGAGCUAACCGUAAGCCACUAGCCGACAAUCCUACCCGACAGGGUACACCUACCUCAUAGGUCAUGAAACGAUAAGAGUCACGAAAUCGACCGACUAGGUCACAAAAAUGUCAAAUGAUGGAUCUAUGUAAACUAUAAUCAUCCGUCGGCAACUAGCCGACAAUCCCACCCCUCAGGGUAUACCAACCUCAUAGGUUAUCUAACGACAAGAGUCAUGGAACCGACUGACUAGGUCACAAGAGUGUCAAAAUGGACGAGAUGCAAACUAUGACCGCUCUACUUCUAGAUCAUUGUAACGAGUAUAGAAAAAGGCUAAGUAGAGCAAUACAUAAAGAUUCACAUGGUGUCGGGCUCAACAAUAGUAAACAACAAUAAUAAGAGAGAUAAGGUAAAAGAAAUGUCACCGAGCGUGCACCGCUAGACCAACUCCGGGUCGAAGUACCCACCUGUAUGAAUAGUGUGCCUGUCUCCCGACUGUGGAAGAUCGUCAACGUGACCUACGGAGGGUCCACCAGGUGUAGUACAUUGAACUUUGGCGAACUGCGAUGUUCGAGUGUGGGAAUGAUAUUUGGAACUAUUCCACAUCUUUUGAAGGGUUGUCGAGAGUUUUCGGCAAGAUAUUAGAGUGAUCAAGAGGCUGGAAAUGCAAAAGUGCAUCGAAGCAGCGAAGUGCUUAUGCGAGGGUCAUUUAUAGGUUAGAGCAGUUGUGGCACAGGUCUGAGGUCUACGGACCGAUAGGGCAGUUUCAGAUUGGGUAUUUUGGACUUGUCGUCCGGUUGAUGCAUACAUACAGUAGCGGUAGUUGUUCAUUUAUACAUAUCUCGUUCGUUUAUUAUCGUUGCUACUGUAUUAUCCUUACCCAUGCCUUUGUUUAUUCUCUGUGACUGGUGAGUACCCCUCGCCCUCGUCGGCUUGCGGUACCCACUAGGAGGGGAGACAUGUGUAUACGUUCUCACCCCCCACCCCCAUUACAGGUGACGUCGCGGGUCCUAGUGGGACGGUUCGUGAGGAGCGCACUUAGCGAUCAGUAGAACUUUCGGACCCGUCCAUUUGGUUUAAACUCUUAAACUCAGUUUCCUUUAAUAAAUGACUUCGAAAGUUAUUAUGGUUCAGUAAGUUAUGUUAAUUGAAUAAUUGGGAUUUCGUGAAUGUAAAUAAUGGAUUUAUGACUCUUACAAAUGAACAUGGUUUUCUACCCCUCGUGGUAGCGAGUUUUAAAGUAAAAGGAUUUUCGUGUGGGAAACAAUUUUUAAAAGGAUUUUCUGGUUUUACUGGUUAUUAGUAUUUCAAAACGAGUUUCCGGAUAGAAAAUAUUUUAAACUGAUAGAUGUGGAAUCAUGGAUAAUUGUUAUGUAUGGAAUGUGAAUGUAAAUGGUGUAUGGAUGUGUGGAUAUUCAUAUGUGGUGGUUGUAUCUUGCAUUGUAUAUCUUGUACUUGUGCGACGGAGUGCAAAUACAGGGGAGACUCUGUCCGUGUGAAUAGUGAACUCCCUAUAUUUGUGACAGAUCUGGCAUACCCUGGAGUUAGGAUUUUAAAAAAAGAAAAACCUGGGCACUUCCGCAUUGACUUUUAAACCAAAAAGGGACCCCGGAGCGUGACAGGAGUACUUCACACAACCGUAGUAAUGAACUUGCCGCUGGCAAGCAUGGAACCAUGUGACUAUUUAACUAAAUAGUCACGUUCAGUGUACUUGUUCUCUAACAAGCACCUGUAUGCUUGUUCUAGUGUCGCUACACUAGUGAAUUGAGAUUCGUCAUCUCAAUUAGAAAUAUAACAUACACCGGCCUAUCCGGAAUAUCACCGUCCCCGUAAUAUUCCUCCAACUAUGAGCAUUUAAAGAGUCUCGUACAUAAAAAUAUAUAUCUCAAAUCCUAACUCUUAGGAAUAUGUCUUUUCAAACAAAAACCCUAUGGACGAUUCACGUCAAUAUUGUACUGCUAUACAAUAGAUAUGAAUAGAAUAUAUGUCCUUAUAUUAUGAAUUAUAAAUGAUUAAUACAUAAAUACCAUUAAGCCAGUGCCACCAGAUUGGCUUUUCGGCAUAUAACUAAUAAUAAUAACAACCAACUGAAAAUAGAUAUAAUAGUUCCAAAAGAUAAAUUCAGUGUAAGGUACCGAACUUCUGAAAUUAUGAAGUUACGGUGGAAUGUAGUAUACCGAAAUUUAAUAUAAAAUUUAGUGUAAAUAAAAAUAGUGUGAGAUACUAUUUUUAUUGGACUUAAGGGUGUAAGGUAUAAGUUGGAAAUGACCUGUGCUGAAAUCGGAGCGAAAACAAAAGAUUUAGAAUUUUCUGUGAAAAGCGGGGCUGAUAAAUUAGCAGAAAAUGCACAGUGUCGAAAAAUUAUGAAAACUGUAGAGAAUGUCAGAAUUAUUUUUAUGAGGCUAGAUAUAAAGUUUCAUGUCAUUCUGACACCCGGAAGCUGGAGAAUAAAAUCGAACUACUAUCUGCUAAAGAUUACAGUUCGGUAGAGCUUUCGGUGACCAAAAAUGGUCGAAACUGAAAAGUUAAGAUAUAUUUCUUCUCAGUAGAUUAAACCGAACAUGACUGUCAAAUUUGAGCUCAAACGGAUAUUCAGGGAGCUCCGGCGAAAGAUAUCAGAUUUCGUACUGCCUGAAGUGAAUAGUGUAUGCUACUAUUGGGGUGUUGACUAUAAGUAGAAGCUUCUAGUCUUCUUCUUCUUCACAGCCACCACUACCCCCACAACACCACACGUUCAUGGUGAUAGUGAGAGAAAUCUUCACUUUCUCUCUCUAAAUAACUCUCUUAUCUCUCUAGAUCUUUCGCCCAAAUUCACGGCGUUGGCGGAGAACGAGCCUGCGAACGCGUUGGGAGCGACGGAUCGAGCUUUCGUGCGCCCGUUGGAGCGGCGUGCUUCCGUCUCCGCAUUCACAUUUUGGUAAACUUUUGUGAUUUGGCUUAAUCCUUAACCUUAAGUAUUCUAGUAGCCUCUAAUGAGCAUUCUUAGCGUGUUGCUCCAUUUAAUUUGGAUUAUUUGGAGGUAAUUGUAUGUUAGGGCUCAAAAAUGAGAUUUUGUAAUAUGUGAGGGUUCGAUCUAAAUUGAUCAUGUAUAAACCUAAUUGAUAGGUAUUCUGACGCAUUGGCGAAGUCGGUUCGGCGAUACGACGAGGCUACGCGAAGAUAUCGAAGGAAAGGCCUGUUUCGGUACAGAUUGCCGUAGAUUGCGGCGAAAGCUUCCAAAAAUCAUGAAAUCGGAUACAAACCAAAUUGAUAGGUAUUCUGACGCGUUGGCGAAGUCGGUUCGGCGAUAUGACGAGGCUACGUGAAGAUAUCGGAGAAAAGGCUUGUUUCGGUACAAAUUGCCACAGCUCGCGGCGAAAGCUUCCAAAAAUCACGAAAUCGGAACCCUAGCCUCUUGGUAGCAUUAAAAGGUAGGGGGUGUCCAUCCCGAAGCAACUGGGCUUCCUUCUAUGUCCGAGUUAGAUUUUUGGUCAUAUUGCACAUAUUGUUCUUAUGCAUUAUAGGAUGUAUGUAUAGUUACAUUUCUAUUUCCUUGCAUGCAUGUCUAGUUGUGUAGUAUUAUGGACUUGACACUUAAAUAUAGAAUGCAUGAGGAUUAGGGUUUGUGACAUGAGAUCCUAUAGCGAUAAGAAAACGGUGAACUCGGACUUGAUGAUGAAAACUAGUGACAUGCGAACUAGUGUAUAGAAAACACUAUGACUUGGACGAGUGGCAUGUAAACAAUGUUAACAACAUGACGAGUGGCAUUGGAACUUAGUGUAAUAGAAACACUUGUGGCAUUGAUCAUAGGGAAUAGGUGAGUUUCCCUAAUCGUGGCAUAUUGCAUGAGAAUUAGUGUAAUUGAGACACUAUGGCAUCAAACAUAGGGAUAGUUCAAUUCCCUAGUGUGAGUUGAUUAGUGUGGUUGAGACACUUGACNGUUAGGAGCGGUUGACUCCUAUGGGACAGUUGAUCCAAUUGUUUGUGAGCUUUUAGGUGGAUAGGGAUCCAGGUACAGUUCACAGAGUUGGUGUGAUUAGUUGAGUGUGAUCCCUUAACUUGAUAGGGAUACAAACUACGGUAUCACAGAGUUAAUGUGAUUAAGAGUACGUUAUACGGUGAUCAUACUCAUAUAGUCUGUUUUGAGCUUGUGGUGGUCGUUCCACACAAGCAGUGCACUCCGGAGUUGUCACACGAGCUGGGUAGCUCACGAGCGGGGUAGCUUACCGGGUGGGAUACAAGUGUAAGAAAAUCAUGUGUACGCAGCGGAAGAAAAUAACACAAUUAAAAAUUUUCUUGAAAACCAAAGAUCACCUCAUGUUUCGUUUUAAAUCAUUAAUAAUAGAUCUAAUUGAUCUAAUCAAAUAGGAUCUAUAUUUUAUUAUAUUUUAUCUCGCGCGGGUCGAGAUCACCGCGAAGUCGAUAAUCAUUGGUAAAAAUUUGUUCGUCCUUGCUUAGCCGCGAACGCACCCGGCCUCUACUCACGUCCACACAAAAUCAUGCCCUUGAUCGAAUUUAGACGGCCGCUUCAAUCCGUGAUCCGAUCACGAAUUAACCCUUGCGUCGACUUGAGGAAGAUGAAUCAAUCUUCUAGAUGUGCUAGCAACUUUUGAAGAUCAAAACCGAUGGAUUUAUUAUGGAGGACUUAAGGAAGAAAAAGGAUUGACGGCUAGGGUUUUCUUUUUCUUUUUGCUUAAUUUUCCGUUAAUUGUAAUAUGUCAUAUGACAUAUAUUUAUAAUGAGAAAAUCUUAAGCCUAAUACUAAUCGAAAUCCUAAUAAGAUUGGAUUAUCCAUUAACCCACAAGUUGGUUAUAUUAAUAUUAACCGAAUCAUUUUCCUAAUUCGAUUCGUGUGUAACAUUUAAAUAUAAGUUCUCAUAUUAUUUACUAACAAUUAGCAAAUAUACCGUACCGUGAUUUCCUAAUCUAUAAGAAUUGUACAUGUCUUUCGCUGGAACGCUUUAGAAUCCGAAAUUCUUUCCAAAUUUCGGAAUUCCACACGGCAAUGCCGAGAUACAGUUUUCUCCACCAUUUUCUGUUUAUCGUCCAAAUUAACUUCGGGUAUUACACGCAUAUAUAAGCAUGCUUCUAAUAAAAAUUUUAUAAAUUUAAAUUUCCAAGAACACUCACAACCGACCUCCAUUUCUUAAUAGGUCCCUCAUCAAUGGCCGCCAUGCACGUCGUAGUCACUUGCCCAGCUAAUCUAUUAGACCAAGUUCAUUAUUAUUAAUUAUGAACGAAGAAAACAAUAUUAUAUGUUUUAAUUAUUGACAUGUUCCAAUUAGUCCCAUCUCAACUAUAUACAUAUACACGGGGAAUCGGACAGUUUCUCCAGCUUCACCCAACAAUCGUUAACGUGAGAGAAAAAUCGAAAAUGUUCGCCUGGAAACAAUCUCCCUCUUGCAUCGCUCUCCUCGCCCUUCCUUUAGCUUUGUUUGCCCUAGCAACCGUCGUCUUCUACCCUCGCGAUUUCGGCCUCCCGUCGACCUUCACCUCCUGCGGCAGCUCAUCAUCUUCGGCCGGCGGCAUCUCCGCUGCCCCCGUACAGCCUGAAUUUCGGCUCCUCGUUGGCAUCAUAACCCGCCCGGAGUACUAUGAGCGCCGGCACCUCCUCCGCAUGGUCUACAGCCUUCAGCAGUCCGACAACAACUUCGCCGCCCAUGUCGACGUCCGCUUCGUCUUCUGCAACCUCUCGACCGAGGAGCAGGCGGUCUUUGUCGCCCUCGAAAUCAUGUGCUAUGACGAUAUCAUCAUCCUCAACUGCACCGAGAACAUGGACAACGGCAAGACCUACAAUUACUUCUCCAGCCUCCCGACGCUAUUGGACGGCGACGCCAAGUACGACUACGUCAUGAAGACGGACGACGAUGCGUUCUUCCGGCUGCCCAGCCUGAUUGAAUCGUUGAGGGACAAACCUAGGAGCGAUGUGUACUACGGGCUCCAGAUGCCAUGCGACAAGGAGAACUUCUUCCCCUUCCCGCCGUUCAUGUCGGGGAUGGGGUACAUCUUGUCGUGGGACCUGGUGGAGUGGAUCGCCACAUCCGAGACGGCGCGGGAGGAUACCACCGGGCCGGAGGAUAUGUGGACGGGGAGGUGGCUGAACAUGGCGGGCCGGGCCAGCAACAGGUUCGACAACGCCCCGGCCAUGUACGACUACCGAGGCACGUCGCCGGCCACAUGCUUCCGCCACGACUUCGUGCCGGAGACCAUCGCCGUGCACCAUCUCAUAGACAACGCCAGAUGGACGGACGCGUUGACCUACUUCAAUUUCACAAAGGGGCUCAAGUCUUCUAAGCAAUACCACAUUCCCUGAUUUUUUUUCUUUCGAAGAAAAAAAAUUCAGGAUAUAUAUACAUAUAUAAUAAUUCUUUUAUGGGUAUAUAUACUUGAUAGUGUCGAUUUGUGAGAUGUGCAUACAUGCGUGUUUUUGAACUAAAUGACGAGUCUAUCCCAAGCGGUAGGUGAAGGUCCAUUCCAGUUCCCUGAAGAUAAAUAUUAUUAUUUGAUUUGUUCAAAGUAUAUGCAUCUAACUCCAUUAAUAUAAAUAUAGCAUCUGCAAUUAGGAAUGGUAUUAUAUGGAGAAGGUCAACUUUGUACGUCCCAGUCCGUUGGAUAGAAAACUAAACCAACAGGUUGAUUUGCGAGCUACCCCUGGCCAACCGCCAAAAAUUAAGAAGAAGGCAGAGAGGCCACGCAGCCCACCCUUUUGAAUGUUGCACGGGAGCCGCGUCGGUGUCCGACCGGUGUUGGACGCGGGACUUGCGGUCUUCUAAUUUGUAAAAAGUUAAUGUGUAAAAUUUAAAAUUUUUAUGUAUAACUUUUAAUAUUAUAAAAUACAUUUAAUAAACUAGUAGGGACGUGUUUGGUUCGAAAUCGGAAUCGGAAUCGGAAUCGGAAUCAAAAUAAGUUGAAAUCGGAAUCGGAAUGACUCAUUACCUAAUUCUGUUUGGUUCAUCAUCUGAAUCGGAAUCGGAAUAAAUUAUUCCCAUUAUCAGUGUUUGGUUCAGGUGGAUAUAAAAAACGUAAUCAAAUUAAUAUACUAACAUUAUCUUUAUAAUAUAUUAAUUUAAAUNUGAUAGGCUUCUAGGGCAUACAACUAACAAUCUCCCACUUGCACUAAAGCCAAUUAGCCAUGUAUCUAAUGCCUAUCUUCUCAAGAUGAUUCUCAAGUUUCUGCCGAGUCAAUGCCUUAGUUUGCGGGUCCGCCACAUUAUCCGCGGAGGCAAACUUCUGUACUAAUCUCUUGUUUGAAACUUUUCCAAACUAUUGACCCACUAUUACAAAUAAACAGAUACCCAGACGUAGACUUUCUAUCAUCUAUAUCGGAUAUAAAGUCCGAAUCCGCAUNCAAAUAAACAGAUACCCAGACGUAGACUUUCUAUCAUCUAUAUCGGAUAUAAAGUCCGAAUCCGCAUAGCCAUUAUUUCUGAGUUCUCCUCCUCCAAAAAUUAAGAACAUAUCCUUUGUUCUUCUCAAGUACUUAAGGAUAUUCUUUACCGCCACCCAGUGUUCCUCUCCUGGAUUCGACUGAUAUCGACUAGUGACACUCAUAGCCUGUGCUAUAUCAGGUUGAGUACAUAGCAUCGCAUACAUUAAGCUCUCUAUCGCUGAAGCAUAAGGGAUCCUACCCAUGCGACUUCUCUCUUCAGGUGUCUUAGGAGACAUAGUCUUAGAGAGGUGAAUUCCAUGUCUUAAAGGUACCAUACCUCUUUUGGAAUUUUCCAUGCUGAACCUUUUCAACACUUCUUCUAUGUACAUAGCUUGCGAUAAACCAAGCAACUUCUUAGGUCUAUCCCUAUAGACCUUUAUCUCUAGGAUAUAAGAUACUUCUCCAAGGUUUUUCAUUGAAAACACUUUAAAUAACCAUAAUUUGACCGAUGUUAGCAUAGGAAUAUCAUUCCCAAUCAGGAGUAUGUCAUUCACGUACAGUAUGAGAAAAGUAACAUCACUCCCACUAAUCUUUUUAUAUACACAUGGCUCCUCCUCACUUCUGAUGAAAUUGAACGAUUCGAUUGCAUCGUUGAAACGAGUGUUCCAACUCCGAAAAGCUUGCUUUAAUCCGUAAAUGGAUCGUUGAAGCUUGCACACCUUAUGACUCCUAUCUUUGAAAGUGAAACCCAAAGGCUGCUCCAUAUAGAUAUCUUCUUCAAGAUAUCCAUUUAGGAAAGCAGUUUUCACAUCCAUUUGCCAGAUCUUAUAGUCAUAGUGUGCAGCAAUAGCAAGCAGAGUUCUGAUAGACUUAAGCAUAGCUACAGGUGAAAAGGUAUCCUGAUAGUCAAUGCCUUCACGUUGACUAUAACCUUUCGCUACUAGCCUAGCUUUAUAGGUCUCUACCUUUUCAUCAGAACCAAUCUUUCUCUUGAAGAUCCAUUUACAUCCAAUGGGUACAAUACCCUCCGGUGGAUCAACCAAAGUCCAUACUUGAUUGGAGUACAUUGAGUCCAUUUCGGACUUCAUAGCUUCCAACCAUUUAUUGGAGUCGAUGUCUGGCAUCGCCUCGCUAUAAGUCUUAGGAUCAUCUCUAUGGUCCUUAUCUCCCAUUAGGAACAUUUCCUUCAUAUCCUCUAUAAAUAAUCCCAUGUAUCUAUCAAGAGGACGGAAAACCCUACUAGACUUGCGAUAUGGCGGUGUAAUCUCUGGUGUCACAGAGUUAUCAGGAAGGGCUCUUGGAAUAUUCGAUCCUAAAGAGACUUUCUCCUCUAGUUCUAUUUUUUUCCCACUGCCCCCAGUGAAAAUAAAUUCACUUUCAAGGAAGAAGGCAUGACGGCUCACAAUCACAUUAUGGCCUUCUGGGAGAUAAAAAUAGUAUCCAAGUGAUUCUUUGGGAUACCCAAUGAAUCUACCCUUGACUGAUCUGCUUUCCAACUUGUCCGUCUUUAAUUUCUUAAUAUAAGCUGGACACUCCAAGUUUUAAUAUUAGUAAAACUUGGCUUCCUACCAUGCCACAUCUCAUAUGGUGUGGUCGGAAUAGAUUUGGAAGGCACUCUGUUCAAAAUAUAAAUAGCCGUGAGAAGUGCGUAACCCCAAAAUGACAUAGGUAAAUCCGUAAAGCUCAUCAUAGAUCGAACCAUAUCCAAUAAAGUUCGAUUACUCCAUUCAAUUCUGGUGUUCUAGGAGGAGUCCAUUGGGAGACAAUACCAUUAUCCUUGAGGUAGGUUAGGAAAUCCGUACUAAGGUAUUCCCCUCCUCGAUCUGAUUGAAGAGCCUUAAUUGGUUUUUCCAUUUGCUUUUCUACUUCUUGUCUAAACUCUUUAAACUUUUCAAAGGCUUCAGACUUGUGCUUAAUUAAGUACACGUACCCAUACCGUGAAUAAUCAUCAGUAAAGGAAAUAAAGUAGAGAUAGCCAUCCCAAGUAGACACAUCGAAUGGUCCACAUACAUCAGUAUGUAUUAGGGCGAGUACUUCAGUAGCUCUCUCUCCUUGUCCAACAAAGGGAGACUUAGUCAUUUUUGCUUGAAGACAUGAUUCACAAGCUGGGUAUGAGAUUCACAAGCUGGGUAUGAUUCAAAGGGUAAGGACCCUAAGACACCAUUCUUAGCCAACUUGUUAAUUCUAUCCUCUCCAAUGUGACCAAGUCUAAGAUGCCACAAGUACGUUUUAUUUACCUCCUCUCUUGGUCUUUUGAUAUUCUCAUUCAUGCCAUUAUCAACUGUAUUAACACUAACAUCCAUAUGUAAGUGAUAGAGAUUGUCAAUUAAAGAACCAUAACCGAUCAAAUUAUUUCUCAAAUAAAUUGAACAAACGUUUGAUUCAAAAAUAAACUUAUAACCGUCCAAUACCAAACGUGAAAUAGAAAUAAGGUUUCUAGUCGCACUAGGAACAUAAAGACAAUCUCUAAGUUCUAAAACUACUCCUGUCGGUAGACAUAAAGGAUAAGUCCCCACGGCAACAGCAGCAACUCUUGCCCCGUUUCUAACGCGUAGGGUAAGCUCUCCAUCCCUAAGUCUUCUACUUUGUUUUAGCUCUUGCAUUGAAAUACAUAAAUGUGAGGUACAUCCAGAGUCAAUGACCCAUGUAAAAGUAGAACAAACCGAUAAGUUAGUAGUUUCAAUGACAUGAAUCUCGGACAUCUUAGCCCUGAACAGUCGCUUCGACACCUCGCAGCGAGCUGUUCAGCUUUCCUCAUCAUACAACUCCUUGAGAUGAAGUAAAACAUCAGCAGCACUCUCCAUGUGCUCAUGCUCGCGUUGCGACUCAUUGCUCAUAGACGCAAGCAUGUAGCAUUUUGCUUUCAUAUCAUCAUCAGUUCAUUUAUUUCUUGCAACUCUUUGCUGAGCUGUUGGAUUUUCGGGCACCGCUGGAGCCUCCGUAUCCAACACAUAGGCUAAUUUUUCAGAAUUGAGAAUAAUUCUCAAAUUCCUGAGCCAAUCGGUGAAAUUCGGUCCAGUUAAGCGAUUAGUAUCAAGUAUUUUGGCAAGUGGGUUAGAUGCAGCCAUUUUCUGCAAAAGGUUAAGAUUCUAAUUAGUUGUGUACUUAAUCACAAUCCAUUUGAUUAGGGUCUUUAAAUCUAAAUGGUGCCUCCCACUAAUUUUGGUGAAUCUCCACACUCCCCAAGCGGAGAAAAUAGAAACUUUACUUAAAAGUUUCUAGUGGGGAUUGCGGUCCCAUUUGUUUACACACCACCUCAUCCUGACAGAUUCUUGGCAAUGAGCAAACAAAUAAGUGAACAACUCUUGUUCAAUGCUUCUCAAGCAAAUUGCAAUCUAAUCUUUGGCCUCCAUAAGAUAUAGGCCUCAUCCUGACAGAUUCUUGGCUUUAUUUCAUGGUUAAGUUAGACCCACCGUUCAUCGUGCAAAUAAGAAUGUCAUUGAAUCCUCAUCCUGACAGAUUCUUGGAUCCAACCCCUUUCUUACCGCACAGCAUCUCAUGCCAAUAGAAUGGUUGCGGCUCCCCAAUGCAACUGACCCCCGUAUCCGGGUGCAUCAAUCAACACUAAAGAGACGCCCACACCCUACAACGGUGGAAGGCCACUAAUGGGUUCAUAACACCAUUAACUUAAUAUUUUAUUUAGGGAGAUUAGUUGUCUCAUCAGUUUUAAUUUAUUAUUAAUUUACAUCUCAUGCAAACCAUCACAUCACAUGCAUACAUUCAUCGCAUAUAUAAAAAUAACUACCGGUGAUGAUCAUGGAUUUUAUCUUGAUUCGGGCCUGAGCCACUAGGCCGGAAUGGGGUCAUAAGGGUAUUACACACAAGAAAACCUUCUCUUAUUCUGCGUCUCGAUCGGAUUUGAGUUGAUCAACUCUUGUCUUCUCCCUUGAUCAGCAUCUGGUCCAAACUUGAUCCGCAUCGCAUCAACUCUUGAAUGCAACGAAUCCCUCUGGAACCUAAACUACCCUUUUCCCUUAUUAAUUUUAUAACAAUAACUUUACGACCCAUAAAAUUAAUGAGACACGCAGGUCUCCAAAUUACAUAAUUUAAUUGGCACGCGCAGGCACCCAAAAAAAAUAUAAUCUAAUACUGGAUCAUUUUUAAAUUACAACAAUUCACACAAUCACAUGAUACAUGCACAUCACAAGGUCGCUAUCCAUGAUCAUCACCUCAUAUACAUCACAUGCAUAUAAUAUUAAAUUCUCUAACUCGAAUUCUAAUUAAUUGGGUUUCGGAUUAAUUUUAAAAACAAAUCUUUAUUUGUUUCAAGAAUCGUAAUUUGUCGUAAAAAUAUCAAAAAGAUUUAAUACAUCUCAUGCAUUAAAAAUACAAAAUUAUAAAUCAAUUUUAAAAUAGAUUCAAUGUCACAUUACGGCUAUCGCGCCGUAUGACGCACCGCACGCGAUCAUACACGACACGCCUCAUGUGAAUGCGGCUUGCAUUGCAUACCUUAUGCUUUCAAGAUAUAAAGAAGCCAUUGAAUUUAAUUAACAUGGCCGUGCAUACCUUGUUAAUUAACUUUCAACGACAUGUAAGUCUUCAUUCCAAUGAAUUAGCAUGUAUGCAUGUGGUCACGAGUUGACCAAAGUACAUGCUAUUCACACCAUGCAUGCAACCCACUCGAUGCAUGCACAAGUGCCGCUUGCGCAUGACGUGCCGCAACUUGUUUGCGCACCGGUUUUAAAAAAAUUUAGCGAUUUCGGUUAAUUUAAAAUUAUAUUAUCAAAAUAAACGGUGACAUAAAAUUAUAUUUUACGUGCGAUCUAAUCAAUGUUUCGAAACAAUCAAAUAUUGUUCGAAAAACAAUCUUCAUUGGUUUGAUUUUGAUCGUUCCGAAAAAUCCAAUUAACAUCGAAAAAGAGAUUAGAUCUAAAAGAAACAACGAGGGUGUCUCUGAUACCACUGUAAGAAAAUCAUGUGUACGCAGCGGAAGAAAAUAACACAAUUAAAAAUUUUCUUGAAAACCAAAUAUCACCUCGUGUUUCGUUUUAGAUCAUUAAUAAUAGAUCUAAUUGAUCUAAUCAAAUAGGAUCUAUAUUUUAUUAUAUUUUACCUCGCACAGGUUGAGAUCACCGCGAAGUCGACAAUCGUUGGUAAAAAUUUGUUCGUCCUCGCUUAGCCGCGAACGCACCCGGCCUCUACUCGCGUCCACACGAAAUCACGCCCUUGAUCGAAUUUAGACGGCCGCUUCAAUCCGUGAUCCGAUCACGAAUUAACCCUUGCGUCGACUUGAGGAAGAUGAAUCAAUCUUCUAGAUAUGCUAGCAACUUUUGAAGAUCGAAACCGAUGGAUUUAUUGUGGAGGACUUAAGGAAGAAAAAUGAUUGACGGCUAGGGUUUUCUUUUUCUUUUUGCUUAAUUUUCCGUUAAUUGUAAUAUGUCAUAUGACAUAUAUUUAUAAUAAGAAAACCCUAACAUAAUCCUAAUCCUAAUCGAAAUCCUAUUCCGAUUUGAUUAUCCAUUAACCCGUAAGUUGGUUAUGAUAUUAACCGAAUUCCGAAUCCUAAUUCUAAUUUGAUUCGUGUGUAACGUUUACACAUAAUUCCUCAUAUUAUUUACUAACGAUUAGUAAAUACACCAUGCAACUUUUACACAUAAAUACCUCUAAUUUACAACAAUUGCAAAUUAGUCCUUUUACUAAUAAAUUAGUAAACUUUAGUAUUUAACUAUAUUAUAAUUGUAAUUAAUCUAUCCGAUAAACUUUUUUUAUUGUCUCCUAAAUAUCGAUCAUGCGCAAUUUCUUAUGUGUGUGACCUAAUAGGUUCAAUUCUGUCUGAUAGUGAGAUAUGAUGAGAUCUCCAUCUACAUCAUCAUCGAAACUCUUUUCGAUGGCUCAAACUCUUUUGAUUCCACCCUUAUAAAAUAAUUAAUUAUCUAUAAUUAUUUCUAUUGGUUCCCACAAUCCACCAGUGACGCCUAGCAGCAUGUAGUGGCAAUCCAGUCAGAAGUGAAUAUCGGAUUGAACCUCUAGGUGCAGUUACCGUACAAUACAAUCCUUCUAUCGCAUAGUUCCAACUGAGUGGAGGUCAUGGAAUAUUCGUCAAACCCCAUCACCCGUCAUAUGACAAAUUUGAUCAGACAGAAGCUCUUAUGGUUACUCUUGGAAACAUCUUUCCAUAUAUUAUAUUACCCCGGCCGAGGAUUUCUGAGCUUUGCCGUACAAAUAGCAUAGAACUAAUUAUCUCUCUACCGAGAGCGAUAGAUCCCCUAUAAACACACACCCAUUCCUGAUAUGAACCGACUGCUGCCAACAUAUACUACUAAGACCCAUGGCUAGGAUCAGAGUUUGUUGCAUAGUCAAACUACAGUAGCCUCAUAUUGAAUAGCCGUGGUGUCACAGGUCUAAGAAUCAGUUGUACCACUGCAACAUCGAACCAGUUAUUGACGAAUGAGUAGACAUCCAUGUAACUGUUCGUAGUUGGUCACGCUCAGUACCCUUGUUCUCCAAUAACCACCUGCAUGUUCGCUCCAGUGUCCCCACACUGAUGACUCGAGAUUCGUCAUCCUAAAAGGGAAGCGGCACACACAUCAAUCUUACAGGGUCAAUCAUCGCCCCCAUGAUGAUCCUCCGAUUGAGAGCAUUUAUGAAUUAAUCACCAAUAAUAUGUAUCUCAAAUUCUCAACUCUUGAGAAUACAUAUUAUCAUCUUAUUAAUUCAAAGGACGAUUCCAUGAACCAUUUAACAUAAUGGAAUAAAAGGCCCAAUUAUAUAAAUAAUAAAGAUUAAGUAAAAUAUAUGUCCUAUAGAAAAUAAUAAUGCGUCACCUGAUAGGCUUCUAGGGCACGCAAUAACUAACCGAGGCGGUAGCUCCUCACCCAUUGGACUGGAAGUGAGUUGGGGCGAAGGCGGGUAGCCCUUUCCCUAUGAGGAUUGAGCGCGGGUAGCUCAUUACUUAUGAGAAUGAGCGGGGUAGCUCAUUACCUAGGAGAUUAGAGCGGGGUAGCUCUUCACAUAUGGCUUUGAGAUGUGAGAGCGGGUGAGAUAAGAGCGGGGUAGCUCCUCACCUGUGAGAUUUGAGAUAUCAGUCGGAGCGAAGAGCGGGGUAGUUCUUCACCUCUUCACCUACUAGAUUUGUGGUGUGAGUACCUAUGAGAUUUGAGAUCUUAGGCGGGGUAGCCUAGUGGAUUGGGUAAUGACAUGAAUAGCAUAAGUGGAUUUGCAUUCAUACCCUGAUUAGACAUAGUAUAUGUUAGUGGAUUGCAUAACUAUGUUGUAUUUGUAUUCAUUACAUUGUUGAAGCAUACUAGCAUGAUAGUAGGCUUGUUGUUAGAUGAUAUUCCAUGCAUUGCUUGCAUUUGAAGGCAUAGAUGAGAAUAGUUGCAAUUUCAUAUUUAUCUAUCUAUCUGUGCCUGCUUAGACCUAGUGGGAAGAUCGGCGGAGUCGGCGGCCGAACCCACUGGAAACUAUAUUUAUAUAGUUCUCACCCCACUUUGUUGCAGGGCCGUGUGUGAGCGUUCCGGGGGAGGAUCGCGGUAAGGGCGUAGCGCCCUAGCUAGCUAGUAGAGUUUCCUAUUUGAACUAGAGCACCCUCGUGUGCAUGUUUAUAGACAUGAUGUAUUUUGGAUAGCUAGCAUUAUGUUUGUGAGAGGAUCAUGUAUUCAUUUUUGGGAGAUGGAAAUGUAAAUCAAAUCAAUGUUGAAUGUGAUGUAAUAGCUAGAUGCAUCUCUCUUUAUUUCACUUGUAUGUUACUUGUGAUUCUUGCUCUUGUUGGUAUAGCACUUGUGGUGCUUGUUGAAUUAUGUAUGUUAAUUAAGUUUAUUUUGGGCAACUCUUGUACAUGAUCUUAUUGUUGAGCCUUGGGCGGACAGGGGAGGUGCUGUCCGUCCGGCGUCUGUUCGACGCGCCCGAACCGAACCAAAUGGGUAGCGGUCUCGGGGCGUGACAUUCAGCUUUAGCGGACUUAAAGCUAGAUAUGAAUAGAAUAUCUAUCCUUAUAUUAUGAAUUAUAAAUAAUUAAUACAUAAAUACCGUUAAACCAGUAUCACCAGAUUGGCUUUUGGGCAUAUAACUAAUAAUAAUAACAGCCAACUGAAAAUAGAUAUAAUAGUUCCAAAAAAUAAAUUCGGCUUUAUCGGACUUAAAGCUUUUAGAUUUUGUUGUUUGACAAAUAUGGUUGGUAAUGAUGGAAGGCUAAAUUGAAAGAUGAUAAUAAGAUAUCAAGAGAUGAGAGAUACAAAAAGUGCACCGUUCACACAAUUGCGGGGCAUCCACGAUCGACGAUGAGGUCGGUACACCACGGGUAGAAUUUCAGCAGCGGGAAAGAAGAAGAUGAAGUAGUGACUCGGAAGAAGAGGAGGGGUAGAAUUAGAGGCCGAUUUUGCCACGAGGAAGAAGUGACAAUGAUCAAGUUGAGGAAGAAGACAAUCUCGGCACGAGGAAGAAGCUUCAAUAAUCUCACCGAGAAGUAGAACACUAAGGAUAAAGAGUAAGAGUAGAAUUUUCUAUUCAUCAAAAUAUAUCCCUUAAGGGUUCAAGAAUCAUAUAUUUAUAGUGUUGAGAGCCCUCCUAUAAUAAAUUAUUGUCCUUUCAUUUUCAACAGAAUACGGUCACCCAAGGGUCAUGCAUGCAUAGAAGAUGAAGCAAUUUUGAAAAUUACAAAGGUUUUUUUUGGAAUAGUUUCUUUGUUUAUUGCAGAAAAGGGUUUGGAUUAACCAAAUCAACUAUUAAGCCCGAAUAAAAAACGAACCUAUAAAAUAAAAGAAAAUAUCAUUUGAAAAUAAAAUGAGGUUUAUUUGCUGCAUUAGAAACCUGAUUAAAAAACCAACAGCUAGCAUUGACUUGGAGUCGUAGUUUUCGUUAAAAAACCAACAGCUAUCUAUUAUUUUAGUGUACUUGUUAUCUCUGAUUGUUUCUCUAUGUUGAUAAGAUAAUAUGGUUUAAGUUAUAGUUGUAUAUUUACAUUAUUAUUUUAAAUAACUGGUGUAGGAUGUGUAUGUCAACUCUGUUUAGCUUAUAUUGUGUUUGCUUUGUAUUCAAACGCGGUGCAUGUAUGUAUAAGGAGGAUUUUGUCUGUGGACAGAGCGAAUCCUGUGCUUAUGGUGGAUCGGUUGUUCCCUAGGUCAGAUUUAAAAUCUGUUUGAAAUGAAUUUCCAUUGUAUCUGAUUGAAAAAAAAAAAGAAAAUCAAGUGCUUUUCUCGAAAUUAAAUACUCUUUCCAAAUGGGCCCGGGCAUGACAUUGUAAUAAAUUGGAGAUUCAUUCCUGCCAUUACUUGCAGAGAUGAUGCAGUUGUAAUGCAUAGAAAGCUUACACGGUAAACUAUUUUGCUGCAAUAAUAUAAAAUUGUUUAUCAUCUCUACUUAUUUACAUAUAAAUUAGUUUCCUACUAUGUCGUACGAAAGAGUUGUUCUUCAUCCCAAAGAGAUUAGCCAAAUUGUUAUGUUGUAUAUAUGUGAGAAACUAACAUCCCAAAGAGUGAAGCUAUUUUCACUCUCAUAGACCCCCUCCCCUAUAUAUAGUAGGCAUUAAGAAAAUCAAACUCAAACCUGAACAUUCAAAUGCCUUGUUUCAUCUCCUUGCGGUAAUGACAAUGUAGCCUCAGUUGAUCUAUUCCCGUAAGUCACAUGAACACUAUACUCCCCCAAGAAUCCAGCAAAGCUAAAGGAGCCAUGCUCAUCCGUCAUUCCUCCCACCUGCUUCGUCUCCCAUUCACUCAAGAGCUUGUCAACGGCAUCUCCGGCGGGGAGAUUCUGCAGAUUCCAAUCCGUAAGGCACAUUUGGUAGCAGCCGUUUCGGUGCAAUGCAGUCCACAACAUAAUCCCGUUCACAGAAGGAUGGGAGAAUGCUUCUCUCAAAACCUCGUCCAAAUAUAGAGCCUACGUACGAAAAAAAGAUUUAUAUAGUUACGCGAAAAGCAUUACCGAAUUUUGUAUGCGACAUUGAAUAAAACCUCGUACCUGAGUUUGUUGAUCGUAGUGAUUAUUUAUGUCGACCUCGGUGAACCAAAUUGGAAGUCCAAGGGUUGCCAACUUGUCUAGAGUAGCUCUCAUCAAUGGAAUGUUCGGUUUGCUGAAGUGUCCCUCUAGUCCGAUCCCUUCGAGUAGGGCUCCUCCCGCUUUAAGGUCCUUUAGUCGUGACACAUACGAAUCAACUGAAGAGAAGAUAUCCUCACAAGUCUCUAUAACGUUGAAUUCGUUCAUGAACAAAGUGGCAAGGGGAUCGGCUAGUUGAGCUGUGUUGAAGAAAUCUAAGGAUGCAUUGGGCCCGAGGCGCUGCUCAUAGAAGUUGAAGUGAAGCAUCUCAUUGUUCACAUCCCAGUGUGCAAAUUCGCCCUUGUACCUAUCACAGCCCCAACAGUCUCACAUUUGAUAUGUCGAAAAUUAGAAAUACAGGUUUUUAUGUAAGUAAUACCGAUAUACUAAAAAGAGUUGGACGCGUGCAAUUUAGGUGAUGCGCUGAAGACCGAUCUAGUUGUUAACACUAGUAGAUACCUAGUCAUCAAGCUCUCGAUGCGAGACUUCACUGCCGAUCGAAGGUCAUCGCCGGUGAGGUUCCUCACCCAAGAAGGGGUCGCCUCUUGGUUCUCCCAGAAGAUGUUGUGGCCACGUACCGUGAUGUGAUUGGCUCUGACAAAAUCAAGCAUCUUGUCCGCCAAGUCGUAGUUGAGCAUCCCGGCCACAGGCUCGGUUGCAUACCACUUGAGCUCAUUUUCAAAGACUGCAGCAUUAAACCUCUCGACAAACCACGCCUACCAUGAACUCGUAUAUAGUUAAAAAUGUUUUCAUUUUGAAUUAUGUUACUCUCGAACUGAAUGCGUCAAACAAGUCGAAUUCUUCACUUGAUUACAAGAAAAGAAGAAAUAUACACAUGCAAUCUGCUGCGAAUACCUGAUAGACUGAGUUUCCUAAGAUGGUAUUAGCUAUUGCAGAGCCAAACGGGAAGUCCUUUGAAAUUUGCUGCACCAAAACUGACGCUCCAGUAAGUCGGUUACCUUGUGAAUCCGCAACGUGUAUAGUCACAGCUCGCUUCCUCUUCUGCUCUUAUGGGCAAACUCUCAAUUAUCUAUCAUAUAUAUAUAUAUUUUAUGUUGUUCAGCAUAAUUCAAGGAGCAAAUGGGAGGUAAUAGCCUUACCGUUCUGACAAUUUGCUGCUGGUGCAUUCCCCAUUGCUCGACUGAGAAUGGCUGCAAUGAAGCGCUUGUAAUAGAGAUCCUCAUAGCAUUCCUGUCAGCAUUCUAGUCAGAAGAGUAAAGAAAAAAAAAAAAGAAGAAGUAAGUUUCUCUAAAAGCUAUAUAUAUAUAUAUAUCGGAUGAAUAUAUAUAGAAAAAGUUCAGAUGCAUGUUUUACCUAAAUUCUCAAUGGUUGGAACUUCAAAUUAAUUAGCUCUAGAAAUAUCUAGAAAUAGAAUUUCAUGAGUUUUAAAAAAUUAUCGUCAAGCCCGGAGUCGCAAAUUGAAUGGUCGAAAACGAAUAAUAACCUUGUAAAAAAAAAAUAUAGGAUUGAGACAAUUAAGACGAGUGAAAUAACCUGAAAAAAGAGCACAGAGGAUUGAGAGGAUGAAUCCAGCACGAAUCCACCCUUAAGGAAGGACCAGCACCCACUUUUGGCUGAUACCGUCCCUAGGCAUCUGGUUCCUGAAUUGUCCGGGGUUAGUCUUGCAUUGAUUAUAGCAGAAUCAGCUCCAUCAAUUCUCACCCAACCUAUAUAGAAAGAGACAAAGAGAAUGUGCGAAUAUCGACGUGAUCUGGUAACAUAUAAUUGUGGAAAGUAAGGCACGCACCUCCUGCAGUGGUGGCACCAAAUAAAAUCUUCUUGCUGAAGAAUUACAGUACACAAGAGAUGGUACGAUGGGAUGGGAUUAACUAUAUUAAUUCGUUUUAUAGUUUGAUUAUGCUAAUCAAUAAUAUAAUAUUAAAGGAUCCAUGAAGCUAGGUUGACAAAUACGCAAUUCAUCAUGCAAUAAUAUGUAGUAGUAAUAAUUCCAAUCAGAAUAUCAAAAAAAUCGACGGGUAAAAAGAGUGGAGUUGAGGGCCGGUCGGUAAUCUAUUUAAAUUAAAAAAAAAAGGGCCUACAAAUGAGGGGGCUCACAUCACAUGAGAAGAGAGAGAGGAGGAACACUGAACUCACAUGAGAAGCUGUAUCUUGUUGUCUGGUUGAGAUUGUACAGCACAAACGCUGGUGAGUAGACUCCUGUCUCCGUUUUAUGGUAUGCGGUUGGACCGUCCCCCUUUCCAUUCUUCAGAAUCCCUCCCUUGUACAGAGGGGGCUCAGGUUGGGAUCUGCACUGCCGAGAGAAAGAAAAGAAAAUAAAUAUUUAGGCGGUGCGUUUGCAUAUUUUAAUUUGUUGCAUCAACAACUGACGUGGUGGUGUGGUACUGUGGUAUACUGGUAUAUCAACUAUCAACUAUCAAACUAACUAAAUUCACCGGCUUCUUUCGCCGAAUUAAGAUUAAUGCUUGCUAUUUUUACUUCACGAGGCAGCUGCUUGGACGGUGUGGAGCCUCGAUCCACACUGCCACAGUGUGAUGAGGAACCCCAAUCGGAAUCGGUCUACUACCAACAAAAAGCAAGCCUAGCUAGUAGCUAUUCGACUCCUGCUGCACUUCGUCGUUUUCGAUUGCUCGCAAGAACAUUCGUUCCGAGGGCAAUUAAUGUAGUCAUCAUGUUAUAAAUAAAAGAUUGACGGAUUUAUUUAUUAGCAAUGUUGCUGCUGGUUGGAUUGGAUUUUCCUUCUACCAAACUCUACCAAACUAAUUCAAGAAACCCCAAAAAUUAAAAACUAAUUAUUUGGCAUUAUUAUCGCUUUUUAUUCUUUUAAAUAAAGUCUUUAUAUGUAAUAAUAGUAUAAAAGAAACCGACCGUCCCUAGCGCAAGUGGCAAAAGGGUUUGGUGGUUGGUACCGAAGACCCAAGUUCGAAUCUUAGUUGAUUCACAUUUCUAGCUAUGUUUAUUUCUAAAUGAAAUAAACGAAGCGGAUAGCAUGCUAUCUUUCUCUCAAAAAAAAAAGAAAAAAAAAUGGUGAAUUUUUUAAAUUUAGAGUGUUUGUUUGGAAACUAAAAAUUAAAAAUUCGAAAAUGACUUUUUUUUUUUUUUUACUUUCAAAUAUUUUAAAAGAACAAUUGUCUAUCACUUAAUUAAUUGCGGUACCAUACAAGGUAACCCAACCAUGAUGACUAUUUAAGAGAAGAGAAACGUCUCUCUCGUAUGUCGAAUUACUUAAAAAUAAUGAUUAAAAAAAAAAAAAUCUGGCAACAGUGCCUGGCCAAAUAAAUAAAUAAUAAAAAAACCUUUAGGCAUCUAUUAUAUUAUAGUUGAAGGGGGCCUUCAUAUAUUGUUUUUUUUUUUUUUUUUUUUUCGUUGAGGUUAUGUUAAAAUCUCGCUGGCUACUUAGGGAAGAUUAGGCAUGCAGCUAUUAUGCUUAGAGGUGUCAAUAGGUCGGAUUCAAACUGAAUUUUAAAAAUACAAAUUUGAGUUUGAUGAUUAAUAUCGAAAUUCAAAUCUGAAUUCAAAAUCAUCAUAUUUUUAAAAUCCAUAGCCAAAACAGAAUGCAACCUAAAAACUAAAACACAAAACUGAGCCCAAAACGCAAUCAUUCUUUUUACCAAAUUUAAAAACAUGUCAUACUAUCUCAAAUCUAAAUUUUAAAAGUAAAAUCUAAAAUUUUGUAUAUAUUAUAUAAUAUAAAACCAGCUCGUGAUCGGCUUGGAUUUGAGUUUAGAUUUGGAUUGGAUACAAAUAAUAACCAUAUAUAUACGUACGACCCCUUUUGAAUCCGUCGAAUUUUUAACUUUUAUAUUCGUAACCAAAACCAUCCAUGUUUAACAUCUAUUAAACCCACUCCUUCGUGGAUAAAAUCUUGGAUAUUCAUACCAUGGGCACCCCUAAUUAGGCUGACGUUACACGCAGUGCGCAGCGUUGCUUUUCUCGAUCCAAGAGUGUUUGCUGAAUAGCCUAUUCCGCCUGCCUGUAUGGCUCCACGAUUUGAAAAAUAUAAAAUCUUCCACAGAAUUUGGAAUCGAAAUAGUGUACGUUGCUGGCUGUGGGAUAUAUGGAAAGGGCGGAAGGUCUCGAAUAACGACUUAAGCGGUAUUAUUGCUUGCUGGUGGGUGGUUUGGGAGACUAGGAAUGGAAUCAUUUUUGCGAAGACCCAGGCGGAUCCGAUCCGUGGGACUCAUAAGAUCUAACAUCUGAUAGCUCAGUGGGGUAUUCCUGAUCCGUAGAGCUAUAGUUAGACCUCGUAGGCAGUAUAGAGGUAUCAGCUAUACUUUGCAAACAACAUCCGUUCUCCUGUUUUUUCCUUUUUGUCUCCGUUAACCUUGAGGCCUUGAUGCCUCACCCAUGUUGCUUAAUUCACCUACUAUAUGAAUGAAGCGGGUAGCAUGCUACCUUUUUCUCAUAAAAAAAAAGAAAAAAAGAAAAAAAAGAAAUAGUGUACGUUGAUCCAACUAUCAGAUAUAUAUAUAUAUAUAUAUGUAGGAACUUGGAAUCUCUCUCUAUGUAUUGGUGCGGGCAAAGGAUAAAGAAGUUGUUUGAUUCCACAGUAACAACAGUAUUAUUGUAGUUAUAGUUGCAUGUAUAAGUAAGGGGGUGUUGGACCUAACUUUUAAAAAACGCUUUUUGGCUGAAAAGUGAUUUUCGACUCAAUAGAACGUUUGACAACUCACUUUUAAAAUUUGAUUCUGUUUUUUAAAAUUAGGAAACUAAUUUUGAAGGCCCCAAAAUCAGAAACAGAAAAAAAUACUGCUUCUUAAAAUCUAAUUCUGAUUUUCGAUUUAAACUUCAAAUUUUUACUUUUAUUUUAAUUUCAAUAUUUAAAUUUAAAUUUAAUUUUAAAUUUUAAUUUUCAGAUUCAUUUUUGAAUUUUUAAAUUUUAACUUUUAAAUUUUAAAUUUUGAAAAAUAUAUUUCAAACUUUAAAUUUUAAAUUUUAAUUUUAAAUUUCAAAUCUCAAAUUUUAGAUUUUAAAAUUUAAAAUUUAAAAUUUAAAAUUUAAAAUUUAAAUUUAAAAUUUAAAUAUUAAAAAUUAAAAUUUAAAAUUUAAAAUAUGACAUUUUAGAUUUAAAAUUUAAAUGUAAAAUUAAAUAUUUUUAAAUUUUAAAUUAAAUUUUAAUCCUCAAAUUAUAAAUUUAAAUUUAUUUAAAAAUUUAAAUUUUAAAUAUUCAAAAUUUUAAUUUUAAAUUUUAAAUAUUCAAAUUUUAUAUUUUAUAUUUAAAAUAUUCAAAUUUUAAAUUUUAAAUUUUAUAUUUCAUAAUUAUUUUAAAUUUUAAAUUUUUUAAAUUUUAAAUUAUUUUUUAAAUUAAAAUAUCAAAUUUUAAAUUUUGUACAAUUUUUAAAUUUAUAUAUUUUAAUUUUAAUUCAAAUUUAAAUUUAGAUUUUAAAUUAUUUUAAAAUAAAAAUUAAUAAAAAUAAUAAUUUAUGCAAACAUCUAAAAAAUUUUGCCAAACAGUUUUUCAAAAUCACUUCAGAAAAAUCACUCUUAUCUAAACUCCGCAAAACGCUCAACAGCUUUUAAUCAAAAAUCAUUUCUCCGAACCAAAAUCACUUUUUCAGAAAUCACUUUUUCAAAAGCUAGGCCAAACAGGCCCUAAAUCUACUGUUAGGUCUAGUGCAUGUGAAUUUAAUUAUUAUGGUUAGAACUGCAUAAUAGCUUAUCUGGGCUAACUCAAAUUGACCAUAGUUUCAAUUAUAGUACGUAAUUAGAGAGUGCAACAUAAAAAAAGGGAGCUUACAUAAUUACGUUUUAAACAGAAAAUUUAUUUUCUUUGACUUGCGGGCACUCACUGUCCCAUAUUAAAAUGAUAACGUUUGUAAUUACAAUUCACAAUUAUAUGCAAUCAAACAAAAUAUAUACAGCUGUAAUAUUCUUAAUUUUAUCAAAUUAAAUAAGCAUCCAACUAAACGGCCGCUAAAUGUCGAUGUGCCAAAUUUGAUUGAAAAGAGCUAUUCUAAAAGAGAUCGGGAAGGUAAAAUUGCACCACUAGCUCCUGAACUUUAGGUCAGAUUUUAUUUUGGUUGUCGAACUUCCAAAUUUGCAUCAGAGAUCCUAAACUCCUUGUGUGUAUAUAUGUACUGUUGAGAAGCAAAUAAUUACCUACUCCAUAUGCAUUUGGGAAUGUGCAAUGCAUAUAUCAACCAUUUAUCGAUCCUAUUUGAAAUUUCAACCCUCCUAUCCAUUGGAUUAUAUUCUUUUCGAUCUCUGUUGAGAACUCAGAUUAUCAAAAUGAACGAAAAACUGAUAACUUCAUGGUAUACAAGUAAGAAUUUCUACUUCUAGAUACUGACUAUAAUAAAUUCGGAGGAUAAAAUCUUAAAUGUUGACCUUAAACAUUUGAGGACCGAAAUGAAAAUUGAAAUAAGGUUCAGGGGCUAGUAGUGCAACUUAUCCGAAUCAAUCACAACAGGAAAUGGAAAAGAAUAAAAAAUACGGGACUGAUUGGUUAGAUAUAUGUAAAAAUAAUGCUACUCGUAUACUCCAAAAUAAAAUAUACAUUUUAUAUCCUUGUUAUCUAAAGACCAUCAUUUCUUACCUAUCACAUAACUUUUCUUUUCUUCUUUUUCGUUUAUUACUAAUAUCCACUGGGGCUUUUGUGAACCCUAUAUGCCUAGCUGUAAGAUGUACAAGAAGCAAUUAACCGUUUAAAAAAAUAUGGUAAAGGAGAGACUGUGUUUGUCUCAAAAAAAAUGUACAUCUUAUACCUCCUAUUGUAGGAUUCACAAAAAUCCAAAGAAAUUUUAGUAAAAAUUAAAAAAGACGUUGAUAUGGCAAGUAGAAAAUUAAUGGCUCCAAGUGUAAGAUGUACACUCCACUUAGGGGUGUAUACCGGUAGCAUUGCUCAUAGUAAAAAAAUAUUGUUAUUAUAUAUAAUUUGCUAACCCAUGCAGUUCAGAAUUUUAUUCAUAAAAUUUUUGUCACUUUAUACGUCGGAUGGUAAAUUAUACUUUAUAUAGGCAAAAAAAUUACAUGUAAAAUGUCAUUAAGAAGGUAUGCUUGUUUUUUAUUUAAAAUUAUUCUGCCCACUUCUGCAAUUGGAACUGUCAAAAUGCGGCUAUUUAAUUUGAAUAUAGUUUCAACUGCCGUAGUUGAGCCUCAUCAUAUGAUUCCAACUGCAGCAGCAGUGAAAUUCAAAUGCACAAAACCAAAUACCAAUUUAAAUCUACAUGUAGUUAAAACUAUAAUAUAAUUGCAAUUACGUACAACUAAAUAGAUCCUAAAUUGGGCACGAAAGUGAGCAAGCACAUGGAGUUUUGCUAGAAUACUACUAGAAGUACGAAGGCUUUCGUAAUUCUAAGUUCUAAGUUGCUUUCUAUGAUGAAACAUUCAAAUAGAUGAUCGGCUUCAUCAUGCAUGAUAUACACUAUUGGAAACAUCAAAUAAUUAAAUUUUAUAAUUUUUAGCAUCAUUUGCAUGGUGAACAAAUAAUUUCAAAAUAAAGACUAAAAAUUAAAAUCCCUUAAAAAUAAUAAUAAAUACUUAAAUUUCAUAAUAAAAGUUUUUAUCAUACUCUAAAUGGUGUAAAAUUUUUUUUUAUCAAAUUUUUAUCUGAUUUGAAUCGUUUUACACUAUUAAACUUACAAAUGUGUUAUACUGGUCAAUGAAAUUUAUAAUUUCUUUUGAUCACUAGGCAAGUGAUGCCAAAAUCAUUAAAAUUUACUUGAUAUAUAUAUAUAUAUAUAUAUAUAUAUAUAUUAUAUAUAUAUAUAUAUAUAUAUAUAUAUAUAUAUAUAUAACUAGGCUACUAUACUAUCGAUAGCACGGAGCGCUCCGUGCUACCAAGUUGUUUUCGAUGAUGCGGCUUCCAAAUCGAUGAUCGGCUCCGUUAGACUUGAUCUACACUAUUGAAAGUAUUUAGAAACAUAAAUUUCAUAAUUUUUCGAUAUCAUUUACUUAUCAAACAAGGAGUUUAAAAUUAAACGGCUGAAAAUAAAAAUCUCAUGAAAAAUGAUGAUAAAAGAUUUAAAUUUCAAGAUCAGAUAUACUGAUUUUACUCUAAAUAGUGAAAAGAAUUUUCUAUAAAUUUCAUCGCAUUUCGAUUGUUUUACACGCGUUAAAUUCACAAACACACCAUGUCGGUCAUUAAAAUUGUCAAUUUGAGAUCUUUUGAUCACUAGUCAAAUGAUGUUGAAAAAUCUGAAAUUAGUUUUCAAAUACUUUCAAUAGUGUAGAUCAAAUCUAACGAAGCCGAUCGUCGAUUUAGAAGCCCAUCAUCGAAAACAACUUGUACACCGGAGCGCCCGUGCUACCGAUAGCAUAGUAGCCGGACUAUAAUAUAUAUAUAUAUAUAUAUAUAUAUAUAUAUAUAUAGAUAUAUAAUAUACUAUAUAUAUAUAUAAUAUAUAUUAUAUAUAUAUAUAUAUAUAUAUAUAUUAUAUAUAUAUAUAGUGAGCUAGAAUACUCUCGAUAGUAAACGAGGCGUUUUACUAUCGAGUUGUUUUCAAUGAUAGAGCUUCCAAAUUGACGAUCGGUUCGUUAAAUAUGAUCUAAACCAUUUAAACUACCUAGAAAUCAAAUUCACGCACUUUCGAUAUUGUUCUUUAUCCUCUAGUGAACAAAAAUGAAUGGCUGAAAAUAAAUAUUCUUUAAAAAAAUGAUGAUAGGAGUCUUGUAAUCAAGAUCAAGAGUAUAGAUCUUGUUUUUAAAUAUUUAAAGAAUUUUUAACAAAAUUCAAUUGAUUUGAAUAUCUUUACACGUUAACGAGAAAACGUCUCUUAUCUACCAUUAAAAUUACAAAUUUAAACCCUUGAUCAUUAGGCAAAUGAUGUCGAAAAGAUUUGAAAUUUAAUUUCUAAACACUUCAAGUGGUAAUAGAUGCAUGUCCAACGGAGCCGAUCGUCAAUUUGGAAGCUCUAUCAUCGAAAACACUCGAUAGUAAAACGCCCCAUUUACUAUCGAGAGUAUUCUAGCUCAACUCUAUAUAUAUAUAUAUAUAUAUAUAUUAUAUAUAUAUAUAUAUAUAUAUAUAUAUAGAGUUGAGCUAGAAUACUCUCGAUAGUAAACGGGGCGUUUACUAUCGAGUUGUUUUCGAUGAUAGAGCUUCCAAAUUGACGGAUCGCUCGUUAAAUAUGAUCUAAACCAUUUAAACUACUUAUGAAUCAAAUUCACGCACUUUCGAUAUUGUUCUUUUAUCCAUCUAGUGAACAAAAAAUGAAUGGUGAAAUGAAUAUUCUUUAAAAAAAUGAUGAUAGGAGUCUUGUAAUCAAGAUCAAGAGUAUAAGAUCUUGUUUUUAAAUAGUUUAAAAAAUUUUCUAACAAAAAUUCAAUUGAUUUGGAUAUCUUUAUACCGUUAAACGAGAAAACGUCUCUUAUCCACCAUUAAAAUUACAAAUUUUGAAACCCUUUGAUCAUUAGGAAAUGAUGUCGAGAAAAGAUUUGAAAUUUGAUUUCUAAACACUUCAAGUGGUAUAGAUCAUGUUCAACGGAGCGAUCGUCAAAUUUGGAAGCUCUAUCAUCGAAAACAACUCGAUAGUAAAACGCCUUGUUUACUAUCGAGAGUUCUAGCUCAAAGCGUAUAUAUAUAUAUAUAUAUAUAUAUAUAAUGAAACGAUGGUAUACACCAGCUGCAUGCAAUAAUUUCCCGGGGGAGGCAGUCCAUUUCACGUGGAAAUAGUAAUUAAGUAGUUCACAGGUUCGUAACUAUAUAAUCCAAAACCUUUGUUGGACGCGACUAGUAUUUCCCUGCAGGUCGGUUAUUAAUUGCUCCAUUUAUUACGCGGUGCUUUUUUUUUUUUUUUUUUUUUUUUUUUUUUGGUGGUCGAAUAUAAGACCGAUCGAGCUCCGUCAAAGCUUGAUGGGGCCUUAAUUUUGUCCUCUUAGUUUUUUUUUUUUUGGUAAGAAAUUUAAUAGUGAUUGCUGGUUAAUUGGUAGCAAUUGGUCCACUAAGUUUUGACACCUAUAUGUUACGGAUAAAUUGUUGAAACUCGACCGUGAUGCUUUACGAAGAAAAAAGUUAUGUUCGUGAUAUAUAGCCCCAGAUGCUCCAAAAAAAAGUCAAUAUUUUGCUUAUGAAUUUACAAUAUUUUAGGCAUGCUAAAUGUACAAGAUUUUACUAACUCGUUUAUUUAUUAUAAUUAUCAUUCUACUAAUAUAUAUAUUAAAUUUGUACCUUUCUUUUUAUCAAUAAUAUUAAAAAAAUACACUAAUGAAAAAGAAAAUUACCACUCUAUCCUCAUAAGAGUGGGUCGUUGAUUAAAUAGUAUAAUCUAACGAGUGAAAAUAAUUAAAAGGUAGAUCUAACGAUUAAAAACUUAUGAGUACAAGAGUCUCUAUACUCAUAAGAGUAUAGUAACUAGCCGGACUCUUAUAUAUAGGCCGGGGCUACUAUACUUAUAUCAGUAUAGAGUCCUUUGUACUCAUAAGUUUUUAGCCGUUCAGAUGAAAAAAUAUAUGCUUAGGAUGAGAGUGGUUACGGUUAGAUUGAUAGUGGGCCCCCUAGGGUUGAGUGGAUGAUUGGUUGAAUAGUAUAAUCUAACGGGUGAAAAUAAUUAAAAGAUAAAUCUAACGGCCAAAAACUUAUGAGUAUAAAAAUUUCUAUAUAUACUCAUAAGAAUAUAGUAGCUAGCCGGACUCCUAUAUAUAGGUAUAUAUAUAUAUGAGCAAGGCUGGUAUACUAUUGGUAGCACGGAGGCCUCCGUGCUACCGAGUUAUUUCCAAUGAUGCGGCUUCCAAAUCGAUGAUCGGCUCCGUUAGAGUUGAUCUACACUAUUGAAAGUAUUUGAAAAUUAAAUUUUAUAAUUUUUCGGCAUUAUUUACCUAUCAAACGAGUAGUCUAAAAAUGAAUGGCUGAAAAUAAAAAUCUCGUAAAAAAUGAUGAUAAAAGACUUGAAUUUAAGAUCAGAGAUACUGAUCUUAGUUUAAAUAGUGAAAAUUUUUUUUUAUAAAAAUUUAAUCAAAUUUGAAUUGUUUUACACCGUUAAAUUCUCAAAUGCAUCACAUCUAUUAUUAAAAUUGUCAAUUUUGAGACCUUUUGAUCACUAGUCAAAGAAAUUGUAAGUUUCUCAAGUAUUUAAAUAGUGUAGAUCAAAGUAUGUAAAACGGAGCCGAUUCGUCGAUCUGGAACAGCCACAUUCAUACGAAAAACAACUGUCAGGCAUGAAGACUCACGUGGCCUACGAAGGUAUACAGCCUAGCUCUCUUAAUAUAUAUAAUUUAUUGAAUGAUAUAUAUAGAGAGCAUAUUUCUCUCUCCUUCUCCUUUCAACCAACUCUGACGAGCGUGGUCUCUCUACUUCUCUCUCCCAAUACUGUCGAGCUCUAAGUCUUUUUCGCCCCUUCCCUUCCCGCGCAUAAUAUAUUACUAAAUUUAUCUAUCAUCUAGUGAGCUUUUACUUUAAUGUCUUAUUAUUCGAAAAGCUAAAUAACUAUCUGUGAUUUCUAAAUAUAUAUGGUUAUCAUUUGUGGUCUGAUUUUUUCUGCUACCUCAUUCAAGACAGUUUUUCGAUAAAGUAAAUAAUACAAAUUAUAAGAUAGCUUAAGUAUAAUUUUUGAAUAAUAAGUUAUAAAGUUAAAAAAUAUACAUACAGUUAGAGUGGAUUUUCUUUUUAUAAAGUAAAAGUUAAGAUUAAAUUUUAUUCAAUUUCUUUUUACUAAUUUAGAGUGGAUGUCAGUCUCUGCCACAAUACAGUACAUUUCGAAUGGUCAUACUUAGAAUAUGCUCUACUAAAUUUUAUUUGCAGUUUGAAAGCGCAUAUACUAUAUAAUAUAUAUAUAUAUAUAUAUAUAUAUAUAUCUAUAUAUAUAUAUAUAUUAUAUAUAGCAUGAUCGGCUCCGUUAGAACGAAUCGAUCUAACAUAUUUGAAAGUUUUCUAGAAAUAUAUUUUUGCGAUUUUUCGAUAAUCAUUACCUAGCAAUGCGAAAUGAAUUCAAAAUCAAUAUUUUUUAACAGGUUGAAAAUUAAAAUUUCUAUAAAAAGUGGUGAUAUAGGCAUUAAAAUUUUCGAUCAGAUGAUUUAAUAUUGUUAUCUAGUAAAGAUUUGUAUAAAAUUUUAUCUGAUUUGAAUACUUCUUACACCGCUUAAACUUGAAAACGGCCAAUAUUAAAAAUAUGGAUUUUGAAUCCUUUCGGUCAACUAUGUGAAUGAUAUCAAAAAAUCGCAAAAUUAUAUUCUAGAAACUUCAACUGCGCGGCUAGAUCAAGUCUAAAGCGGAGCGAUCGGUCGUAUUCGAAAAUUCGCAUUCAUCGAAAACGGCUUAGACAGCGGAGGCCUCCAUGCUCCUGAGUAGCAACAAGAAAACACAGGUCUCUUCUCUCUCUCUCUCUCUCUCUCUCUAUAUAAUAGUACUAUUAAUAAUAUAUAUAUAUAUAUAUAUAUAUAUAUGGAGAAAUAAUUAAGUUGAAAAUUAAAUUCGCCCAAAGAAGAAACAAUAUUAAUGAUCGAUUACCUCCGUAUAAGCUGAAUAAUCAUACCACGUCCCAUCUGCAUACCAAUCAAAAUCACAAAAUUAAUGCUGUUAACUAUGUAUGGCUGCUGCUCAAACAAGGAAGGACGGGAAGAGAGAGGGAGAGAGAGAGAGAGAGAGAGAGAGAGGGAUUUUAUAAUAAGUAAUUAGAACAAUUAUUUUAAUUUAAACAAAACUAUUCAAUCAAAAUUUUCCUCAGAUUGUACAUAAAUAUUGAAACUUUUUCUCUCUCUUUCUAUGUAUAUAUUUAUAUUUACAUAAAGCUGAGCUGAAAUAUUUUUAAAAAUAUUAAGAUAUAUCUCGAUGCAUGUAAUUAAUAUUGCGGGGUUUAUUUAUCAUUGUGCAUAAUUCAAAAUUUGCUAGCAUUAAUCUAAUAGUCAAAAAAUUAUAGCACCCACGUCCCGGUGCUUAAUUAUAAAAGCACUACUCCAGCUACCGUUUAUAAAAUAGAAUUAAUGGAUUACGUACAUAUCAUAUAUAUCUUAUGUAAUAUAUCUAUUAAAAAAAAAAGAAAAGACUUAAUUAGAGGGAAAGAAAUUAAGGAACAAAAAGAGUAGGUAAUUGAUCGUGACGUACGCACCGUUGGGGCCUGCGGCGAUAAUGAACAUCCCGGGGUUCAUCCAUGCAAGUAGAAGUAAUUUCUGGAGCAGGAGAGCUGCAACAGCGGGCGCUCUCAUGUUCGUCAACAGGCCAGGGCAAACAGCGAUCGAGCUAGCUUAUUAGAAGAAAUCUUCAAGUUAAUUCGACGUACUCGAGAAGAGAUGGAUCUAGUUUUUUACACGAUCGAUACUCGAGGAGGGCGGAGUAGCUAGCCGUGUACUUAUUUAUUUAGAUAGAUAGAUACAUAGAUAGAUAGAUAGAUACAUACAUACAUGGUCAGUGUGCUGUUUUAAUUUAUAUAAUAAUAAUAACCCGUUAGGCGCGGCCCGUGGGUUGGGUCACAUGCGGAGCAGUACCCACUCCCUGAUUCUUUUUUCAGUCUUCCUCUUGUCCGAUGCGUCGUCGGAACCAUUCAUGCAUGCAGCUCUCUGGAAUGUGCUGGGGUCCUGCGACAUCAUUUUCUUCAAAAUAUACGCAUGCAUAGUGGCAUUCGCACGUGGCAAGCACUAUUGGCGUGCAACAAGGUGUGCUUUUUCGUUGCUUCGCGAGAUAGUGGCAGGGCCGGCCCCAUCGAUCUAGAGUAGGUAGCCGUUCGCCGGUGAUACAUGCGCGCGAAUUUAAGAUUAAUAAUAAUAUAUAUCUAUAUUUGGAUGCACGUUCUUUCUUUUUUUUUUCUUUUUUUUCUUUUUUUUUUUUUCCUUGGCCUCAUUUUCGCACGAGUCAAGGAUUGGGUGAAUCCAAAGAGUGGCAAUUCAUAAUGAAACUAAAAAUUUGUUAAAAAAAAAAAAAAGAAAAAAAGAUAGUACGCCUUUUGUUUCGCUUACUUUUUACAAAUAAUUAAGCUGAAUUUAUUUUUUUUAAAAAAAAAUUAAACAAAACUGUUCCACUUUAAGCGGUGUCUUCAUUUAUUUAGAUUUUUGUUACUUUCUGGCAAUUCAAUUGUCAAUUUGAUGGGACUGGUUUAUAUUGUAAAUAAUAAUGACGAAUGUAAAGAGUAUUUAAUAACUAAAUUAGAACAUAGUUUAUGAUUAAAAAAAUUUAUUUGUGUCUCUUUUGACUUAUGAGCCUAACUCUCGUUACCUUUGCUUCUUUUUUUUUCUUUUUUUUUUUGUUAAAUUAUGCAGAAUAAUUAUUAUUCUCUAAAAAAACUUAAAUUGCUAAAAAUAAACCUUUAAUAUUUUAUAUUCGGUAAUUUUGAUUUGCUGUUAUUUUAUUUUUAAGACUCGCGCGUUUUCUCUUUUUCGAAACAAUUUAUUUUCAAUAUAGAAUGCACACAAAAUGUGCCCCCUCUUAAUAUUUUUUUCCUCUCUUUUUCUCUUACUUGUUGUGGACGAGUCUAGGACGUCUAACUGGGGCGAAUAAAACUGUAUUAUAUAUGGCUAAGCGGGACCUACGUACCUCUUGAAUACAUGCUGUAGCUAAUCAAGCAUAUUUCUUCUUAGCAAGUGAGUGGGGUCCUUAAUUUCUUUAAUUAAUUUGAUGUUAAUGAUUNNNNNNNNNNNNNNNNNNNNNNNNNUUGUAUUAUUUUAAAAUAAAAUUUAGUAAAAAGUUUAUUUUUUGCAAAUAGUAAAAUUUUUUUACAAAUAGCUUUACAAAAUCACUUUUGAAAAAUUGCUUUCCAUUUAAAUUAACGCUUUACAUCUAUCAACCAGAAUCAAUUAUCCAAAAUAAAAUUAAUUCUACAGGUAUAAUUUUCGCAGCAACUAGUGUAAAACUGGCCCUAAUAUCUAAAUGACUUUCUUAUGUAUUUUUUUGUGUCAAUUUAUUUUCUCUACAUUGAUAUAUUCUUCAAUAUCUCUUUAUUAUUAGAUUUUUUUUACUUUAAUAAAAGGCCAAUUUGCAUUACAAAAUCUAUUAGUUUUGAGAUUUUGCAAAAGAAGUCACUAUUUUAGAUUUUGAAAAUUCUAUCCAAAUUUUAGUAAGCUAAUCAAAAUACCAUUAUUCUUUCUUUGUCUCUCCAUUUUUUACGCUUGUUCAUUUUCUCCUUCCGCUCUGAUUUCAUCUCCGUUCUCGUCGUUUCUUCUUCUCCUUCUCCUUCUGUUUUCUCUCCCUUCUCCUCCUUCUCCACUGCUCCUUCUUCAAUGUUGUACUCUCUUCAUUUUUUUUUUUUGCUCAUUUGUUUCUCUUUCUCUUUAGUUCACCUCCUUCUUUGUCUUUUCCUCCUCUCAUUCUCCUCUAGCUUCCUCUCCAUUCUCUUCUUUUCCUCCUCCUCCUCCUCAUCCACCGCCUUUACAUUGACGCCAUGUUCUGCUUUCUUAUCUCGCCCACAUUUGUGCUGACGCCGCUUGGAUAUGGUAGCAUCAUUUAAAACAUUUAAAACUAAAUCUCAAACGGUGUAAUUUAGUUUCAAAUAUUUUUAAAUAGUAUAGUUUAGUCUAAAAUGUAUAAUUUCUAUUUUAUAUGGUGCAAUUGGUUUUAAAUAGUUUUAAAUGAUACAAUUUUCAUUCAAAAACUAUAAUUUUCAUCUUAAAUAGUGUAGCAUUCGUUUAAAGAGUACAAUUUUCGUCUCAAACAGUGCAACUUUCGCUUAAAUAGUGCAGGAUUUUUUUUCACACGGUGUUAUUUUCUGUUCAAACAGUACAAUUUUCGUUUAAGAAAGCAAUUUUUGCUCAAAGAGCAUAAUUUUUGCUCAUACAGUGUAACUUUUUGCUCAAAGAGUGCAACUUUCACUUAACUUUCAUCUCAAAAAUAUAAUUUUUGUCUGAAUGAGUGUAAUUUUUGUCUUAAACAGUGUAACUUUUGUCUUAAACAGUACAGCUUUUAUCCUAAAUAGUACAAUUUCAUUUUUUUUUCUUUCUUUCUCUAAUUCUUGACCUUUUCUAUUGUAGCAAUAAUAUAUAAUGGCAUUCGUAAGAGAAAAAAAGUAAUUUUCUUUAUUUUUUUCUUCUUUUUUCUACUUUUUCUUUUCCACCCUCUACAUAUUUUUCCACUAUCACGCCCUCUCUCGCACUUCGUCGUAGCCAUCGCCCCCACCCACUCCCUGUCGUUCUUAAAUCUUUUGCACGGCCAAGUGCUCCGCCACAAGCCCAUCUUCGCAAUCUAUACCAUAUCUAAGCUGGCAUUGACAAUAGUGCGGGCAAGAUAAGAGAGUAGAACAUGGCGUUGAUGUAAAGACGGUGGAGGAGGAGGAGGAGGAGGAAGGGGAGAAAGAGAUAGGAGAGAAAGCAAGAGGAGGAGGAGAGGAAGAAAAGAUAAGGAAGGAGGUGAACUAGAGUGGAAGGUGUUAAGUCUUGUGUAUUGGCAAGUUUCGUGAAGUGUGUCGGAGUCUUGAAGAAUCGGUGCAUAUCGUUGAAGAUCGAAGAAUUCAAGAUUUCGAAGAAGUUGGAAAAUAACUCACGAUAUGAAUCACGAUGUCCAGGUAAAGUAUAAAUUCAUAUUAUGGUGAUUCAUACUUAGUUGUAGACAUUAGAAUCAUAAUAUCUUUGUCUAACGGAUUAGAAAGUGCAUCGGAACUUUGCAAAACCCGAAACGGCGAAAAUUUGCAAAGUGUACCGGUACAGCAUCAGAAGUGUACCGGUACAAAAUGUGUACCGGUACGACCAUCAAGGGUGUAACCGGUUCCACUGUUUCGUCAGGUUUUUCGUUCCGUCAUUGUGUAACCGGUGACAGCCUAAAGUGUACCGGUACACAAUGUAAAAUCGUGAAAUCUUUCUAAUCCGACUCCAAUUAAUUCUAAAGUCUAUAAAUAAGCUAUUGGGCUUCUCUAACAGAUCAAGCAUCAUAAGAAUACAUGUUUGAGAAACCCUAGAGGCUCGGAUUUUGUGUUAUAACCUAUUUCUACAAAUUAGCCUCUUUAGAUCAAAAUCGAGAUAUCGGUUUGCAUUUCCUAUUUGUCGAUUUGAUCUCCGCUUCGCCUUGAGUUUACUUCUUGGUUUUCUACGAUUAUCCUAGGAAGGAUCACCAUAUAUGUAUGCUCUUCGAUAAUGAACGGCGUGUGGAUUCGGUCUAAUCAAAGGCGGGUUCGUGGAUUCGAUCGUUGGCUCGUGAUUCGAGUGGACGUCGAGGAUUCGGCUUAGUGAUUGGAGCUUCGUUGGAUUCGAAAGUCGAGGCGUUCGGUGGAUUGGACGGGAAGGGUGUGGACAACUCAGGGGAUUGCGCGAGAUCAUAGGAGGUCAAGAGAGGUUGAGUCGUGGACGUCGUAAAUCCUUGUAAUACUUUUUCUCUAGGGAUUGUUUUUUCCGCGUAUUGAUCGUGGUUUCUUUCUCCAAAUUGGCGUUUGUCCACUUAAAAUCUCGUAGAGUGUUUUUAUUUGCAUUUAUUUUUUACGCAUCGAGAUUUGUGGUUCUCUGGCAUCUACACUAUUCACCCGCCCCUCUAGGUGAUAGUAAAUUAGAUAAUCCUUGGGUCCUCAAACUUUAAAUUCGGUAUCAGGAGGAUCUAGUAUAUGUUAUUAGAUGGCGAGGUGUAACAUAAUCGACUCCGGCUUUCGCGGCACGAAUUAUGUUAUUGAAUUCGUAUGAGAGCUUUUGGUAAUUGCUAUCGUGAUGCGGGUUGGCAAAUGAUUUGUGGUGAAACAUCGAUAGAAAAGGUCGAGUCAAUGUUUGAAAAGCCAAAACACGGAACAAAAUGGAGAAUAAGAUAGAAACGAGUAUCUUGUUUAACGGCAAGGGCAUAACUCUUUAUUAAUGCAUUGUCCUCAAACGGAAGUUUACUCGUGUUUCGAGAUGCGAAAACGGCGAAAAGAAUUUGGGGAUACUCUACAAGUACGCAUGAAGACAGUCUUAGUGAAAGUCCAAAAUUGCAAAUGCGUACUAGCAAGUUCGAUUCAAUUUCGAGGAUGAAAAUGAGACCUUUACGAGUUACUAUAGGUCUACAAGAGUGGUCAAUACAUGCGUACUUUGGGAGAGAAAGAUUGCCGGAUGUAAAAAUUAGUUAGAAAAUUCUUCGAACUCUUCCGGAACGUUUUCGGGCCCAAGGUCGCGCCAAUAGGGAACGGUCAGUACAUCGGACGAGUGAAAGUAAGAAGAAUAGUAGUGAGCUUUGCAAACGUAUGAAAUGACGUUCAUACUAAUCAAUCUUCUUCCAAGUCUCUCUCUAAAAGCACAGGGGUUGCGUUAAAAUCUACAAAGGAGAAGGACGAAGACUCGAAUUCCGACGACGAUUUAUCUCUUGCCAAUUUCGAACAUCAAUUAGCACUCCUCACGAAGAAAUUUCGCCGGAAUUUUCGAAAGAAGAAUAGAUCGGACAAGGCCUCAUCGUCUAAAUCUUCAUCGUAUGCAUCUAAGGAGAAGAAGCGUGCAAAGGCUUCGAAAGAAAAGGAUGUCUUUGAAGGCGAGAUCCAAUGCUUCAAGUGCAAAGGCUACGACCACAUUGCGACGGAUUGUCCUUCAAAGAAGACGUAUAAACAAAAACUAUGCAAGCAAAGACGUGGGAUGAUUCAACAUCAAGUGAUUCAUCGUCAAGUGACGAAGAGAAGAAUGAUCAAAUUGCCUUAUUUGCUAAUACACCUUCGUCGAAUGUUGUGUGUUUAUCCUCUAUCGCUACUAAUUCUAAUGUUUCUUUUUCCUCGCAUGAUUCAUCGAGCGACAACGGGGAAAGCGGGGAGGAUUCGAACGACGAGGAUAUAGCGGAAGCUUACAACCUACUUCUUAUUGAAUCAAAGAAGAUGGCUAAAUUAAAUAAGAAGUUGAGGCGUCGUAUGUUGAAUCUUGAAGAGGAUAACAACAACUUGAAAACCACGAACAAAGCUCUCGAGGAGGAAAGGGAAUCAAUUUUGAAAACGAAUUCGGACCUCCUCGGGAAGCUUAAUGAAGCGGAAUCAACGAUCAAAUCAUAUAAUGACAAGAUUGGAUUUUUGGAGCAUCAAUUUCAUGAAUCGCACAAGUCCAAUCAAGUCUUGACCAAUCAAGUUCGUCAACUCCAAUCCGAUCUUCAACGAUUUUCUUCCGGAUCAAAGAAAUUGGACCAUAUGCUCGGAUUGGGACAAACGAACAAGCUUGGACUCGGAUAUGAACGGACAUACAUUGAGAAGGAUUCUAAAUUAAUUUCGAAAGUGUCAACAAAUGUGAAAGACAAGUCGUGUCAUCAAUGCGGUGUCAAAGGACACAUCAAAAGGAAUUGCCCAAAUAAGGAAAAGAAGAAACAAUUGGGAAUGUCUACACAUCGAUCGACACUUUCAAAACCUCAAUCGACAUCGUCUACAAUUCGACAUCCCCCACGGAAUCAAAAGCAAAAUCAAGUGCAUAAACUUCAACGCCAAGCUUAACCAAAGCCUCAACCGAAGAAACCACCAACGGUUGAUCGAAAGUCUAAACAAACGGCAUCUAACGUCAACAAGCCGAGAAAACCAAAGAUCCGACAAGUUUGGAUCCGGAAAGGUGAUAUCUUUCCUUGCUUCUCGUCUUAGCUGUUUUUGAUUUCUUGUGUAGUGCUUGGAUGGGUGCUUAUUGCAUAUUUUUAUUCAUUGCAUUACAUGUUUACAUGAAUUUUGGUGCUUUGAAUUUUGUUUGAUUAAAAAUCUUUUUGAGGAAAGGUGUUUAGGAAUUCAAAUUUUUGAGAAAGGAGAUGAUUGAGAAUCUUUAUUGUGAGAAGAGAAAUUUCUUUAAUGUCGCGUAAACGGUAUUAACCUUCACAAUCAUAUUAAGUUAAAUUCAUAUUAAUUAUCGUCUUUACUCCACUAUUUAUUAUUCUGACGAUAAUUUAUUAUAUGAUUUCUUAUUGCAUAAAUUCAUCAAAAUUUUGAAAUCAAAUUUGAUUUUUUGGUGAUUAAUUCAUCUUAGUUGUGAGUGUUGGAUAUGAUGAAUGGAUAUUCUCUAAUAGACUAAAAUUUGUCAAAUUAUUUUCAAUUGUGAGAUUGCCUAAUUUAGGGGGAGUUUGAAAUUAUAAAUAAAAUAAAAAGGAGAAACUCCUAUGUUUAAAAGAUGUGGAAAGAGUUACAUCCAAAUGGAGUGUGAAAACUACCACCACAUGUAGGAAAGAGCUACCACCCCGGUCGUCCGGCAAGUGUGUGAAGCUACCACAUGAAGAUUAAAUUGAAAAAGCCGAAAAAGGUUGAAAAAAAAUAUAAAAAUAUUCUAGAGUUUUUCGGAGUAAUAAGGUGUUAGUUUGAAAAAGAUGCUCAAAGAGCCACCCCCGGUAUCAUUUUGGUUAAAUCUCUAUAUUGAACAUGUUANUGAAUUUCUAUAAAUCAUUUUUCAUCAACUUACAUCUUGAUGUUUUUAAAUUAUUAAAUCAUUUUUGAUAAUGAAAUUUUGAUGUUUUGAUGAAUUUUGAAAUUUUAUAAUAUAUUAUUUUCAUUAUAAUAAUUUUUGGAGUAAAAUCUUUAAUUUAUAUGAAAUUAAUUUAAUUUGAUGGAUUUUUAAAUUCAUAUUUUCGAAAUCUGGCAAAGUGUACCGGUACAAAAUCCUGUGUACCGGUACAAAUCACUGUAGCCGCGAGUACUACACGCAUCUACAAGACGUAGUCAAUACAUGCGCUAACUUGGGAGAGAAAGUCCCGGAUGCUAAAGUUGUUAGAAAGAUUCUUCGAACUCUUCCGGAACGCUUUCAGGUAAAGGUUGCCGCGAUCGAAACCGUAAAGCAUCCGGACGAGAUGAAAGUCGAAAAGUUAGUAGGUGCGUUGCAAACUUAUGAGAUGACUUUUCCUACUAACCAAUCUUCUUCCAAGUCUUCUUCUAAAAGUACAGGGGUUGCACUUAAAUCGACAAAGAAAGAAGACGACGAUUCGAAUUCCGAUGGAGAUGUUUCGCUUGCUAAUUUCGAAUAUCAAUUGGCGCUCUUAACGAAGAAAUUUUGCCAGAAUUUUCGAAAGAAGAUUAAAUCGGACAAAGCUUCAUCGCAACAACCUUUUUCUAAAUCAUCUUCAUUUUCUAAAAGAAGUGUGAAAACUACCACCACAUAUAGGUGGAAAUCUUCUUACAUCCUAAAAGAUGUGGAAAUCUUCUUACUCCUAUGCUUAAAAGAUGUGGAAAUAGUUACAUCCUAAAAGAAGUGUGAAAACUACCACCACAUAUAGGAAAGAGCUACCAGCCCGGUCGUCCAGUAAGUAUGUGAAGUUACCAUAUGGAAUUUAAUUGAAAAGCCGAAAAGGUUGAAAAAAAGUGAAUAUUUUAGAAUUUUCGGAGUUAUAAGGUGAUAGGUUGAAAAGAUGCUCAAAGAGCCACCCCUAGUGCCCUAUUAGUUAAAUCUCUAUUUUGAACGAGUUGCAACAAAUUGGUGUCAAUUUUGUUGAAUUUCUAAAAAUCAUUUUACAUCAAAUUACAUCUUGAUAGGUUUGAAACAUUAGGUUAUUUUUUAUUUCAAAUUUUGAUGUUUCGAUAUAUUUUGAAAUCCUAUAAUAGUUUCUUUUCAUCAUAAUGAUUUUUGGAGUAUAAUCUUUAAUUUUUAUGAAAUUAAUUUGAUUUUGAAGGAUUUUUGAUGAAAAAUUUUAAAAUUUUCGAAAUCUGUGAAAGUGUACCGGUACAAAAUAACGUGUACCAGUACAAAUCACUGUAUACCGUGUUUUAUAACCGGUUACAGGAUCUCGUUUCUCACCCAAAUCGAAACGAAAUUUCCUCCUUUCUCUCUCUAGAAAUCCCAGGUGGUCUUCUCCUUCAGAUCCACGUAUUUUCCCCUCAAGAUUUGUAAGUUUAUAGCUCGGAUUUAAUCAUUUGCUCGCGUUUUUGCUAUUUUUUUCGAAAUAUUCCGAGUUGAAGCAUGAUCUCUGUUCUUAAUUAUUUUUUAUACGAUUUUUUGCUGUGAAUCAGUGUUUAGACAUAUAAUCUUGCUUCUAGAACACUUAGAUCAGGUUAUAAUGCUAUAUUUUUUGCUGAUCUAUGAUUUGUACCUUAAUGUAUAUGAAAUUUCGAAAUUUCUUACUGAAUGCCACUUUUAUUGAUUAUUCUUGCAUAAAUCUGAUAGAAAUAGUGUUCUUAUGCAUUCUAAUGAUAUUAGAAAUUUUUUCACUAUUUUUACAGAUUUUUUCAAGAUUUUUUCAUGCAAGGUUCAUUUUCUAUGUAGGAAAAAUGGCAUUCUCAUUGGUUUUGCUACUUUUGGUGCUGAUGGCCACUGGACGUGGUCGGGGAGGUGGUAGAGGCCGUCGAGGGGCUUCCAAGAGGACUCGUACUGCAGGCGAGUCACCGGGUUCUGAUCCGGAUUAUCAGGCGAGCUCCCAGGAGGAGGCUGAAGAACCUAUUGCUCGUCCUGACAAGGGAAAAGGCCUAGCUGGUGAAUCAUCUCGCAGAUGUGGGUCUCGUGCAAGAGAGACUCGCUCAAAGCAAGCCGUGGAUGUUUCAUCUGAGCGGCGGAGGACUUUUUCAAGCAGAUCAUGCAUAGCAGAGCGAUAUGUUAACUUCUAUGAACUCAUCCAGGAGGUUCCAGAUUUUGGUCGCUUACUUUAGAGGGUCCCCAUUGAGCCCGUUGGACGGAUUCCUGCUCGUGCACCUUUUUGUGUGGAACUCAUUCGGGAGUUCUACAUGAAUGGGAAGAUGUGUGCUGAGGAUGCAGAGACCGGGACUUAUCUUCUUGAGACCUAUGUACGUGGGGAGAGGGUUCUAGUCACUCCUCACACGAUUGGAGAGUUGUUGGGCAUGCAUGUUGACACGACAGGACUUCAUCAUACUACUGGGAUUUAUAAGUCCUCGUCUCACUAGGAGACAGUUGUUCGUGCGAUCUGCAAGGACGGAGCGAGGACAAAUCAUGCUUAUGUAGAGUCGAAGGAUUUGAGACCUGAAUAUCAUCUUUUAUCCUUGGUGAUGUGCUACAAUGUUCAACCUACAAUUGGAACAAAAAGGAUUCGUUGGGAUCGUCUGGUGCUUCUAUAUCUUCUUGGACAUCCUGAGCAAGCGGACGGGUUAAACAUCAAUAUUCUCUUUCUGAUGUGGCAAAGAAUGGCACAUGUUAUACAGUCUCCAGUUCGACGUGAUCUAUUUCCGUUUCCGUUGUUGAUCACGAGGAUUUUGCAAGAACACAGAGUUGACGUGUCGUGUGAGAAGUACGACACUGGCCUUGGACCGAUCGAUACAGUAACUUGGGCCAAGUCGUUGAGCACCUUGAAGACAUUUCAGCAAAUAAAAGGAUCAUCCAAAGCGGCUUCCAGUUUCGCACCUCCACGUCAUGCAGAGCACGAGGGAUCUUCGAGCUUAGGGGGAGUGAUUACUGUAGAAUCACUUCAUCAUGAGGUGCGUUCAUUAAAGAAGAAGGUGGCAGAUCUUGCUAAAAAAGUGGAGAUGGGAAUAAAAAGGAUUAUGGAAAAACUGGGAUGUUGGCAUGACGAUAUAUUUCCUACUCAGCCUACCUACACCACUUAUACGAGAUCUACGUCGAGACAUCCACUCAUUCCACCAUCUAGUGGUGCUCCUGAGGCUGGGGGAUCUGGAGCUGGAGCAGGAGACAAUGACGAUGAUGAUGAUGAGGACACAUAGUGACUUCGUCCUCGAGAUCUGUUUUUCUACUUUGCUUUUUAGGACGAUCUUUAGUUUAGUUUUGCUUGUUGCUUUCUUUUGCUCUGUUUGCUUUUGCAUUAGGCCUGUAACUAUGACAUGACUAUUCUUAUGCUUUCUAGUAUGUUUUCUCUCUUUAUAUGCUUUGUCUUUUGCAAUUUUUGACAAAAAGGGGGAGAGCAAUGAUGAACAGGUAUGGGUCGUAGCAAAGGAGAAUAAAGAAUAAAGAACAAAGGGGGAGAAGGAAUGAAUGAAAUUAUGAGGAGAAGAAGGAAUGAAAUUUCGAGAACAAUGAUGAGGAAAAUGACUUCAAUGUGAGAAUGUCUAAUGUUUGUCGUUUUCUACAUUAUUUUGCGCAGAAAAUCAAGACUUCAAGACUCCUUGUUGCUUCUAAGUCAUAGAGUCUGUUUUAGGAGUUUUUGAUGUACUUUUGAGUUUCAAAUUGUAUUUGGACUACAUGUGAGGGGUUCGAUGUUUUGGUGAUGACAUUGAACUUCGUUUUUCUUUACGAUGUAAUUUUUGAGUUGUUGUGAGUUUUGUCAUGAAAUUGCCAAAGGGGGAUAUUGUUAAGUCUUGUGUGUUGGCAAGUUUCGUGAAGUGAGUCGGAGUCUUGAAGGAUCGGUGCGUAUCGUCGAAGAUCGAAGAAUCCAAGACUUCGAAGAAAUCGGAAAUUAACUCACUAUGUGAAUCACGAUGCCCAGGUAAGCUUUUAAUUCAUGUUAUGGUGAUUCAUACUUAGUUGUAGGCAUUAGAAUCAUAAUACCUAAGUUUACUGGAUUAGAAAGUGCGUUGGUACUUUGCAAAACCCGAAACCAUGCAAAAAAUAGGUUUUUGCAAAGUGUAUCGGUACAACAUCGGAAGUGUACCGAUACACAUUCUGUUUCGGUACAACCAGCGACUUGUCACCGGUUACAGCAUUAUGCAUGUUUUCUCUUCCGUCAUCGUGUAACCGGUAACAACUUAAAGUGUACCGGUACACAAUGUAAUUUUCGGAAAAACUUUCUAAUCCGAGUCCGAUUGAUUCUAAAGUCUAUAAAUAAGCUAUUGGGGUUCUCUAACAGAUUAAGCAUCACGAAAAUUCAUGUUUGAGAAACCCUAGAGGCUUGGAUUUCAUCUAAAACCUAUUUUCUACAUACUAGCCUCUUUUAGGUCAAAUCGAGAUAUUGGAAUUUCAUAUCUAUAUGUCGAUUUGAUCUUCGCUUCGCUUAGAGUUCUCUUCCUUGGUUUUCAUCGAUACUCUAAGCAAAGGAUCACCAUAGCAUGGUGUUUCUCAUGGAUGGCGUCGUGGAUUCGGCGUGAUUGACUGCGGUUUGUGGAUUCGGAUCGUGAGCUUCGUGGAUUCGGAGUGGAGGCGUUUCGUGGAUUCGGAACGUGGCGUUCGUGGAUUCGAACGUGAGGGCGUGGACAACCCGGAGGAUUGCACGAGAUUCGUAAGAGGUUAAGAGAGGUCGAGUCCGUGGAGUCGGUAAUCACCUUGUAAUCUUUUUUCUUAGUGAAUUAGUUUUUCGCGCGUUGGUCCCGUAGGUUUUUCUCCAAGUUGGAGUUUUUCCACGUAAAUCUCGGUGUGAUUUUACUUUCCACAUUUACUUUUAUUGCAUCGAGAUUUGUGAUUUUUUGGCCGUUACACCUAUUCAGCCCCCUCUAGGUGUUGGAUACAAUCUAAAUAGAUCAUUGGGCUCCUUUAAAACUUACACUUCGAAGACCACUGCUUGGGUGGAGCUACCACCGAUUAAGCAAACAGACGAAUGUGAGCAUGAUCCAAUCCUCUAGCCCGAGGAUACCCUACCAACUAGUGGUAAUCAAGCCAGGAACAACACCGAUCCCAAUCCUCACGUCCGAGUAAUCACAUUGUCUCUAGCUAAUGCCGCAAUGUCUCAAAUCUCUAUCUAAUGCCACAAUGUCGAGUUUUCCCACAUUUACAUGUCAAUUGCCACUUUCCUAUGCCACAUUGUUCAAGUUUGUUAUCAUGCCAAUAUAGAGCCCCUUGUCCACAUCCAAUCCUCAUCUCACAUAACCCUAUGUUCCAUCACACACACACACACACACACACACACAUAUAUAUAUAUAUAUAUCAAUCUCAUGAGAGCAAGUAAGGAAAGGAAUGAAUAACAACCUACUCUAUAAUGCAUGAAUGCUACAUGAACNUAUAUAUAUAUAUAUAUAUAUAUAUAUAUAUAUAUAUAUAUAUAUAUAUAUAUAUAUAUCAAUCUCAUGAGAGCAAGUAAGGAAAGGAAUGAAUAACAACCUACUCUAUAAUGCAUGAAUGCUGUAUGAACAAGAAUGGCCAAAGUAGCAACAAAGACAUAGAAAGAAACCUGGAUGUUCCGGAUAGCACCCCCCACCUCUAGCUGAUGCUGCGACGCUAGAAAUCCGAUUUCGCAAUUUUUGGAUGCAGCCUCGGCUUUCCAGGCGAAAACGAAGCCAAAACGGUCCUUUUCUCCAAUAUCUUCGCGUAGCCUUGUCGGAUUGCCGAACCGAGGCCACCAACACGUCAGAAUACCUAGCAAUAUAGGUUUACAAGAGAUCAAUUCCUACUUUAGAUCUCAUUCGUACAAAACCUCCUUUUUGAGCCCUAGAUCACCACUAUUGCAAGAAUCAUCGUAUAACCUCAUGAUUCAAGCAACAAUCAUGUAUUUAACAUCUAAGGUUUCAUUUAAAACCAAUUCUAGAGUUUACAAACCAAACCCUAGCUACUUGCCAUUAGAGUUCAAAGAUCUUACCUCAACAAGCUCUCCUCAAGCAAAAGAAGAAGAAGAAGAAGAUGAAGAUCCACUUCUGGGCCUCAUUCUCUACCAACUCCUCCUCCUGAAUCCACCCUAUGAGAGAGAGAGAGAGCUAUUUUAGAGAGAGAGAGAGAGAGGUCACUUGGGUUGCAAGUAUGAGAGAGAUGAGAGGAAAUGAGCCCUAACCUCUCAUAUACACUCAACUUAUGGCCAAAUUGCAUAAAACCCCUCAAACAACACAAGUUGUGCACUGCCCAACCUAGGCAGUUUCGGGCUACGGGGUCCGGACCCUGCAUAGGGUCCGAACCCCGUAAGCAUGUUUGCUGCAAAAUUUUCUCACCAGGCCCCCCUCAAUGCUUACCAAGGUCCUACAAUGUCACGCAUCGCAACCGCCAAUUUGGUCGGUACGGGCACGUCGAACAGACGCCGAACAGACAGCACCUUCCUUGUCCGCCCAAGGCUAAGCAUCAAUGAUCAUGUACAAGAGUUGCCCAGGAAAAACUCAAACAAUAUACAUGAUCUAGCAAGCAAUGAUACAAGCACCACAAGUGCUAAACAAGCGAGAGCAAGCCACAAGUAUACACACAAGUGAACAAAAGAGAGAAUUCUAUCUAUUACAUCAUAUUCAACCCUUUAGGUAAUUGAGUUACAUUUACUUCUUCCAAAAUACAAUAUAAGUUCAUCUCAUCAUAGUAUAAGUAGGAAUACAACUCUCCAAUAGCAUCUCACAACCUAUACAUCAUCUAACACUCAUAUACAUAGGGUGUAUCUAAUGCAAAAAGGGAAGUCGCUACUACUAGGGUGCUAUGCCCUUACUGCGAUCCUCGCCCGGAGCACUCGUACUCGGCCCUGCAACAAAGUGGGGUGAGAACUAUUGUCCAUAGUUCCCAGUGGGUUCAGCCGCCGACUCUGCCGAUCUCCCGACUAAGUCUAAGCAGGUAUAAGCAGAUAGAUAGAUAGAUAGAUAUGAAAGUAACUCUGACAUAGUAAGAAAAUAGUCAAAUAUACUACUAUGUCUCAAUCAAGUAUAAUGAAUGCAUGCACUACAAGUCAGAAGUCAGCUAUCAUGCUAUUAUGUUCAAUAACUAUGCCCUUCAUUUGUUCACCCAAUCACUUGGCUAACUCGAAGGUUCGCUUUCGACUCACUAUGCAAUCUCGUAAGGUAAGGAGACGCACCUCACUCGCAAAUCCGAGACCGUCUGCGGGACAUCAACUCUGCCCCUCGUGUGACAACUCUGGAGUGCACGGCUUGUGUGGAGCGACCACCCCAAGCUCAAAAUAGACUGUGAGUAUGAUCCAAUCCUCGCCACUUGAGGAUACCCUAUCCACUAGGGCUAACAAUAGGUCGGAAACUCAACUAUCCCUCUAUUCAUAAUCAAGUGUCUCAACUACACUAUGGUUUUCAUGCGAUAUGUCAUAGCUUGGGGAAAUCCACCUAUUCCCUAAGUUCACUAUGUCACAAGUGUCUUCUCUACACUAAGUUGUAUGCCACUCGUCAUGUUGUCAUUUAUUGUUUACAUGCCACUCGUUAUGUCACUACAUAACCCUUGAGUUCUUCUCUUAUCUCGGCAUCAUAGGAUUCAAUGUCAAGACCCAAUCCUUACCUAUCCACUAUGUUAAGUAUUCAACUCACACUAUGAUAUCGACUAGGAAAGCAUAAGGAAAGGAAAUGCACAAUUAACAUCCUACAAUGUAUGCUAUAUAAGAGAUGCAAGGUUUACAAUGCACUAAGACAUAGGGAAGAGCUCGGUUGCUUCGGGAUGACACCCCCCACCUUUUGGUGAUGUUACGAGAUUUUAGGACAUUGCCUCGGCCUUCUAGGCAGAAACAAAGCUCGAACAAUUCUCUUUGCCAAUAUCUUUGCACAGGCUCGACGGAUUGCCGAACCGUUUCGCCAAUGCGUCGGAAAAUCUAGCAAUUAGGUUUACGCAUGCUCAAUUUAGAUAAAACCCUAUUGUUUACAAAAACCCUAUUUGGAACCCUACAAUUGCAACUAUUGUAAAAUACUCUUGAUCUCAUGAUCCAAGUAUUAAUUGUCUAUUAAGCAUGCUAGAGUUCCAUUUAAUCCAUUUCUAGAGCAUAUGAAGCUAACCCUAGAGAUCUACCAUGAAUGGACCUCAAGCUUGCCUCCAAAAGCUUGCUCCUAGCCAAGGAAGAAGGUGAAGAAGAAGAAGAAGAUCCUUCUCUUUGCUUCAAUCUCCACCAAUCCCUCUCCUCCUUCCACCUUUAAGAGAGAGAGAAUAAGAGUUUAGAGAGAGAGAGAGAGAGAGAGAGAGAGAGAUCUAUUCCUAGGUUGCAAAUAGUGAGGAGAGGGAAAAGAUAUGCCCUAACACAUACUAUACACCCUUACUUACUCACAAUUGCAAGAAACCCCCUCAACUAUGCAAGUUAUGCACAGCCCAAACGGGGCAUUCUUCGGGUACGGGGACCGGUCCCUCUAGGGGGGGGGGACCCGACCCCGAGAGCAAAAUUUCGCGCAGAGCAGCAGUCUGCCUUUUUCCACGCGUACGGGGUCUGGUCUCUCUCUAGAGGGACCGGUCCCCGAGAGCACAAAAUUCUGCAAAUGUGCAUAUUUGCACUAUCUUGCUCUCCAAGGCCUUCUACAAUGCACUAAAGUCGUUUUCGACACCUUCGGCCUUUCCGAAGCAUCCCAAACUCAACUUCGAUCAAUUUCGAUCGAGGUUCGAAUUUACGUUUCGGGGUUUUCAUAUCCUUACAUAAAACCCCUUAGAAACCAUUUUAACGCGUUCGGAUUUUUCCGAAUCGCCCCGAAGCGAACCACUUCGCACUUUGGUCAAUCCCAACCGAAGUUCGGAUUCGCACGUACUGAGGAUCCAACAACUUACAGGAAGUUUCGAAAUCGUGAAAUUCCGUAUGUAAAGGUGCUCUGGAGCAACCACGACGAGUGCGAAGCUACUUGGGAGUCGGAAAGUGCACUUCAGGAGUGUUAUGCCUAUCUUUUUCAGAUGGAUUCGUAAGGUACUUGAUUCUUAAUUUCGCAGACAAAAAUUCUUUUUAGGAUGGGAGAAUGUAGUACAUUGAAUUUUAGCAAAUUGCAAGUUUAUAGUGUGGGAAUAGUAUUUUGUACUAAUCUGAAUGUUUUGGGGGUGGUAGGUGGAGUGUCGACCUAUUUUUGGGUUGUAUUAGGCAUGAGAAAGGGUUCCCGACUUAAAAAUCUGCAAACUGCAGAUUUUUAGUGCUAAGUACCGGUACCAAAGUGGGGUACCAGAACCCUAUAAAGUGCCAAAAAGAGUAGCUCUCGGGUUUUGAGGAAUCGGGUUGCGAGCACCAAUAUUGGGCCGAGUACCGGUACUGCAUCAGGCUGGUACCGGUACGCAGUGUUAAACCCGAAUUUCCAACGUACGGGUUCUACAGGACUGGGCUUUUGGUACCAGAACUGUAAGGUACCGAUACUCCAAUUCGAGUACUGGUACUGAAUACUGCAGAGUGUAUUUAGUGCAGUUUGUAAUUUGUGAGUUUUUGAGGGGUUUUGUUGGGAUUGUUACAUUAGUGUAUAACCCCAACACUCCUUAUUUGUGGUCUCUUUUGUUCUGGGACCUGAGAGAAGGUUGGUAAGCUUCUCUCUUUCUUUCUCUUGAUUUCUUCUCCAAAUUCUUGUGGAUUUGAAGAAUUGAUCUUAUUUUCUUCUUCUUUUCCUUGGAGGCUUGCUAUUUGGACCUUAAGGAAGGCUUGGUUGUGAGGAAUGGAGCUUGUUUGAGGAUUAAGCUCCAACCCUAGCUUUGCCUAGCUUGGUUUGGAGCUUCUAUUAACGUUAGUACCUUUCUUGUUACCUCUAUUGGUGGAUUUUAUGAGAAUUUGUGGACUUAAGCUUAGUUUUGGAAAAGUAGGGUUUAAAUUGGGGAUUUCUUGUCGUGAGGCUUUUGGAACCUAAUUGAUGGUUGUAAAAUUCUCUUUUAGAUAGGAAUUGAAGCUUCCUAGCCUUGAUUGGAGUGUUGGACAAGUUUCUCUUGAUCCAAGAUAUUUUCUACCUUUUUUUGAUGUGAUUUUUGAUGAAUUUCGUCGGGAGUUUGAAGCUUCUAACUCUCUUAGAAUUUUUGUUAAGGUGCUAGGAGACUAGAGGACAACUUCGUUCGAGGAAACAAAGAGGUUCGAAGCAUAUCCGGUAGGUUUGACCUCACCGAAAUAGAUGAACCCCCCUAUGUCUUCCACAAUGUUUUAAAAUUGGAAUUCAUGCAUAUUUGUGUUAAUACAUCAUAAUGGGAUUUUUGAAUGCAUAAGACAUACAUGUUAUAUGUAGAAAUUUAUUAUACUCUACAUUGUAGAGAUAUGUGAUAUGGAUUUGCAUUCUAAAUUGUGUAUAAUAGUAUUUGCCCUUUAUGCAAUAAUAGAAAGUAUGUUAUAGAUGAACAAAGGAUAUGUUUCUUGGACUUUAUAUGCUUAGGGAAUCAACUUACAUGUUCUUAAUAUACUUGUUGUAGACAAUGUAAAGAUGACAUAUUGUAUGGUAAUAGCAAAGUAUGAACUCAACUUUGUGUACUUGACUUAGUUGAAUAACUAUAGUUUCACAUUGUGUACUUGACUUAGUUGAAUAACUAUAGUUUCACAUUGUGUACUUGACUUAGUUGAAUAACUAUAGUUUCACAUUGUGACAAGUACUCGACCUCUAGGUCGAUAGUCAACAUUCCAUGUUUUAGACAUGAUGUCCGAGAACUCUAUGUUGUUGAUCACGCUUGCUUGCCAUUGUGCUCAUUCGUAUAAGCUUAUGAGGGUCGCUCCCAACAAGCCGGCACUCUGGAGUUGGCCUACGCGACAUCAUACUCGUCCGUGCGGGAUUGGGCGCCGAAGUGGAUUGCCGUGGGCAAGGUUCAUUCCUAGAGGAGGAAUGCUUACUAUUAUGGGGCCAUUAGGCACGGCACGAGUCAGGACUACACCUUGUGUAGGUCCUCAUUAAUUGGGUAAUGAUAAUUAAUCAUAAUAAUUGGAUAUCACUACUAGAUAGUGCAUGACAUUUGGAUCUGACAUUAGCUAUUUACAUGCUCAUUCAUAUGAUAUAGAGUAGUGUUCUUACAUGUUAUAUAACAUAGUAAAUUGAAGGCAUAGUAGUAUUAACAAUUUAAUUCUUGCUUAAUAUUCAUGCAACAUCAUUAGUCAUUAUGUUUUCUAUUUAUGUCUCAGCUUACCUAGUGGUGCAAUUCAUUUUUCUCGACGGCUUACCCACUGGAAACUAUUGAUUAAUAGUUCUCAUUCUCAUGCUUUUGCUUUUUUUGUUUUCAGAGCCAUCUACUGCGGAAGAGGCUAUGGAUUGCCGCAAGAGAGUUGCGUCUAGCUAGAUCUAGCCGGGAGAUAUCUGUAAUAUACUGAACUUCUACGAUUAUGAAGUUUUGGAGGUGUCACGCCCCGGGACCGGCAGAGGCCCUCCCGGUAGCGUGCCCAGAUCCGCCAUAUAUCAACACAUAUAAGGCGUCUAAACAACAGCGAAAAAUAAAACUAAAGAUAAACUACAUCUAGAGAUAUCAGAGCACAGAUAGAUAUAUCAUCUACAACAAGGUAAAAGAAAAAAUACUAAAACAAUAAGAGUGAAACAUAUAGUUAUACAAUAUCUGCCCAAAAUAGUACAUAAAAGGGUGGUCUCUAAUACACUGGUACAGCUCUCAACCUCUCCAAAAUAAAUAUAUCGAGAGGUAGACCACCUAUCAACUCGUCCCUCGCUGAAGAGCUAGCUCGAAGGAACGCCCUUCCCACGGUCCCUAGCCUCUCCCGGCGUGGAAGACUCUAAAAGAAAACAUAAAACAGAGGGCGUGAGAACUAUAAUUUAUAGUUUCUAGUGGGCAAUUACUGACCUUAGCUCAAUGCACCACUAGGCCCCAAAGAAAGGGUAAAUCUAAAAAGAGAGCAAUAAUAAUGAUUAAAUUGCAUUAUGAAAGUAUAAUUAAAAUGCUAGGAUACUACAUUGUGUCAAAUUAAGAUGCACAUUUAUAUCAUUAUGAACAAGCAUGUCCCUACAUGACCACAAGUAACAAUCAUGAUUUGCUUUAUGAAAUUAUGAAGAUUAUGCUUUACUAAGGUAAACAAUGUUUACGUGAAUGCAAUAAGCAACCUCUCCUAGCAUGCUACAGGUACGUAUGUAUACUCAAGUGUCCAACACUAUACUAGAAGCAAAUCCAAGUAAUCCAACUACUACUCUCUAUCUAGUAGUGAUUAAGACCCAUUCAACACCGUGUUGAUUUCCAUUUCCAAUUAAGAACCUAUCCAAGGUAGUCCAGCUUGUGCCGCCUAAGUGCCUGUGGUAGCCCAAUAUCCCAGCUUUGGAAUGUGUCUAUCCCACUCGACCCUGUAGGCUUCUCAAUACCGCACGAGCGAACAUAGGUCGCUAGGCUAACUCCGGAGUGCCGGCUUGUAGGGAGCGACCCUCACAAGCAUGUGCGAAUGAGCACAAAUGGCAAGCAAGCGUAGUCAACGUCUCAAAUACCCAAUCAUCAUGUCUCUAACAUGGCAAAAGUCACUAGCAUCUCAAAGAUCUAAUUCAAUGUCUCUAAGUGAUGUUCCAGCACUCACUAUGCUUAGUGCUUAUUUAUGACACUUAAGCUUGUUAUAAGUUAACACAUUUCAUUCUAUGUUCCAUUCAUGACAUUAGUGCUAGGUUCUCAUUUAAGACAUUAAUACCGAUGUUCACUAUGGCCCGAGCCCAAUGCCUCUUUAUGACAUUAACUCAAAUUCUCAAAUAGUCUAAGUCCCUAUGCCUCGCUAGGCUUCCAAAGCCCCUAAUGUCACAACUAGGUAUAAAGGUUAAAUGCAUGAAAGCAAUGUUCAUUUUCAUGAUAGGAAUUAUGGUUCCAAAUCUCAACCAGAAUGCUAUGUCUCACAUGCAUGCACCCUACCACAUAGAGGUCCAAAAAUUUACUAUACAUUACACAUGCAUGUUAAGCAUUCUAAAAUUCAUAAUAAAUACAUUUAUCAUGGAUAUGCAUGAAUUUCUACUUUACGAAGCACAAAACACCGGAUAUGAGCAUUUCUCAUAUCAUAGGCUAGGCCAAACCCACCGAACGUCGCGCAACUCUUCGUUUGCUACAACGAGGGUGUCCACUAGCCUCCUAGUACCCUAGAGGUAUGAAAACAAAGGUUAAACAAACCUUACGAACAACUACAAAAUCAAACAUUAACCAUCUAAAGCUUAGGUGAGAAAAACUCACCUCUAAUGCAAAAUCUCUUCCUAAGCUCCAAAAGAGAGCUAGAACCUUUCCAAUCCAACCUAGUGGAAGGUUCUAAUCCAAAAAAUCAAGCUCCAAAAGCCCUAAAUCAAAAAUGCCCAAAAUAAAUCCUAAGUCUCCAUUCUAGGGUUUCAUCUCAAAUCCAACAAUAAAACUCAAAUCUAGGGGGAGAGAACAAGUAGAUUACCUCUUAGAAGCUUCAAUCCAAGCUCUAAACUCUCUAAGUCCAAAGAUUUUCCCUCAAUCAAGCCCCAAAUUCAAGCUCCAAGCUUCAAUCAUGGUGGAGUUGCACCAAAAGGAAAAAAAGAGAGAUUAAACCCUUAAUUCCAAGCUAAAAAUGAAAUCAAAACCAAAGAGAAGCAUGGAGGAGCUCCCCUUACCUUCUCCCUGCUAUGGCAAGCUCAAAGAGCAGCCCAAGGGGCGUGGGUGCUGUUAUAGAGAAGCCACAUUGCAAAAACACCCCUGCAGUUUCGUCCAUUCAGAAUCUGUCACUGCGUACCGGUACACGGGCCCGUGUACCGAUACACUUCCUACGAAAACGCCAGACCCGAGCCUCGGGUUGGCUGAGAAGCAGCCAAUGUUGAUGGCUGUACCGGUACAGCCAUCACCCCGUACCAGUACACAGCCCUCUGAAGGCUACCCGAGAGCCAACCAAAAAUUCAAUUUUUCGGGUUUUGUUGCUAGGCUUUAAACCUCAAUUCUCAAGGCUCGAACCACGGGUCGUAACACUGUCAACGACCCACCAGAAAGUCUGGAACACUCUCCAACUCCCAAGUGGCCUCGCAUUCCUCGUGGUUGCUCCAAAGCACCUUAACGUAGGGAAUGUCACGGUUCCGCAAUCUCUUUACUUCGCGAGCCAAAAUCUUUAAGGGUUGCUCCUCGAAGCUCAAAUCAUCCUUCAGCUCCAAAGGUGUGGCGUCCAACACGUGAGCCGGAUCAUGAACGUACUUUCGAAGGACCGAUACAUGAAAAAUAUUGUGUACACCCGAUAGGUUCGGGGGUAACGCAAGUCGAUACGCUAUCGGGCCUACACGCUCCAAAAUCUCAUACGGUCCAAUAUAUCGGGGGCUUAACUUACCCCAAAUUCCAAAUCUUCUAAUCCCUCUGGUCGGCGAGACUUUCAAGAAGACAUGAUCUCGAAUCUGAAACUCCAAGUCUCGUCGACGCUUAUCAGCGUAACUCUUUUGCCUACUCUGGGCUGUGAACAAACGCUCCAGAGCAAUGCGAACCCUGUCCUCUGCUUCCUGGAGCACAUCUGGGCCUAACGCCAGUCUCUCGCCAACUUCACUCCAAUGAAGUGGCGAUCUACACUUUCGUCCAUAGAGUGCCUCGAAAGGUGCCAUCUUGAUGCUUGCUUGAUAACUGUUGUUAUAAGCAAACUCCGCCAUCGGUAGAUGCUGCGACCAUCCUCCCUGGAAGUCAAUUACACAGGCUCGAAGCAUGCCCUCGAGAGUCUGUAUAGUACGCUCUGACUGCCCGUCACUCUGGGGGUGGAAAGCAGUGCUGAAAUCCAAGCGCGUACCCAAAGCAUCCUGUAGGCUCCGCCAAAAUCCAUCACAAAGUCCAUGGUGAUCUUCUUCUAUUUCCAUACCGGAAUUGGUAAACUCUGCGAAUUCCACGCGGGAACUCGGUACUCAGCUUUCACCUGUUGGCAAGUUAAACAUCUAGCAACAAACUCACCAACGUCCUUUUUCAUCCCGGGCCACCAGUAAAGCAACCUUAAGUCCUUAUACAUCUUGGUGCCCCCCGGAUGUAUAGCAUACGGUGCUCGGUGUGCCUCUUGAAGAAUUUCUUCUCUAAGUGCCGAUUCUGCCGGUACACAGAUCCGUCCGCAGAAACGUAUCAAUCCAACACCGUCCACAGAAAAGUCACCGGUGCAACCAUCAAUCAUCUUAGCUCGAAUCCUUUGCAACUCCAUAUCGGAGACUUGCUUUUCUUUAAUUCUUUCCACAAGAGUAGAUUGUACCACCAAGGUCAUCAGCCUCAAAGGUGUAUCAAGAGCCACCACAUCCAACUCCAACCGCUUCAUUUGCUCGAUCAACGGCGGUUGAGUAACCACAAGCAUCGCUAAGUUUUCAGUCGAUUUCCUACUUAGCGCAUCCGCCACCACGUUAGCCUUGCCCGGGUGGUAAAGUAUCGUCAAAUCAUAAUCCUUGAGUUAGCUCCAACCAUCUGCGCUGCCUCAAGUUCAACUCCUUCUGAGUGAAUAAAUACUUUAAACUCUUGUGAUCCUAUAUACUUUGCAUCGCUCCCCGUACAAGUAGUAGCGCCAUAGCUUCAAUGCAAAGACCACGGCCGCCAAUUCCAAGUUGUGAGUGGGAUAGUUCCUUUCAUAGUCCUUCAACUGGCGAGAUGCAUACGCGAUCACCUUCCCGUCCUGCAUCAAAACACAUCCCAAUCUACUAAAAGAAGCAUCACUAUAAACCACAUACCCUGCUCCAGCAACUGGUAGGGUCAGGAUCGGGGCGGUCGUCAAUCUUUGCUUCAACUCUUUGAAGCUCUUUUCACACGCAUCAUUCCAAAUGAACUUGGUGCCUUUAUGCGUGAGCCUCGUGAGGGGAGUGGAUAACCUCGCAAAUCCCUCAACAAACCGUCGGUAGUAGCCGGCCAAGCCAAGAAAACUCCGAAUCUCGGUCACACUCGUCGGCCUCGGCCAAUCCUUGAUAGCUUCAAUCUUUCUCGGGUCCAUGGCUAUGCCUGAUCCUGAAAUCAAAUGGCCCAAAAACGCUACCUCUCUAAGCCAAAAUUCACACUUUUUCAGCUUGGCAUAGAGCUUCCUUUCCCGAAGCACUUGAAGUACAAGCCUCAAAUGUUCCUCGUGAUCCACAUCACUCCAGGAAUAAACUAAGAUGUCAUCAAUGAAUACCACGACGAAUCUGUCUAGAUAAGGCUUAAACACACGGUUCAUAAGAUCCAUAAAAGCUGCCGAGGCAUUAGUAAGCCCAAACUGCAUAACAGUAAACUCAUAAUGUCCAUACCGUAUUCUAAAAGCCGUCUUUGACACAUCCUCAGGCUUGAUCUUCAACUGGUGGUCCCCCGACUGCAAGUCGAUCUUGGAGUACACACUCGAUCCCUGGAGCUCAUCAAAUAAAUCAUCAAUCCUCGGUAAUGGAUACUUAUUCUUGAUCGUGACUUUAUUGAGUUCACGAUAAUCCACGCACAAGCGAAGCGAUCCAUCCUUCUUCUUGACAAAUAGGACCGGUGCUCCCCAAGGUAACACACUCGGUUGCACAAAACCCUUAUCCAGAAGGUCCUGCAGCUGUGCCUUCAGCUCCUUCAACUCCGCCGGUGCCAUCCUAUAGGGCGCCUUUGAGAUUAGGGUAGUCCCGGGGAUGAGAUCUACCACAAACUCAAUCUCCCUAUCAGGUGGCAUGCCUGGAAGCUCUGCUGGAAAUACAUCUCCAAACUCCCGCACGACGGGGAUGUCCUCAAUCCUAGGGGCGUCUGCAUCGCCCCGCAACACGACAGUAGCCAAGUAGGCUACACAGCCUCUGCUGAUCAACUGUUUAGCUCGAGAGGAGCUAAUCGUCAUCGCAAACAGCGAACUCUAGCAUCCUCGGUACACAACCUCCGCCUGCCCCGGCUCUCUAAAUGUUAUAGUUCGAUUCUUGCAAUCGAUAGUGGCGUAGUACUUGGUCAACCAGUCCAUGUCCAAAACAACAUCAAACUCCCCGAGUUUAUUUAAAGCUAGCAAGUCCACAGGCAUGAUCCAAUUUCCAACCUGAACAGGGCAACUGGGGCAAAACUCUCGAAUAUCCAAAGAGUGAUCGGGUACAAUAACUCAUCUCGGAUGCAACAAAGAUGUCAGUGGGAUGCCAUGCAACUCGGCAAACAGCCGGUCUAUGAAUAAAUGCGAUGCACCGGUAUCAAACAAUGCUCGUACUCGAAUACCAUAAAGUAAAAUAAUACCUGCGACCACAUUCUCGGCUGCUGUCGCCUCCUCAGUCUGGGCCGCGUAUAUGCGCCCGCUCGGGGUCUGUCGUGACCCCUCUGCCUGCCGCGGCACUAGCGGCCGUCCGGCCUGAUGAUGCUCAGAAAGUGUCCCCUGGCUGGGACCCGGUAAUGCUGGUGCAGAUGCCGAAGAUGGCGCUGAUGCUGGACCCCUCGAGCAGUCCGACUGGAAGUGGCCCUCCUGGCCACACAGGUAGCACCUGCCCCGACUGCGUGAACACUGCCGUGGAAAAUGGGGACCACCGCAGAUCACGGAGCGCGGAGCCUGGCGUCGAUCAGGUCCUCAUUGCUGAGUAGACUGGCCACAUCCUUGCGACUGGCUCCGGUGUCUCGGGUGUUUCGGCGGCCUCCCUAAGUGCGCCUGACUCGCGCCCUCAGCUGUGGGCCUCUUGCCCUUGCCCUUAUCCAGGGCCUCUCACCGCUCCUGCAGAUCUGCUACUCCACUCUCCACUAUGAGUGCGCGGUUCACAACCUCUCGGUAGGUUUGGAGGUUGGAGGACUGAACAAACCGAAAGAUCGAAGGCCGCAGUCCCCGCUCGAAAAUGCAGGCCUUGUCCUCGUCGUCUCGACCAACAAAGGGCACGCAAUGAACAAGUCGGGAGAACUCUCUCUCAUACUUGGCCACCGUUCUGUCCCCCUAGCGCAGGUUACGCAGAUCCUGCUCCAUCUUCCUCUUGACACUGUUAGGGAAGUAAUGCUCUAGUAGGAGUUCCUUGAACCUCCUCCAAGAAAUCGUCGUCAGAUCCGUGCUGGGGUUGUCCUGGAUGUCCAACCACCAUCUGUAGGCCUCGCCGUCCAAAUGAUGUGUAGCGAGCCAAACUCUGUCCCUCUCCUCGACGAAGGUGUCACGAAACAGCUUCUCCAUAUGCAUAAGCCAUUUCUCCACUAUCCAGUGAUCCACGUUCUCCCCGUCAAAGGUCUGUGGACUGCAUCUCCUGAACUCACUGAGACGCUCCAUAAGCCGAUCUCGCUCAGCUCCCUCGACCAUCACGAGGAAAACCGCCCUCGCCACCGAUGCUCGCGCUGGUGGUACCGCGAUGUCCUCUCCCCGAGGUGCCGCCGCUGGUGCCGUCCUAGAAGCGUUGAGUGCAGGGGACGACACCCUGGGCGCAACCACCUCCACUGGUGCGGGUGGUGUAGGGAUCUGAGUCUCCCUGGCGGCCUGCUGCAGCAGAAAGUCCUCCAAGCGCUUCAUUCGCGCCUCCUGUCGAAGCGCCAUGUCCGCCUGUCGCGUCACCAAAUAAGUGAGGGCUGCCAGCUGGCCCCUCAGCUCACGGACCUCAUCGGAUCGGAGGUAGCGGAGGUCUCGGCCUCCUCAAAUUGUGUCGCAUUGUCCGCCCCCGCAGAUUGAGAGCACGUAAUCGGCAUUGUCAUUACAAAACAUCAAAGCGCAAGUUAGUAACCCGCGCUAUCGAAUCCCCGCUCAAGUAAGAAUACUCAAAUCAUGCGAAAGUAAGGAAGUGUUAUCUACAACUAACUCCCGAUGUUACGUUGUCGGCCGCCAACGUAACCCUUCGCGAAGUUAGAAGUCAUACAAUCCGAUCCAACUCGAACUUUUUAGAGUUGUCAUAAAACCCAAUCACAAUACUUUCGCUCACAAGUCAAAUAGAUCUCGUCUCUCAUGAGCAUAUUUCCUAUAGUCCAACCGGCCUAAGGUUUGCUAGGUCCACUAAGACUCAACCCUAGGCUCUGAUACCAAACUAAUCUGUCACGCCUCGGGACCGGCAGAGACCCUCCCGGUAGCGUGCCCAGACCAGCCAUAUGUCAACACAUAUAAGGCAUCUAAAACAACAGCGGAAAAUAAAACCAAAGAUAAACUACAUCUAGAGAUAUCAGAGCACAGAUAGAUAUAUCAUCUACAACAAGGUAAAAGGAAAAAUACUAAAACAAUAAGAGUGAAACAUAUAGUUAUACAAUAUCUGCCCAAAAAUAGUACACAAAAGGGUGGUCUCUAAUACACUGGUACAGCUCUCAACCUCUCCAAAAUAAAUACAGCGAGAGGUAGACCACCUAUCAACUCUUCCCUCGCUGAUGAGCUAGCUCGAAGUAACGCCCUUCCCACAGUCCCUAGCCUCUCCCGGCGUGGAAGGCUCUGAAAGAAAAAAUAAAACAGAGGGCGUGAGAACUAUAAUUUAUAGUCCCAGUGGGCAAUUACUGACCUCAGCUCAAUGCACCACUAGGCCCCAAAGAAAAGGUAAGUCUAAAAAGAGAGCAAUAAUAAUGAUUAAAUUGCAUUUAUGAAAGCAUAAUUAAAAUGCUAGGAUACUACAUUGUGUCAAAUUAAGAUAUACAUUUAUAUCAUUAUGAACAAGUAUGUACCUACAUGACCACAAGUAACAAUCAUGAUUUGCUUUAUGAAAUUAUGAAAAUCAUGCUUUACUAAGGUAAACAAUGUUUACGUGAAUGCAAUAAGCAACCUCUCCUAGCAUGCUACAGGUACGUAUGUAUACUCAAGUGUCCAACACUAUACUAGAAGCAAAUCCAAGUAAUCCAACUACUAUUCUCUAUCUAGUAGUGAUUAAGACCCAUUCAACACCGUGUCGAUUUCUAUUGCCAAUUAAGGACCUACCGAAGGUAGUCCAGCUUGUGCCGCGUAAGUGCCUGAGGUAGCCCAACAUCCCAGCUUUGGAAUGUGCCUGUCCCACUCGACCCCGUAGGCUUCUCAAUACCGCACGAGCGAACAUAAGUCGCAUAGGCUAACUCCGGAGUGCCGGCUUGUAGGGAGCGACCCUCACAAGCAUGUGCGAAUGAGCACAAAUGACAAGCAAGCGUAGUCAACGUCUCAAAUACCCAAUCAUCAUGUCUCUAACAUGGCAAAAGUCACUAGCAUCUCAAAGAUCUAAUUCAAUGUUUCUAAGUGAUGUUCCAACACUCACUAUGCUUAGUGCCUCUUUAUGACACUUAAGCAUGUAAUAAGUUAACACAUUUCAUUCUAUGUUCCAUCAUGACAUUAGUGUUAGGUUCUCAUUUAAGACAUUAAUACCGAUGUUCACUAUGGCCCGAGCCCAAUGCCUCUUUAUGACAUUGACCCAAAUUCUCAAAUAGUCUAAGUCCCCAAGUCUCUCUAGGUUUCCAAAGCCCCUAAUGUCACAACUAGGCAUAAAGGUUAAAUGCAUGAAAGCAAUGUUCAUUUUCAUGAUAGGAAUUAUGGUUCCAAAUCUCAACCAGAAUGCUAUGUCUCACAUGUAUGCAUCCUACCACAUAGAGGUCCAAAAAUUUACUAUACAUUACACAUGCAUGUUAAGCAUUCUAAAAUUUAUAAUAAAUACAUUUAUCAUGGAUAUGCAUGAAUUUCUACUUUACGAAGCACAAAACACCGGAUAUGAGCAUUUCUCAUAUCAUAGGCUAGGCCAAACCCACCGAACGUCGCGCAACUCUUCGUUUGCUACAACGAGGGUGUCCACUAGCCUCCUAGUACCCUAGAGGUAUGAAAACAAAGGUUAAACAAACCUUACGAACAACUACAAAAUCAAACAUUAACCAUCUAAAGCUUAGGUGAGAAAAACUCACCUCUAAUGCAAAAUCUCUUCCUAAGCUCCAAAAGAGAGCUAGAACCUUUCCAAUCCAACCUAGUGGAAGGUUCUAAUCCAAAAAAUCAAGCUCCAAAAGCCCUAGAUAAAAAAUGCCCAAAAUAAACCCUAAGUCUCCAUUCUAGGGUUUCAUCUCAAAUCCAACAAUAAAACUCAAAUCUAGGGGAAAGAACAUGAUGCUUACCUCUUAGAAGCUUCAAUCCAAGCUCUAAACUCUCUAAGUCCAAAGAUCUUCCCUCAAUCAAGCCCCAAAUUCAAGCUCCAAGCUUCAAUCAUGGUGGAGUUGCACCAAAAGGAAAAAAAGAGAGAUUAAACCCUUAAUUCCAAGCUAAAAAUGAAAUCAAAACCAAAGAGAAGCAUGGAGGAGCUCCCCUUACCUUCUCCCUGCUGUGGCAAGCUCAAAGAGCAGCCCAAGGGGCGUGGGUGCUGUUAUGGAGAAGCCACAUUGCAAAAACACCCCUGCAGUUUCGUCCAUUCAGAAUCUGUCACUGCGUACCGGUACACGGGCCCGCGUACCGGUACACUUCCUACGAAAAUGCCAAACCUGAGUCUAAGGUUGGCUGAGAACCAGCCAAUGCUGAUGGCUGUACUGGUACAGCCAUCACCCCGUACCAGUACACAACCCUCUGAAGGCUACCCGAGAGCCAACCAAAAAUCCGAUUUUUCGGGUUUUGGUGCUAGGCUUUAAACCUCAAUUCUCGGGGCUCGAACCACGGGUCGGAACACUGUCAACGACCCACCAAAAUGUCGGAAAAAACUCAGAACACAACCAAUCACUCGAACCUCGCAAUUUGCAAAAGUCUAGUGCGUUACAGGUGGAAACUAGAUUUGGGGUACCGGAACUGUCCGAGUACUGGUACGUUGUUCUGUAGAAUGUAGAUUGUGAAGGAUGUUUUAGUAAAAUUAAGUAUAAAUAAAAAUAGCAUGAGAUACUAUUUUUAUUGACGUAGAAAAAGUAGAAGAUAAUUUAGAGAUGAUUUGUGGUGAAAUUGGAAUAGAAACAGAAGAUUUAGAAUUUUCUGUAAGAAGCGGGGCUGAUCUUUUAACAGAAAAUUCACAGUGUCAGAAAAUUAUGAAAACUUGGGAAUAUGUCGAAAUUAUUUUUAUGAGGCUAGAUUUAAAGUUUCAUGUCAUUCUGACACCCGGAAAGUGGAAAAUAAAAUCUACCUGCUACCUGCUAGAGAUUUUAGUCAGUAGAACAUUCGGUGACCAAAAAUGGUCCAAACUGAAAGAUUAAGAUUUUGUUCUUCUUGUUAAGUUAAACCGAGCAUGACUGUCAAAUUUGAGCGCAGACGGACAUUCAGAAGGGCUCCGGCGAAAAGUAUCAGAUUCUGAACUGCUAAACUGAAAGUUGGAGUGUGUAUUUGAGGGUUAAUAUGUAAACCCUUUGCCAAUUCCUCAUUCGUGCACUCCAAUCCGAGAGAGAGAGGAGAGAAAGCAAGCCUUCUCUCUUUCUCUCUUUCUCUUUUUCUCUCUAAGCUCACAUCUCUCUCUUUCUAGCAAAUUUCUCCAUUAAAGAGGAGAGGUUGGAGAAGAUGAAGUUAGAGAUGAAGCUUGGUGGUGAAGCAAGCUCUCCAAUGGUGGAUUUAGCUUGGAAGCUUGGAGAACAAGGUGAGAUUUUGUGGAUUUAAGGUUAGGGUUUUGUGUAAAUCCUUUGAAAAUGAUAUAAAUGGAAACCCUAUAUGAUUCUAAGCUAGUUUAAUGAAGAGAUUAUCAUGAUUAAUGAGACUCUCUUGAUGAAAUGGAAACCUAGGGUUGAAAUUGGGAUUUUUGUCCCUAUGAGGUUUUGAAUUAAAUUGACCCUUUAAAUCUCUAAUUAAAGGUUAGAAGAGCACGCCCAACAACUUAUUUGGGAUGCGUAAUGACCUCGGUGAUCGAUCGAAGGAAACGAAUCAAUUUAUGAAGAUUUGAGUUCGUUAGCCUUAAAGCGCGACGAAUUGCCAUUGGGAGCCCGAUUGCAAGUGACUACAAGCAAUCAGAGAGCGUUACGAGGUGGGUUGUGCUUCACCGAAGUGAUUAGGUCACUUUCAAGUGAAAGUGAAGUAUGAAUGUGUUUGAAGUAUACAAUUUUUUUUAAAAAAAGGGUAAAGUAGUUCUAAUCAAAACUGAUUAAAUUCGGACUCAUACAAUCCAAUGGGUCUCAUGUUGACCGAGAAAUUUUGGGGCCAAUAAUUAUAAUUUAAAUUCACAAUAUGCCCAUUCAUUAAUGCGAGUUGGUGGGCAUCAUGAAAGUCCUUUAAAAUUUUAGACCUAUACAAUAAUUCGGGCCUCAUUCCAGCCCAUUAAAUAUUAUCAUUUGUGCCCAAAACUUUUUAUUGAAGUGGGCCUGAUCAACGACGGCCCAUAUCCACACCCUAUAAAAUAUCUGUUCGAAAUUCAAUUUCAAACCACAACCCAUUCAAAAUUCGAUUUCGUAUUUCGAAUCCCCAACCAAUUCCCAAAAUAUCCUCCAACCAUCCAACAACCUAUUCAAAAUUCGAUUUUGAAUUUCGAAUCCCCAACCAACUCCCAAAAUAUCUUCCAACUACCCAACAAUCGAUUCAAAAUUUGAUUUCAAAUUUCGAAUCCCCAACCAAUUCCCAAAAUAUCCUCCAGCCAUCUAAUAACCCAUUCAAAAUUCGAUUUCGAAUUUCGAAUCCCCAACCAACUCUAAAAAUAUCUUCCAAUCAUGCAACAACCCAUUCAAAAUUCGAUUUCGAAUUUCGAAUCCCCAAGCAACUCCAAAAAUAUCUUCCAACCAUCCAAUAACAUAUUCAAAAUUCGAUUUUGAAUUUCGAAUCCCCAACCAACUCCAAAAAUAUCCAACAACCGAUUCAAAAUUCGAUGUUGAAUUUCGAAUCCCCAACCAAUUUCCAAAAUAUCCUCUAACCAUCCAACAACCGAUUCAAAAUUCGAUUUCCCCAACCAACCCCCGAAAUAUCUUCCAACCAACCAUAAUAACCGAUUCAAAAUUCGAUUUCGAAUUUCGAAUUCCCAACCAACCCCCAAAAUAUCUUCCAACCAAUCACAACAACCGAUUCAAAAUUCGAUUUCGAAGUUCGAAUUCCCAACCAACCCCAAAAUAUCUUCCAACUAACCACAACAACCGAUUCAAAAUUCGAUUUCGAAUUUCGAAUUCUUAACUGACUCCUCAAAAUAUCUCUCGCCACCUCUCCUAUUAUAAAUAUGAGAAUCGAAAUCAAACGUCGGACGAUAAAAGAAGAAGGGAAAAAAAAUAGAUAGAUUGCUAUACACGUUCUGACGUACAAAAAAUUCAAAGGAAGAGAGAUCGCCGAGCCGCCGAAAAGAGGAGAGAUCGCCGAACUGCGGAAAGGAGGAGAGAUCGCUGAGCCGUGGAAAGGAGGUGUCACGCCCCCACCCCGAGACCCCUACCAAUUUGGCAUGGUUCGGGCGCGGCGAACGGAAGCCGAACGGGCAGCACCUCCCCCGCCCGCCCAAGGCUCAACAACAGAUCGAGUACAAGAAUUUACCCAGGAAUUUAAAUUCUAUAAGUACACAAUCACAAAGGCACAAACAAUGCCAACAACAAAGAGCAAGUAAUCCACAAGAUACUCAAGUGAAAUAAAGAGAGAACUACUAGCUAUUACAUCACAUUGCAUUCUUUUUACAUUUACAUUUUUCUUUCCCAAAAUGAAUACAUGUUCAUCAAGUAUAUAACUCUCCAAAGUCCUCACCUACAAGAAUCUCUCUCAAAUACAUAGAUGUGCUAAUGCAAAAAGGAAAGCUACUACUCUACCAAGAAUCCUCACCGGUCGGGUGCGAUGCUCUUACCGCGGUCCUCGCCCGGCAAACCUGUACCUAGCCCUGGAAAAAAAGUGGGGUGAGAACUAUCUUCCAUAGUUCCCAGUGGGCUCGGCCGCCGACUUCGCCGAUCUCCCCACUAGGUCCAAGUGGGCAAAAGUAACACGAGAUAGAUAGAUAUAUGUAUAUCAAAGCUGUAAAGACAUAAUAGGAAAACUAUGCUACUAUGCCCAUAAUCAUGUGAAAUGAAUGCAUGCAUCAUAUAGUAAAAGAGUACUAUCAUACUAACAAGUUCAAUCCAUGUUCGAUAAGCUAUGUUCAAUGAUAAUAUUAACUUUUCAUUUACCCAAUCUGUGGCGAAACCCUUGGGUUUGCCUACGCUUCACAUAUCCAUCCCAUUGGGUAGGGAGGCUCUAUGUGCCCCCGAACUCGGGACUGUCUGCGGACAUGCACUCUGUCCCUAUCGCACGACACUCCGGAGUACUCGACGACCAAUCCUCUCCAUGUGAGGAUAUGGAUGGCUUUACCAUCCCGAAUAACAGACUAUGAGCUUGAUCUAUCCUCUCCACGUGAGGAUACCCUACGAACUAGGGCCAACAUUCUCUCCGAACUCAUCCAUUCCGGCAUUUAUACAUAAUUACCUAGCUAUACUAAGUUCAUUGUUCACGAGUCAUUUACUAGGGAAUCCACCUAUCCCUAAGUCCAUGAACCUCUAGUAUCAAAUACACUACAUAAUGCCACCCGUUCUGUUCUUUAAACAUUUAGAUGCCACUCUCUAUGUCACUAAAUAACCAUCGAGUUCAUCUCUUCACUUUAGCACUAUAGGAUCCAUGUUCCGACCCAAUCCUUACCUAUCUAUUUCACCAAGUAUUCCAUGUACACUAGGUUAACAUUUAGAAGCAUAAGGAAAAGGUACUACAAUGCAAUCCUACAAUGCAUGUAACACACUGGACCUUUGCAAGUUGCAAGGUUCGAGUGUUGGAGCUGAGUUCUGAACUUUUUCAGAUAUUCUCGAGGGUUGUGGAUAGUGGUCCGACCCAUGGAUCGUAUCUCGAGGAUUAUAGUAUUUUAUGUAGCGCUAAGUUCACGAAAGGGAUGGACUUAGGCUGCCCUCGGAUUGCUCUCUGUGCAUGGUGAAACCGGUGACAGGUCGCUGGUUGUACCGGUGCAGGAUUUGUACCGGUACACCUUGAUGGUUGUAACGGUACACUUCUGUUUUUCUGCAAACCCGAGGCUUGGGUUUGCAUUUUCGCAUGAUUUUUAUUGGUACACUUUUUCGUGUACCAGUACACUUUGGCAGAUUCUGAGCAGUUUGAACUGCAGGGGUGUUUUUGCAAUUGUGGCAUCUCUAUAUGAUCCCUCACACCCCUAGGGCUCUCCCUGAGCCUUGUACCAACAGAGAAGAGGUAAGGGAGCCCUCUUCACCAUUCCAUUUGAUUUUGAUCCCCAUUUUGCUUGGAUUUUGGUGGAUUUACUUCUCUUUUUACCUUUUGGAGCAAUUUCCACCUUGGUAGAGACUAGGAGCUUGGACUUGGGGCUUGUUUGAGGGAUGAUCCUUGAGCCUAGAGGACUUGGAGCUUGAUUUGAAGCUUCUAAAGAGGUUAGUAUCAUGAUCCUAGCCUUUGAUUCAUGUUUUGGUAGAUUUUACCCUUUGGAACCCUAAAAUGAGAACUUAGGGUUGAUUUUGGGCAUUUUGGAUCUAGGGCUUUUGGAGCUUAAUCUCUUGGAUUAGAACCUUGAUUUAGGUUGCUUUGGAAGGGAUUUAGCUUCCAUUUGGGAUUUAUAAGGAGAUUUCUACACCAUAGGUGAGUUUUGCCCCUUUGCAUGAAUUGGUUAUUGUUUGAGUUUGGUGUUGUUCGUAUGGUCCGUUUAACUCUUCUUUUUAUACCUCUAGGGUACUAGGGGACUAGAGGACACCUUCGUCGGAGCAAACGAAGGGGUUGCGAGAGUUGUGGUGGGUUUGACUUCAUAAAACCGGGGCAAAAUGUGUCCCCUAUGGGUGUUACCCUCGUCGUAACGUUAAAAUUCAUACAUAUUCAUGCUAGACAAAAUUUCUAUGAAUUUUAGAAUACUUAAAAUGCAUGCCUUAUGUAUUAUGAAAAUUUUGUUAAGGAUUUUCUAGGUAGGCGAAUUUCGUAAAGUCGAAUGGAGUCUUGAAGAGUUGAUCGCGGAGGUUUGAAGAGAAGAUUCAAUUUGAAGAGUAAAAGACUCAUUUGGAAAGCUCGGCACAUCAGGUAUGAAGAAUAGAUCAUUUGUGGUGAAUUUAUCUAAUUACAAUAAGUUCAGAAGACUUAGAUUGCUUUAAAACAUAUAAUCUGAACUUUUUAGUGUUCUGGGAUCGGUCCCAGAGUUGAGAGACCGGUCCCUGAGGGUCCUCACUGCGUAUGGUGUUGAGGCAACCGGUCUCUGGAGAGGGAAACCGGUUCCCGAACAUGGGAUUUUUUGUCACGCAGCGAGGGACCGGUCUCUGGCAUGAGAGACCGGCUCCCGAACGUUGUGUUUUCUGUCACGCAGCGAGGGACCGGUCUCCAACUCGAGGGACCGGUCUCCCAAAGACCGGUCUCCUCGAGAUGACUGGUCCCUGAGGACAACAUCAGUUUUUAAAAUAGACUUUUUGCAAUUCUAGUCCACUUCUAAGUCUUCUAAAUCUAUAAAUAAGCCAUGAGGGUCAUCAUAUGAGAUAAUGCUGAGAAUUUCUACUUUUCAAAAAUCCUAGAAACUUGUUUUUAUGUUCUAAUGAUUCUACUCAUAUAACGAGUUUCAUAUAGUCAACGAUCGACUUGAUUCUUAAGUUUUAACUCGAGAAUUUCUUCGAGAAUCAAGUUGAUGAUUGAUUAGAAGGUGAACCCUCAUUGCUUAUGGUAUUAUAAUUCUUAAUCACCACAAAUCAUCAAUUCUACGAGCUCCGGAAGGAGGUUCGACGCGUGGAUCUCGCGUGAAGCCGAGGAUUCGGUGGACGCUUCGAGGAGUUGAGGCGUUGAUGUGGCAAGGAGUUGCGGCGGGGUCGAUUGGAGGAUUCCUAUCGAUCGAGGACCAGCGAAGACAAUCGACAACGAGAAUUCGGUAAAUUGAGUCAUGUAUUUUGGAUAAAUCACUUGUACUCAAUUUUUUUUAGUGGAUUUUCUUCGUGUGAUCGGUCCCGUGGGUUUUUCACUCCGGAUUGGAGUUUUCCCAUGUUAAAUCUCGGUGUGCUGGUUUUAUUUUCUGCUAUCUUGUUUUACUCGCAUCGACAGUUUUAGCUUUUGCCGUUUACACCUAUUCACCCCUCUCUAGGUGUUAUUUACCUUUUAGAUCCUUGGGGAUCCAUAUCUUUCUAGUGGUAUCAGAGCGGGUAUAGGUUGUAAAUCAUGACCGAGGGUGGUAACAUCAAUCGACUCCCUCUCUUCAAUGGCACUAACUACGCUUAUUGAAAAGUCCGUAUGAGGGCGUUUCUUAUUGCCAUCGACGAGCGGGUAUGGCAAGCCAUUGAAUUCGGGUGGAAACAUCCUACCAAAGUUGUCGAGAAUGUUACCGGUCUGAAACCUAGAAAUAAAUGGACGAAAGAGGAAAACGAACUAUCUUCGUUCAACGGAAAUGGUAUCAAUGCUUUAUUCAAUGCUUUGAAUCAAACCGAAUUUUCUCGGGUCUUGGCGUGUGAAACCGCCUAAGAAAUUUGGAAUACUUUGCAAGUUACACACGAGGGUACAAGCUUAGUAAAGGUUCAAAAGUUGCAAAUGUUGACUAGUAGAUUUGAUUCUAUACAUAUGGAAGAACAUGAAUCCUUUACCGAGUAUUAUACUCGUUUGCAAGAUAUUGUAAACACGUGUGCUAACUUAGGCAAGAAAAUUCCGGACUCUAAAAUUGUUAGAAAAAUUUUGAGAACCCUUCCCGAACGAUUUCGUCCAAAGGUUGCGGCUAUUGAAACGGUAAAACAUCCGGAUGAACUUAAGGUAGAAGAAUUAGUAGGUGCACUUCAAACGUAUGAGAUGACUUUUUCUUCUAAUUCGUCUUCUUUCAAGUCUUCUUCUAAAGCUUCAGGGAUGGCUCUAAAAUCAACAAAAGGAGAUGACUCUACAACUUCAUCGGACUCGCAGUCGGAGCAAACCUUGGAGGAGUUUGAAAAGCAACUAGCGCUUCUAACGAAGAAGUUCCGUUGGAACUUUAGAAAGAAGUUUCCUCCUAAGUCCACUUCCUCCAAGUCAAGCAAAUCUAAAGGGAGUUCUUCUUCAUCUUCCUAUUCUAAGAAUAAAAAGUCCGAAAGCUCUUAUAAAGAUUUUUCAAAAGAGAAGAAAACUAAUGAAGGUCAAAUCCAAUGCUAUAAGUGUAGAGGAUUUGAUCAUAUUGCAUCGGAUUGUCCUAAUAAGAAGUCCUUGAAAAAAAAAAAAGCAAUGCAAGCCAUCACUUGGGAUGACUCGUCUUCGAGUGAGUCAUCUUCAAGUGAUGAGGAUGUUAACGCUACGGCACUUAUUGCACAUGACUCUUUUAUGUGUCUAGCAUCUACAGAUUCUAUCUCUAUGUCGUUUAUGUAUGAAAAAUCUUCUUCGGAGAAUUCAUCGGAUGAAGAAUCGGAUGAAGAUGACAUGGUCGCUGCAUAUCAACAAUUAGUUGUCGAAUCAAAGAAGGUGGCAAAACAUAACAAGAAGUUGCGGUGGAGACUAUAUGACUUGGAGCAAGAGAAUUCAAGACUGGACUCACUAACAAAGGAUCUAGUACAAGAAAAAGAUGGUUUGACUAAGGCUUAUGAUUCUUUAUUUGAGAAGUGUACAUUACUUGAAAAGGAAAAUGAGUCUCAUGUUGAAAAUACCAAUUUCCUUACCAAGCAAUACACGGAAGAUAGAGAAGUAAAUAUGGAAUUUACCAAGACGAUUUGUCACGCCCCGGGACCCGGCGUAAGCCCACCCGGUGCGUGCCCAGACCCGCCAUAUACCUGCACAUAUAAGGCGUCUACAACAAAACGAAUAAAUGAACAAAAAGUUGAAAGUACCUAGAGAUAUCAGAGCAAAUACACAGCUAGGUUCUAACAUCAGGUAGAGUUAAAAGAAAACAAUACUACUAAAGCAUAAAGUAAACUAAUACAUCAUAAAUCUCAAGAUAUAAAAAAAGGGUGGUCUCUAUAACCAGGUACAAAACUCUCACAACCUCUCCAAAGAAAACAGAAGAGAGAUCGACCACCUAUCGCCAAAUCCCUCGAUACCUAGCUCGAGGCAAAACCUUUCCCGCGAUCCUGAGCCUCUCUCGAAGUGGAAGGCUCUGAAAGAAAACAUAAAACAGGGGCGUGAGAACUAUAAAUUAUAGUUCCAAGUGGGCAAUUACUGACCUCCACCAACUGCACCACUAGGCCCAAAAGAGAGCAGAUAAGGUUAAUAGAAAUUAACUGCGGUAAAUAAAGCAUAAAGAUAAAAUGGUACACUAUUAUGCCACAAGUAUGUAAAAUGUCAACAUGGAGUACAUCUACUCUACAUGAUCCAGUAUGCCGAUACUUAAACAAGUAUGCUAUGAUGCAACAAAUAAUACUAUGAAGUAUGAUAAAUGCCCCAAAGCGAACUACAUAUCUAGUAUGUACUAUCAUGGCAACCAAGUAUACUACAAUGCAACGAGCAAUACCGUCAAGUAUACUAUAUAUCUCAAUGCCCAACCCUAUGCCAUAGCAUGUCAAGAAAUCCAACUACUAUAACUUGUCUAGUAGUGAUUAUCAACUUGUUGUUUAAUAUUCGGAUUCAAUCUCAUUUAGGACCUACACAGUUGUGGUCUGGCUUGUGCCGCCUAAGUGCCAGUGGUAGCUCCAGCAUUCCCACUCUAGGAAUGAGUCUAACCCUCCAGGCCCCGUAGGCUACUCGAUACCGCACAAGGAAACAUAAGUCGCGUAGGCUAACUCCGGAGUGCCGGCUUGUAGGGAGCGACCCGUACAAGCAUGUGCGAAUGAGCACAAAUGGCAAACAAGCAUGGUCAUCGUCUCAAGUACCCAAUCAUCAUGUCUCUAACAUGGUAACAGUCACUAGCAAUCCAAAGGUCUAGUACUAUGUCUCAAUGUGAAGGUUUAACCAUUCAAUAGUUUUCAGGUCAAUGAGCUUAGCUUUACUAAGUCCAAAUCGCAAGAUGAUGUUCCAACAUUCACUAUGUUUGGUGCCUCUUUAUGACACUUAAACAUUUCUAUAAUCCAAGCACAUUACACAUUCUAUAUCUCUUUAUGACAUUAGCUUGUACUAUCAAUAAUAGGUUAAUACACAUGCUCUCUAGCGUGUUCUCAUAUCGCUACGUGCAGGUUCUUCCCAAUGCAACUAUCAACUUUGCAUAAUUCUCAUAAUAAUAUUAUGCACAUACCAUUCACAUAUCCAUCAAGUCUAAUGCCGCUUUAUGACAUUAGCUUGCUAAGUCCAUUUCUAGUCCAAGCCUAAUGCCGCUUUAUGACAUUAGCUUACUAUUUGUAUACACUCUAGCCUAUGUCACUUCAAUGACGAUAUGUCUAACCAUGUCAAGUAUGCGUUCUAAGUCCAAGAGUGUAAUCUAUAUGCCAUAUGCACCAUAUGCAACAUGAUCUCAAACCAAUGUAAGAAUGCUAAUCAUAUGCAAAGUUUCAAGUCUGAACAGUUCUCUACUAUAUAGAGGGCCACUGUACUUUAUACAUAGUAUGCACAUAUUAAGCAUUCUAAAAUUCUCAAAUAUUCCAUCUAAUAAGAAUAUGCAUGCUUUUUUAUUUUAUAACACUUAAAUCAUCAACAAUGAGAUUUUCUCAUUGUGUGGCUAGGUCAAACCCACCGAACCGUCACGUAGUCCCUUCUUUCGCCGAACGGAGUUCUCCACGAGUCUCAAAAUACCCUAAAAGUAAUGAGCGAAGGGAUACACAAGUAUUACGAACAACUAUAAGAUCAAACAUUAACCAUCAAGGCAAAAGGGCUAAAAUCUCACCUAUGGAGUAGAAAAUCUUUCCCAAGCUCCAAAAGAGAGCUAAAUCCCUUCCAAUCCAACCCAAAGGAAGAUUCUAAUUCAAUCAAUUGAACUCCAAAAGUUCUAGAUCAAAAAUCCCCAAAACAAGCCCUAAAUCCUCAUUUCUAGGGUUUCUAUACAAAAAUCAUGAAAAUCAUGAAAGAAAGGGAAAUAGUAAGCAACUAACCUCUCAUAAAGCCUCAAACAAGGUUCAAAAUCCACAAGGGUCGAAGAUCUCACCUCCAGCGAGCUCAACUCCAAGCUCCCAAGCUUCUCCCAUGGUGGAAAAGUCACCAAAAGGCAAAAAGAGAGCAAAAGAGAAAAUUAAACAUCAAAAAUCUUAAUUAAAGAAAAGAAAAAGAAAAAGGGGAAGAGGUGUAGGAUACCGAACUUCUGAAAAUAGGAAGUUACGGUAGGAUAGUAUGUCGGAGUUUAUUAUAAAAAUAAAUAUAAAUAAAAAUAGUGUGAGAUACUAUUUUAUUGGACUCAUAGAAGUAAUGUAUAAGUUGGAAAUGACCUGUGCUGAAAUCGGAGCGAAAAUCGAAGAUUUAGAAUUUUCUGUGAGGAAUGGGGCAGAUAAAUUAGCAGAAAAUACACAGUGUCAGAAAAUUAUGAAAACUGGAGGAUAUGUCAGAAUUAUUUUUAUGAGGCUAGAUUUAAAGUUUCAGCNUUUAUACUUGUGCCUUGCUCUUACUUGUUAGCACUUGUUGUGCUCUUGUGAUUGUGUACUUAUGAAUUGAUUCCUGGGUAAAUUCUUGUACAUGAUCGUUUGCUUAGCCUUGGGCGGACAGGGGAGACUCUGUCCGUUCGGCGUCUGUUCGACGCGCUCGAACCGGACCAAAUUGAUAGCGGUCUCGGGGCGUGACAAGAGGAGAGCUCCCUCACCUUCUUUUCCACUGCUGGCAAGCCCAGGAAACACCAAGGGGCGCGGGGUGUAUUUGUAAUGAUGCUGCAAUAGCAAAAACACCCCUGCAGUUCACACUGCUCAAAACUGCCACUGCGUACAGGUACACGGGUCCACGUACCGGUACACAUCCCACGAAAUAGCCAAACCCGAGCCUCGGGUUGGCUGGGAAGCUGCUUGUGUACCGGUACACGAUCCCGUACCGGUACAGCCAUCAACUCUGUACCGGUACACAGCCCAAUGAAGGCUACUCGAGAGCUAACCAAAAAUUCGAUUUUUCGGGUUUUGGUGCUAGGCUUCAAAUCUCCAUUCUCGGGACUCGAGCCAUAGGUCGGAACACUGUCUACGACCCAUCAGAAAGUCUGGAAAAACUCAGGACACCGUCCAAACACUCGAACCUUGCAAUUUGCAAAUGUCCAGUGUGUUACAUUCUUCACUCCUAAAAAGGAGUUUCGUCCGCGAAAUUGCUGGUCAACUACAACAAACCUAUCCAAAGAGGAUGGAAGAAGCGCUCUAGUAGCGCACCAAACAGACCAUGGUGGUCUCAAGUAUGCCGGAAAACCCCAAGGCACAAACACAACAAGAUCUCGCGACGCCAAGGCUUUGGCAUAACACAACCCAAACUUUCGCAUAAGCUCCUUGAACUCAAACCUUCACCGAAAGUUCCAUCUCUAAUCCGCACUUGAUCGACACGUCCAUCAGUUGGUCCUCACGAACCCAAGUGUUUCCGAAAGUUGAAUUUCAACUCUCACCUUUCUCGUCCAUGUCGAGGGUAAAGCAUUACUCUGCUUCAAUUACUCUAAUAUAUAGAAUUCCAUCCAAAUACCCCUCAAGGGUAGAUUCCAUGGUGCUAACCAAAGCAAGCGUCAGGGGGGGUUAAAUCCAUUACUCAUCUAUCGGAACUCCAUCGGAGUGCUCAUCUGAUCAACACUCACCAAGGAGAGGUGAUGCAACAUCCACUCAUCGGCUCAUAUUCCAACGAUGAUCCUUCAAAUCCAAGGUCAACUCUCUUCUCGAGAUGGCACAACUGAGUGCAAUUCAAUCCAAGGUUAAGUAUGGUGUACCCCCUUCCAUCUCAUUGCUAAUUGCAACUUCCACCUAUCCAUCCAAUCUUGCUUGGCACGAACGGUUCUAAACCAACAUCCAAGGUAGCCAACCUUCCAAUAGUAACAGGAACCGACGAAUCGUCCAACUCGCUCACCAAAGGUGAUCACUUGAUUCCUCAAUCGGUACGGCGAUACGAUGUCUCCACAUCAAUCUCAAACUCACCACUCGGGAGUACCCUCAAAUCCACUGCAAAACGGGGUCAGGAACUAAGCUCAAAGGCUUCAUCAAUGCACUAAGAUCAUCAUAAUAGUCCCAACUCAAGUCCAAGUAAACUCUUGCAAGCCUAGGCCAAGGGCCUAGCUUCGACAGAAGGUCCAUAACAUGACCGCUCGAAAAUUUUUGAUCUCAAUGCUUUUCCUAGCAUUGGAUGCUCCAGGUGUCCAUAGCCAUCGAGUUCAGUUCACGCGAUAGAGAGGGAUCAAGCCACAGUUCAGUAAUAACUCUCUAUCAAAGUCAUCCUGAAGCGACUGUCAAGCCAAAAUCCAUCCAAUAAGUCCUCAUAUGCAGCUCUAUCCCAAAGGGCUCAAAUCCUUGUACACGCUCCUGACAAGGGAAAUUAGUAACUUGGUACCUUCUUUCUCGCGAGUCCUCCAUCCAUCAGUGAGAGUCCCCCAACUCGAUCACUUCGAACCUGCCUACGCAGUCCAAACUCGCACUUCCUAAAAAAAAAAGGAAAUAUCCUAGGCCAUCCUUGACUGGUUCCACAAAUCCAUCCAGAGGGCUUGGGACUAUCGCUCAACAAGUCCUUAACACUGGUGGAGUACAAUAGGCUUAGGCAACAUCAUCCUCGUGAUGUCCCCACCUAGCAUCACUAUCCGUUGGAGGUACGACCUCAAACUCCAACAUCAAACAGUACUACUUAGUUUGCUUACAAUCUUAUCGAGUACACCAACAACUUAAGGCCAUUUGACAAAGUCAAUGAGCCUCAGCACGGUCCAAACACCCAAUCGUGGUUAAAUUUGAAUCACGAUAGUCGACAUACAGUCAAAAUGACCCAACUGGUCCCAUAACAAGUGAGAGGGCUUCUCCACGAAGCAAAACACUAACUAUAAAACCACCCCGCCAAUCGAGCUCACGAUUUGUGACUCGGUCGGGGACACAACGACGGAUCAAAGACAUCCUUCAUUUCAAGGAUUCUCAAUCAUCAAAAGCUAAUGGCCAAAUAGGCCCCAAAUCCUCUCCAACACUUACCCAAUUUUAGGUAAGGGAGACAGUCAACGCAACCAGCGGAAUUAAAUCCUCAAAUUGCACUAUUUCGUGCUCAAGGUCCUCAAGGCGAGUCAAGUCAGCUCGCUAUCCAAGGGUACCAGGUACCCACAACAACUCCACACCAAAAAAGGCCAAUCUAUUUGUUGGCACACAGAACCAUCUCAUAUGGUAGGGCGUUCGAAACGACACACCCGAUCAACCGAUCAUCUACACGCGCCGAAAUGUUCAACACUACAACUCCUCGGGUUGGGUCACUACAAACUCGGUGUGUCCUUGAUCUCACGAUCCAACACGUGGCUUUCCACGCUCCAGGGUCUACGCUCGGACUACCGUCCUGACCAAAACUCUGCCCUACCCGUAGGUACCAGGCCGCUGUCACACACAGCCGACUGCGCCUACCCAACGGGCCCAGGCUCCACAGUCCCCAAAUGGUCCAGGUACGGUCGUCUCCAAGCACCACUCGGCAAGCAGCCAAUCUAGGGAUGCAACUUAUGCUAUCCUCGUGAGAUCUGCAAGCAUAGCAAAACAUGCUUCCCACAACCCGCAGAUCAACCGCCUAGCUCGAUGGGCUACACAAUGUCGCAAACAGCGAACUAACAAAAUGCUAUGCAACUCGGCGAGUAGCCGAUCAUAGAUGCAAUGCACCAGUAACCAAUGAUGCACAACUCAAAUGCCACAAACGAGACUGAUACCUGUAGUCACAAACUCGGCCGCUGCUGCCUCCUCCGCCUGGGCCACGUACAGGCGCCCGCUCGGAGCCCGUUGUAGUGUUCUUGACCUUUGGAUAGGAUUGGCUUCAGUAUUAGUGACUGGUCGACAUCUCUGGAGAGUGUCGGACUGAGUCGGAGUCAAUUCUGCACGAAUUGGAUGCAGAAUUGGACUCGGCGCACUCAAAUAGGCAAAACUCAAGUUUUGCCAGAUUCGGGCGCCCAGAACAUAGUUCCGGGCGCCAUAAAUGCCCGUUUCUGCAGGGACACUGGAUAGCAGCUUGAGUUCCUGGGGCUGUCUGGAUCAUUUUAACUCUCUAUAAAUAGAUGGAAUACGCCCCUUUGCUGCUCUUUUCCUCCCUUCUUCACAGAGAAGUCCCUUUUAGCAUCUCUACCCUCGGAUUUGCCUCAAAUUGCAUCAAACUUCCAUUGAUCCAGCUUGAGAGAGUGCUGAUUCUGCAGUUCUUCAGCGGCGACCUCUAGUGUUUUGGCUCGUGCGCGACGUAGGAAGGUCGGAUUUCGACGAAACUUGGUUUUCUGGAUUCUAGACUUCCAGAGGAAUCCACGAAGCCCUGAAUUGUAGAUUUUGGUUGAGGUUAGCUUGGUCGAAUUGAGGUUUUUCUGGACUGCUGUUGGCUUUGAGCUGAAAAUGGGAUUUUUGAGUUUUUCUUGAUGUUAACUUUGUUGGCAGUGGGAUUUUGGACCUGAGAUUGUUCACCCAUUAGUAGUUGCUGGAUUUGGAUCUGUCCUCACCCGAUUUGGAGAUCAUUAGGUGAGUUUUGACAUUGGAAUGGAGAUAAUUAAGCUUAAGUGCUGAAAUUUUGAUAAAUUGAUGGUUUUUAUUGGAUUUUUGGGUGAAUUGUAAAUCCAGAUCUUGAGGGGCUUUGUUGCUGGUUUGGAGGUGUUUCCAGCAGUGUUGCUUGUGAUCCGAGACCAUCUUGCUGCCAGGAAUUGCACUAGAGGUGGGUGUAUCAUCGGUUUCGCUCCUAAGUGCAUGUUUAGUCGACGUGUAUAGUUCGAUUUUUGUAUAUCAUGCUUUAAUUCAUCGAUUAGUAUUUUGAAUGUAAUAUGAAUGUAGAAGCAUGCUGAAAUGAAUGUUUAUAUUAUACAUGUUGGACUUGAAAUUUGACUUAGGAGAAAACCUGCGUUUUGACCCGUCAUAUGCUUAAACUACCAGAUUUAGCUCUAGGAGCCGUGAUUCGAUUGUAUCGUUGCAGUAUCAGUGCGAUGGAUACCUGGGGUAGUUUAGAAAGCAUUUACGCUCGUGCUGGGGUGCCGAGCUUAUUUUUUAGCAGAGUAUAGGCUGUUUCGGGUCGUUGGGUGCCGUUCGGGUUAGCGGUGGACCCAGAUUCUUGUUUUGGUCACAGAUUGUGCCGAGGGCACGUGGGUUUGGUUUGUAGACCUGUUUUGACCCUGUUUACUUGACUUUGGCUAGUUGGAGCCUGUUUGAGCUCGACAGAGAUACGCUGCAUACUCGGUUGGGUAGUGCCCACGAGUGCCACUCCGGAGUCAGGCUUUGUGCUUUCGCGUUGGUGUCGCUCAUGCCGGUUGGACUUGCUCUCCACGGACCAGUUGUGUGGAUAGAGCCUGAUAGUUGCAACUGGGCAGGGACAGGUGUGUUCACAGUCCCAGGGACGGGUAUGUCUACAGUCCCGAUUGGAUUGGAUCAGAUUUGAUAUUUCCUACAGUUGGUUAGUGUAGAGCAUGAUAGUAUAGUGAUUCGUAGCGGUUGAGUUUAUUUCCUGCUUUUUGGCUAUUCUUGCUCCCUUCUGUAGACUUAGUGGGUGGACCGAUGUUGUUUUGGGCGGUACCCACUGAGGACUACUUGUUUUUACAGUAGUUCUCAUGCCCAGUUGUUAUCCUUGUUUUGCAGAGCCACAGGUUUCGGCUGCUGCGCCUUCCGCGGAUCAGGAUCGAGGCAAGGGCGUCGCGAGUUAGAGCCCUACACGACGUGCUGAGCUAGAGGUGCCCCUACUGCAGGUAGAUGUUUUGUUUCGAGUUUAUGUACAUAGUGGACUUAACUCGCCAGUGCGAGUAGCUUUGUAUUUUGGAUUUGGACUAUGUAUAUGAAACUCAGUUUGUUUAGCUUCUGUUUUCUCUAGUAGCUCUUUACUACUGUUCGUAGUAGUGUUUGAUUUACAGGUACAGCUAUCGCUUCGUAUACAGGGAAAAUUCCUUUGUAUACGGCGGAUUUGUCGGCGCACCCUGGGGAAAGUGUAAUCCGGGGCGUGACACCCGUCGUGACCCAUCCGUCUGUCUCUGGACCGGUGGCCUCCCGGCCUGAUAGUGGGCAGAAGACGUCCCCUGGCUGGGACCCGGUAAUACUGGUGCCGAUGCUGAAGGUGGCGCUGAUACUAAACCCCUCGAACAGUCUGACAGGAAGUGACCCUCCUGGCCACACGAGUAGCACCUGCCCUGCCUCUGUGAGCACUGCUGCGGGUAAUGACGACCACCGCAGAUCACGCAGCUCAGAGUCUGACGACGCUCGGAUCCUCUAUGCCGUGCUGAUGAGCCACGUCCUCGCGACUGGCUCCGGUUCCUGGAAUGUCUCGGCGGCCUCCCAGAGUGCGUCUGACUCGCACCCUCAGCCGCGGGCCUCUUGCCUUUUUCUUUGUUCGAGCCUUCUCGACGCUCCCGCAAGUCUGUCGCGCAGCUUUCCACGAUGAGAGCGCGGUUCACCACAUCUUGGUAAGUCUAAAGGUUGGAGGGUUGCACCAUCUGAAAGAUCGACGGCCGAAGUCCUCGCUCGAAGAUGCAAGCCUUAUCCUCGUCGUCCCGCACAACAAAGGGCGCAUAGUGUAGAAGCCGAGAGAACUCCCUCUCGUACUCGGCCACAGUCCGAUCCCCCUAGCGCAUCUCGCGCAGAUCCUACUCCAUUUUUCUCUUAACGUGGACGAGGAAGUAAUGCUCCAAUAAGAGCUCCUUGAAUCUCUUCCAAGAAAUCGCUGCUAGGUCAGUGUUGGGAUUAUCCUGGAUACCCACCCACCAGCUAUAGGCGUCGCAGUCCAAAUGGUGAGUGGCGAGCCAAACUCUAUCUCUCUCCUCCACGAAAGUGUCGUGGAAUAACUUCUCCAUGUGCAUCAACCACUUCUCAACAAUCCAGUGGUCGGCUUUCUCUCCAUCAAAGAUCCUGGGGUCGCACCUCCUGAACUCGUUGAGGCGAUCCAUGAGCCGCUGCCGCUCGGCUCCUUUAACCAUCAAGGGAAAAGUCGCCGCUGCUACAGGCACCUGAGCUGGUGGUGCUGCCAAUACCUCCUCCCGAGGGGCUACCACAAGUGUCGUCUGCGAAGGGUCGAGUACAGGGAAUGACCCCUCGGGCGCAACUGUCUCAACUGGCGCGGGUAGUACCGGGACCCGGGCCUCUCUGACAGCUGCCUGCUGCAAUAGAAGAUCCUCCAGGCGCUGCAUCCGUGCCUCCUGCCGGCGUGCCGUAUCCGCCUGCUGCUGAGCCGCCGCCGCCUGCUGCGUCACCAAAUCAGUGAGGGCGGCAAGUUGGCUCCUCAACUCACGGACCUCACCGGAUCCGGAGGUAGCGGAUGUCUCCGCUCCCUCAAAAGGCGCCGCAUCGUCCGCUCUAAUAGACUUAGAGCAUGUAGUCGGCAUCAACACUACAACAUCAUAAAAGCGCAAGUUAAUAUAACCCACGCUAUCGCAUAAAGUAAACUAAUAUAUCAGGUAAAGUCAAAAGAAAACAAUACUACUAAAGCAUAAAGUAAACUAAUAUAUCAUAAAUCUCAAGAUACAAAAAUAGGGUGGUCUCUAUAACGAGGUACAAAACUCUCACAACCUCUCCAAAGAAAACAGAAGAGAGAUGGACCACCUAUCGCCAAAUCCCUCGAUAGCUAGCUCGAGGCAAAACCUUUCCCGCGAUCCCGAGCCUCUCCCGAAGUGGAAGGCUCUGAAAGAAAACAUAAAACAGGGAGCGUGAGAACUAUAAAUUAUAGUUCCCAGUGGACAAUUACUGACCUGCACCAACUGCACCACUAGGCCCAAAAGAGAGCAGAUAAGGUUAAUAGAAAUUAACUGCGGUAAAUAAAGCAUAAAGAUAAAAUGCUACACUAUUAUGCCACAAGUAUGUAAAAUGUCAACAUGGAGUACAUCUACUCUACAUGAUCCAGUAUGCCGAUACUUAAACAAGUAUGCUAUGAUGCAACAAAUAAUACUAUGAAGUAUAAUAAAUGCCCCAAAGCCAACUACAUAUCGAGUAUGUACUAUCAUGGCAACCAAGUAUACUACAAUGCAACGAGCGAUACCGUCAAAUAUACUAUAUAUCUCAAUGCCCAACCCUAUGCCAUAGCAUGUCAAGAAAUCCAACUACUAUAACCUGUCUAGUAGUGAUUAUGAACUUGUUGUUUAAUAUUCGGAUUCAAUCUCAUUUAGGACCUACACAGUUGUGGUCUGGCUUGUGCUGCCUAAGUGCCAGUGAUAGCUCCAGCAUUCCCACUCUAGGAAUGAGUCUAACCCUCCAGGCCCCGUAGGCUACUCGAUACCGCACAAGCAAACAUAAGUUGCGUAGGCUAACUCCGGAGUGCCGGCUUGUAGGGAGCGACCGGUACAAGCAUGUGUGAAUGAGCACAAAUGUCAAACAAGCAUGGUCAUCGUCUCAAGUACCCAAUCAUCAUGUCUCUAACAUGGUAACAGUCACUAGCAACCCAAAGGUCUAGUACUAUGUCUCAAUGUGAAGGUUUAACCAUUCAAUAGUUUUCAGGUCAAUGAGCUUAGCUUUACUAAGUCCAAAUCGCAAGAUGAUGUUCCAACAUUCACUAUGUUUGGUGCCUCUUUAUGACACUUAAACAUUUUUAUAAUCCAAGCACAUUACACAUUCUAUAUCUCUUUAUGACAUUAGCUUGUACUAUCAAUAAUAGGUUAAUACACAUGCUCUCUAGCGUGUUCUCAGAUCACUACAUGCAGGUUCUUCCCAAUGCAACUAUCAACUUUGCAUAAUUCUCAUAAUAAUAUUAUGCACAUACCAUUCACAUAUCCAUCAAGUCUAAUGCCGCUUUAUGACAUUAGCUUGCUAAGUCCAUUUCUAGUCCAAGCCUAAUGCCACUUUAUGACAUUAGCUUACUAUUUGUAUACACUCCAGUCUAUGUCACUUCAAUGAUAAUAUGUCUAACCAUGUCAAGCAUGCGUUCUAAGUCCAAGAGUGUAAUCUAUAUGCCAUAUGCACCAUAUGCAACAUGAUCUCAAACCAAUAUUAGAAUGCUAAUCAUAUGCAAAGUUUCAAGUUUGAACAGUUCUCUACUAUAUAGAGGGCCACUAUACUUUAUACAUAGUAUGCACAUAUUAAGCAUUCUAAAAUUCUCAAAUAUUCCAUCUAGUAAGAAUAUGCAUGCUUUUUCAUUUUAUAACACUUAAAUCAUCAACAAUGAGAUUUUCUCAUUGUGUGGCUAGGUCAAACCCACCGAACCAUCGCGUAGUCCUUCCUUUCGCCGAACGGAGUUGUCCACGAGUCUCAAAAUACCCUAAAGGUAAUGAGCGAAGGGAUACACAAGUAUUACGAACAACUAUAAGAUCAAACAUUAACCAUCAAGGCAAAAGGGCUAAAAUCUCACCUAUGGAGUAGAAAAUCUUUCCCAAGCUCCAAAAAAGAGCUAAAUCCCUUUCAAUCCAACCCAAAGGAAGAUUCUAAUCCAAUCAAUUGAGCUCCAAAAGCCCUAGAUCAAAAAUCCCAAAACAAAUCCUAAAUCCUCAUUUCUAGGGUUUCUGUACAAAAAUCAUGAAAAUCAUGAAAUAAAGGAAAAUAGUAAGCAACUAACCUCUAAUGAAGCCUCAAACAAGGUUCAAAAUCCACAAGGGUCGAAGAUCUCACCUCCAAUGAGCUCAACUCCAAGCUCCCAAGCUUCUCCCAUGGUGGAAAAGUCACCAAAAGGCAAAAAUAGAGCAAAAGUAAAUAAAAAAAAAACUUUUGAAGUUGAAGGAUCAAUUUUAAUAUGACUUAUAGAUGAUGAGUUACUAUAUAUUUUUAUCCUAAUGAAACUCUAGCUGCCUCUCUUACUCAUUACUUUUUUUCUAAUUUUUUUACUCUUUGUUUUUUACUCUUUUUAUUUUCAUUUUAUUUCCGCCAACAAUAUUUCAUUGUCAACAAUAUAGUUUGUCUAUUGACUAUUUAAUAAAAUUUAUAAAAAAUAUAUAUUUAUACGGAUAUCCGUACCCGAUGUAGACCCGAUCCAUAUCCGGUCUUGAACGGGUAGUAUACGGGUCGUCACUAUUCAGACCCGCUCAAAUAGAUCCAAUGGGUAUAUUAGUAACUUUAGUACCCGACCCGGACCCGGCCCGAAGUUAAAUGGGUAGGGUAUAUAUAUUUUUUUGUAACCAUUUCUUUUUAGUGUAUGGAUAUAGUAUAUUAAUUAUCCAAACCCGACCCGGUUCACGGAUAUCUUUAUGUCCAAGCUUGGCGGGGUUAUGGAGCGACAGGUGUUGCGGACACGCGUCCGCCUGACCGCCCCGGUUGCCGGUCCACUUCCACCCCCCGGGGCCCCGAAGAACACAACAUAGUUAGUUAAUUCGCGAAUUAUUCGCGAAUAAUUCGCGAAUUUUUGAAAAAGCCGAAUAAAACAGCCGUUUUCAUGUUUUUUUCAAAAAUUCGGGAAAAUUCGUGUUUUUUUUUGGCUAAAAAUAAUUAUUCACGAAUUAAACGCGAUUUGCGAAUAAUUCGGCCCAACAGCCCGGUUGCAGGUUGCUGUGAGCCUGCGACGCAGAGUAGCGGAGUCGGACUCGGGCCUCGCGGGUGGCCCAAAAGAGGAAAAAAAAUCAUUUCUGUGUCUGUCGCCCAAAAGGCCAAAAAAGAAACAAAAAAAAAUCCUCUCUUUCAGACUGGCCCCCCACCCGCCCCCCCCAACCCACGAGUCCCACUCCUAUCCAUAGUUAGUUAAUUUGCGAAUUAUUCGCAAAUUAUUCGAGAAUUUUUAAAAUUCCGAAUAAAACGUCCGUUUUCAAAUUUUUGAAAAAAUUUUGAAAAAAAUUACGUUUUAUUGGAUAAAAGUAAUUAUUCGCGAAUUAAACGCGAUUCGCGAAUAAUUCCGCUCAAAAAAAACGCCGCCGUUGCUGCGGUCGCGGGCCUCGCGCAUGGCCCAAAACAGAAAAGAGUUCGCAACUCAAAAAAAAAACCCUUCUCUGAAAUCGCCCCCUCCCAGUCUCCCAGACUCCCAGCCCCAGCCCCAUCCCUCCCAAAAAAGGGUUUGCCCUAACUUCUCACCCCUGCGGCGGUGCGGCCCUGCCACCGACCCGUGCGGCGGUCGCGGUCCCUUCCCCUCCCCCUCUUCCCUUCCGGCUGCUCGCCGAACGCAAUCGGAAGCCCCCCUCUUCAGAAAUCGAAGAUCGAGUUCUUCACUCUUCAGAAAUCGAAACCCUCCCCGUCGCCUCUUCCUCUUCCGCUUCCGCUAUCCAACGAUAUAUAGAUCAGUAAUAAGGUGGUUCUUUACAAACCAAGUACGAUUUGAGUUUUCAUUCUUUAAAGCAAAAGUUGGAAGCUUUUAGUCCAUCUGAUGGAUACUUUUUUAUACACAAAUGGCUCGAGUGCUUAAAUUGAAUGUGUCCAUUCUCUGUUCAUCGCACCUAAUUGUUAAGAACUAAAGACCCAAACAUAGAGCUAAAUAAUGUAUUAACCUAGGGACACGGAACUCUUGUAUUAUACCUAAUCAAUUUCAUGAUCUUGUCGACACUUGCAAAAGAAAAUUUGUUGUGUGGUCUUUCAUGGAAAAUUUUGUUGUGGUUAAAUCAGAGUCGGAGUUCGCUGAUUAUAAUUACUAAAACUUUCUGUGUUUGUAUGCUCUAUAUUUUAUUCAAGCUUUUAUGUAUGUUUAUAUGUGGAAUUAUGAACUUUAUGUAUUUUUAUUUGUUUACUGUUUAGACUUUAGAAUUUAGAUAUGCUAGUAUGCUGUUAUGCACUAUGCAAAGUGCCUGUUUCUCUUGGAUUUAAUUUCUAACUAUGCUUGUAUGUGAAUCUUUUUAUAUUUACAUUUAAAUAUGGACUAUCUUGAUCUCUUAUUUGCUUAAUUAUUUUUUUUUUUUUAGGCAUAAUAUAGUUUGUUAUUUUUUUUAGUUAAUUAGUUUAAUUUUGUAGUUCUUUAUUUUUAUAUUCUUAAAAAAUAUGAGUAUUUAUGCUAAUAAUAUAAAUCUUGAGAGAAAAAAACUUAAUUUAAUAGCCGAAUUUUUAAUCCCGAAUUUUUAAUUGGUGAACGUAUAAUAUCUGUAUAAAUCACGUAUCCGAAUAAUUACUGAAUCUGUUUUUUAACCGUAUUUUUCAACGAAUUUAAAAAUUCGAAGACGAAUUUUAUCCGAAUUAUACCCGUACCGAAUUUUUGCCGAAUCCGAAUUAACUAACUAUGCUCCUACCCCGACCCCUCCCAGUCCCAAAAAAGGGUUGCCCUAACCCUCCUCGUCGCCUCUUCCUCUUCCUCCGCUUCCAACGAUAGAUCAGUAAUCGAUCGGGUGGUUCUUUACAAACCAGGUGCGAUUUGAGUUUCCAUUCUAAAAAACAAAAGUUGGAAGCUUUUAGUCCAUCUGAUGGAUACUUUUUUUAUACACAAAUGGCUCGAGUGCUUAAAUUGAAUGUGUGUCCAUUCUCUGUUAUGCCCAAACAUAGAAGACCCAAACAUGGAGCUAGAUAUAAUCUUAAUUAACUUAGGGACCAGGUGUCCAUUCUCUGUUAUUCUCUGUUAUGUGGAAUAGUGAACUUUAUGUAUCUUUUAUUUAUUUAUUGUUUAGACUUUAGAAUUUAGAUAGGCUAGUAUGCAGUUAUGCACUAUGUAAAGUGC